RNAcentral lists this long non-coding RNA (97165 nucleotides) under Arabidopsis thaliana (thale cress). Its description in RNAcentral is "long non-coding RNA (ATHA_LNC000441)". The record is from RNAcentral. Lineage: Eukaryota; Viridiplantae; Streptophyta; Magnoliopsida; Brassicales; Brassicaceae.
UGGUUUUUUGUGUUUACAAAAAUUUGUGUUUUAUGGACAAUAGAUUUCGGAAAUUCGCAAACCUAGAUUUUCACAAUUUAUCUAUAUUAUUAUCAUAGCUAAAAAGAAGCUCCAUGAAUGUGUUUACGCAAAAUCAAAAUAAUAUCUUAUAAGAGCUAUACACCUCAUUAUGAAUUUUCAAUUUUGUUUAACCUUACUGUGUCUGUACUUAUUGAGAGUCUUUCUUAAACUAUAAGUUUAAGAGCAUCAAAGUUUAAACCAGAAUAUUUCUAUCAACGUAUUGGGAGAAGGAGACAUUCGACUAAAGAAUGAUCUAAAACAAAACAAUUUUUUUUUUCUUCCGCUGCAAAAUAGAAAAUGUUUUAGCUAAAAAUACACAAUUUAAAAUUUGAAUAUAAAUUUUACAUUCUUUCAAAAAAAAUAUAUCCACUUUCAAAAGUUCAAUCAAUACAGAAAUCAUUAUAAAAUAUUAAAUUUAUACAUUAUUUGCAUAAAAAAACUUGUAAAUACUUAAUUGUUAUGCAACAAAAAAUUUGUUCAAGGAGUAGUAACACACACCUAAUCAAUAAUAGAAUUUAGAGAUUUGUCUACUUUAUGUAACAAAGAUAGGUUUUAUUACACCUAAUGAUAUUUAGCAUUUGUCCUUAUUUGGACAAGUUGUAAUUUUUUAACUGACUUUCUUAUUUAUUGUUGUUUGACUUUUAUGUGUCGGUCAUUCUUUAUCAGUUUUUCCAAAAACAAUAUGAUUAAAAAUUACAAGUAGAUCGAGAGACUGUUGCAGAUUGCUCUUAAAUGACUUAUCUCGAUAAAAUCAUUUUUUCAGAUACAACAAACAAAGAGAAAAAGCCCUUUCAAUUUCUUUUUACAGAUUGCUUUCUAAAUAGCUUUGAGAAAUUGAUCUUCUCUUUAUCAUACUCAAAUGGAUUCUUCUUUUCUCUCUAGUUUUUGUGCUACAGCCAUAAUUUUCUUCACGCUUUUCGGUACAAUAUAUUUCAUGUUUUAUAGAAAAGUCAAAUCCCAUCAAGAAAACAAAACAAUAGCUUCUUCUUUAGCUCUUCCAACUAUUCCAUCUUCUUUGUCCCGAAAAUACGAUGUCUUUCCGAGUUUCCACGGAGCAGAUGUUCGCAAAACCUUUCUUUCUCACAUGCUAAAAGAGUUCAAACGAAAGGGAAUCGUUCCAUUCAUUGAUAAUGAUAUCGACAGGAGCAAGUCUAUUGGUCCUGAGCUCGACGAAGCUAUCAGAGGAUCAAAGAUCGCAAUCGUCAUGCUCUCAAAGAACUAUGCUUCUUCAUCAUGGUGCCUAAACGAGUUGGUGGAGAUCACGAAAUGUAGAAAAGAUUUGAAUCAAACAGUGAUGACCAUUUUCUAUGGCGUUGACCCAACAGAUGUAAAGAAGCAGACAGGAGAGUUUGGGAAGGUCUUCGAAAGAACUUGUGAAAGUAAAACAGAGGAGCAGGUUAAGACAUGGAGAGAAGUUUUGGAUGGUGCGGCAACAAUCGCUGGAGAGCAUUGGCACAUCUGGUUUGCCUUCUUUAUUUAGUUUUUACUUGCUCUUAGUAAUAUUUCACUAUAUUUAUUAGUAUCUUUUAGAAAAUAACAAGACAAGCACCACAUAUUUGUUUUGGAUGUGUAUGAGAAAAAAUUUAUGAAUAAUUAGGGGAUGUAUAAAAUGAUCUCUCUAUUUUUGCUAGGGAUAAUGAAGCGAGCAUGAUUGAAAAAAUUUCCAUUGACGUUUCAAACAUUCUUAAUCGUUCCUCACCCUCAAGAGAUUUUGACGAUUUGAUUGGGAUGGAAGCUCAUAUGGAAAAAAUGAAAUCGUUGUUGAGCCUACACUCUAAUGAAGUGAAGAUGAUUGGGAUUUGGGGUCCUUCUGGGAUUGGGAAGACCACCAUUGCAAGAGUCUUAUAUAACCGUUUUUCUGGCGAUUUUGGAUUGAGUGUCUUUAUGGACAAUAUUAAAGAGUUGAUGCAUACAAGACCAGUGGGUUCUGACGAUUACAGUGCAAAGUUGCACUUACAGAACCAGUUAAUGUCCGAGAUAACCAACCAUAAGGAGACCAAGAUUACUCAUUUAGGAGUUGUACCUGAUAGGUUGAAGGACAAUAAAGUGCUUAUUGUCCUUGAUAGCAUUGAUCAAUCAAUACAACUAGAUGCUAUCGCAAAAGAAACUCAAUGGUUCGGUCCUGGGAGUCGGAUUAUCAUCACAACGCAAGACCAAAAACUUCUGGAGGCACAUGACAUCAACAAUAUUUACAAGGUGGAGUUUCCAUCAAAAUAUGAAGCUUUUCAAAUCUUUUGUACGUAUGCUUUUGGUCAAAAUUUCCCUAAAGAUGGUUUUGAGAAGCUUGCUUGGGAAGUUACAGACCUUUUAGGUGAACUACCAUUGGGACUAAGAGUUAUGGGCUCCCACUUCCGAAGAAUGUCUAAGGAUGAUUGGGUAAUUGCAUUACCAAGGUUAAAGACUCGCCUUGAUGCUAAUAUUCAAAGCAUUUUGAAGUUUAGUUACGAUGCUUUAUCUCCUGAAGAUAAAGAUUUAUUCCUUCAUAUAGCAUGCCUUUUCAACAAUGAAGAAAUAGUGAAAGUCGAAGAUUAUCUUGCUUUAGAUUUCUUGGAUGCGAGGCAUGGGCUUCACCUCUUAGCUGAGAAAUCUCUCAUUGAUCUCGAAGGUGUUAACUACAAAGUGCUAAAAAUGCAUAAUCUACUAGAACAAUUGGGUAAAGAAAUUGUCCGUUAUCAUCCGGCACACCACUCAAUCCGUGAGCCUGAAAAGCGUCAGUUUUUGGUUGAUACUAAAGAUAUUUGUGAAGUACUCGCCGAUGGCACGGUUAGUUAUAUUAUUAGUUUUAUGUUUUCUUGUUCCCUAAAAUUAAAAUCAUUUUAUAGCUUACUAUAUAUAUCUCAUUAUCCUCCUUUUUUGGUCUUUUUGCAGGGUAGUAAAAGUAUUAAAGGUAUAUGUUUCGACUUAGAUAACCUAUCAGGGAGAUUAAAUAUAAGUGAGAGAGCUUUUGAAGGAAUGACUAACCUUAAAUUCUUAAGAGUUCUGAGAGACCGAAGCGAGAAGUUGUACUUACCGCAAGGUUUAAAUUAUCUACCUAAGAAACUUAGAUUAAUAGAAUGGGACUAUUUUCCGAUGAAAAGUUUGCCUUCAAACUUUUGUACAACGUACCUAGUCAACCUACAUAUGCGGAAAAGCAAACUUGAGAAGUUAUGGGAAGGAAAACAGGUACAUAAUUAUUUUCAAUAUGGUUUUUUUUUUCAUCAAAAGGAGUGCUCUAAAUACUAGUAAUUGUGUUUCCUUAUGCUGUCUUUAUUUGUUUGUCCAGCCACUUGGUAACCUGAAGUGGAUGAAUUUAAGUAACUCGAGAAACCUAAAGGAGCUACCUGAUCUCUCAACAGCUACUAAACUUCAAGAUUUGAAUCUCACUAGAUGCUCCAGCUUGGUGGAGAUUCCUUUCUCUAUUGGAAACACCACUAAUCUUGAGAAACUGAAUCUUGUAAUGUGCACUAGCUUGGUGGAGCUGCCCUCCUCUAUAGGAAGCCUUCAUAAAUUGCGGGAGUUGAGAUUACGAGGAUGCUCAAAGCUAGAGGUUCUUCCCACCAACAUCAGCUUGGAAUCUCUCGAUAACCUUGAUAUCACUGAUUGCUCACUGUUGAAAAGUUUUCCUGAUAUCUCCACAAACAUUAAGCAUCUCAGCCUCGCGAGAACUGCAAUUAAUGAAGUGCCGUCGAGGAUCAAGUCAUGGUCUCGUCUUCGUUACUUUGUAGUGUCAUACAAUGAAAACCUCAAGGAAUCUCCGCACGCUCUUGAUACCAUCACAAUGUUGUCGUCUAACGAUACAAAAAUGCAAGAAUUACCUCGGUGGGUCAAGAAAAUCUCUCGUCUUGAGACGCUUAUGCUAGAGGGAUGCAAAAACCUGGUAACACUCCCAGAACUUCCGGAUUCCUUAUCAAACAUAGGGGUAAUAAAUUGCGAGUCACUAGAGAGGCUUGAUUGUUCCUUCUACAAACAUCCAAAUAUGUUUAUCGGGUUUGUUAACUGCUUGAAGCUGAAUAAAGAAGCGAGAGAACUCAUCCAGACCAGUAGUAGCACUUGUUCGAUCUUACCCGGAAGACGAGUGCCUUCAAACUUCACUUACCGAAAAACUGGAGGUUCCGUGCUUGUCAAUUUGAAUCAAAGUCCUCUUUCUACAACCUUGGUGUUUAAGGCUUGUGUCUUGCUGGUUAAUAAAGAUGAUAAGAAAAAGGAGGCCAAUGGUACGUCAUUUCAGGUAUAUUAUCGUAUAAUGGACAAACGCAAAUUGGGUGUUAUUGUUCCAUGGAGAUCUGCACACGGCUUUGUUGUGCCUCCAAUUUUGGCGGAGCAUUUGCUAACCUUUGAACUUGAAGCGGAUGUGAAAACCAACGAGUUUUUCUUCGAGUUCGAAGUCAACCGUUACGAAGUGGUGAUAAAAGAAUGUGGAGUACUCCAACUCUAAGUCCUCCAUUUUUUUGGAAGACUGGUUGGGACGCACUUGGUUGAGAACUUGAGAGAAGAACAAGACAGUGAUCUAUUGUUAUUGUUUCUUCCACUUACCUGAAUCCCACCUCCAGUUCCUCUAUAACAUCCAUGGCACGGCACUUCUUCAAUGCGUUUUUCCUAACAACCACCGUUUAAAGGCGGAGAAGGAGACGAGGUAAAGUUUUUUCCAUAGUAAUACUGUUUACUAAAAUUAUAUCCCUAGAUUGAGGAAGUUUGUUGCACAGGAAACAUAUAAUGUUAAGCUUUUGUGCCGCAAGAUUCCUUGCUCAAACCAUAUAAUGUUACUCAAGCUAACUAAAUGUUUUCUUUUUCUUAUGAUGUCGUAGAUUUGACCAGCACAGUAGUUUGUUAAGCUUUUACUCCUUCGAUUAUCCAAGGUGGAGAGUCUACAAGAGGAUGAAUGUUUUAAGGUCUAGGAGCAUCAAAAAGAGUUUGCGACAUCAGGUACGGUUGCAGGCAUCUAGAGUUUGGACCCUAGCCUCCUUCUACCAUCUUCUUUGGCCACAUUACAGGGUUUAUCUUUCUUUGUAUUUUUUAAUCAUUGCGCUUUCAGCGAUAUUAAUUUUAUUACAAUUUUCUUGAGUUUAUUUUUGGCUUUGUGAUUCUCUCGUCAUUGAAUUGUUGGCUGCGUCUUAAGAAACUCAGAAUUGUUAAAGAAAAUAAGGUUAGAAAUAGUUUCUUGGGUUACAAGCAAUACCAAUCCUCAACACUAGACACUUUUUAAGUUAUAGAAAGCUUUCACUCAAAUAUCUAAAUUUUUUGGCGGAGCUAAAACAUAAAUGGAUAUAGUAAAAAUACCUGCGAAACAUGUAACUUAUUGCAAGAUACUUGACUACUUCUCAAAUGGACUGGUAAAUCGACUUGCCUACAAAUUGGAUAAGAUUUUUACUUUUUUUUUUAUAAAUGUAAUGUUAAAAAUUAUAUUCCUGAAUAAUAACAUUUGUUACAUCAAAUGGAAGUUUUCUGAAUAAUUUGAGAAGGUAAAAAAAUUGAUAAAAGAAAAACAAAAUUAAAAUGCAAACCAAGCUUGGAGGCAUGGUUCGUAUCUCUUGUCGUCCGUAGCCCGAAUCAUUGAGAAUUGGUUUCGAAUUUGUUUGUCUAUCCAAGUGAUGAGUUUUGUGGCUGGAGUUGAUGUCUCACCAUGUCUCCUUCCAUUGUGCUCUCUCCAUUAUGUGUUCCUCGUAAUCUCUAUAUGUAUUUUUAAUGUUUUCAGACUUCACCUUGACUUAUAAAAUAACAGAAAUCAGACGAUCCAAAAACUUUUAAUAGUAUUCUCUAUAAUUUACACCUACUCUAUAUAAAAAAGGAAAAAAAAAAGAUUGGUUUUACACCUAAUUGAUACCCCUUAAGAAGACUGACCGCUAUUUAGCAUUUGUCUUUAAGUGAUCUUUUUUAUUUAUCUUUGUUUGACUUGUGUGGCUAAGUAAUAUGCGUCUUACCUUCGUAUUUCAUUGUCUAACUAACGUCUGCAAUUUUGGUUUAAGAUUGAUGAUCGCUCCAUUUUCAGCGUUAAAAUCCUUUUCUAAGAAAUAUACGCUACAUCGUUUCGUUCCAUCUUCGGCAUUCAUUAUUCUUUUUUCCUAGAAAAUUAACAGGAUUAGUUUUUUUUUCUUACAAGAUUUGCCCAUUAUACACAGAUUAUUGAACAGUUGAGUUCGGUUUAAGUCAAUGAAUCUAUUAUUAAUUCCAAGUGGGAUAUAUAAUGUUCUUUGAAGGUUCCUUUGUGCCUAUCUCAAAUAAAAGCAUUUUCCAGACUCAACCAACAAAAAAGCCUUUUCAAUUUCUUUUUACAGAUUGCUUUCUGAAUAGCUUUGAGAUAUUGAUUUUCUCUUCAUCAUACUCAGAUGGAUUCUUCUUUUCUCUCUGGUUUUUGUGCUGCUGCCAUAACCUUCUUCACUCUUUUCGGUACAAUAUAUUUCAUGUUUUAUAGAAAAGGCAAAUCCCAUCAAGAAAACAAAACAAUAGCUUCUUCUUUAAUAUCUAUUUCAUCUACUCCAUCUUCUUUACCUCGAAAACGGAAACACGAUGUCUUCCCUAGCUUCCACGGGGCAGAUGUUCGCAAAACCUUUCUUGCUCACAUCCUAAAAGAGUUCAAAGGGAAAGGAGUCGUUCCAUUCAUUGAUAAUGAUAUCGAGAGGAGCAAGUCUAUCGGUCCUGAGCUCAUAGAAGCUAUUAGAGGAUCGAAGAUCGCGAUCGUCUUGCUCUCAAGGAACUAUGCUUCUUCUUCGUGGUGCUUAAACGAGUUGGUGGAGAUCAUGAAGUGUAGAGAACAGUUGGGUCAAACAGUGAUGACCAUUUUCUAUGACGUUGAUCCAACAGACGUAAAGAAGCAGACAGGAGAUUUUGGGAAGGUCUUCAAGAAAACUUGUAAAGGUAAACCAAAAGAGGAAAUUAAGAGAUGGCAAAAAGUUUUGGAGGAUGUGGCAACAAUCGCUGGGGAGCAUUCCCGUAACUGGUUAGCUUUCUGGAUUUAUAUUUUGCUCUGAUUCAUAAUUCAUUAACACAUCAAACUAAAGAGGGAUAAUUACCGAAAAAACCCGAUUUAUUUAAAAUCUCCCAGAAAACUACUUGAACUUUUGGGUUGGAAAUAAAAUCACGAUCUAUUUUUUUUUUUUUCAAUUACCACCCUUCACCGUAACGGACCGUUAACAACGCUAACCAAAUCGUCGAACCUAACGUAUUUAAUAUUUGCCAAAAAAAAACAUGAACUUAUUUGUUGUAAUAAAAAUACCCAAACUAACUUAACUUGGAGAUAGAAAACACGAUCUAUUUUUUUUCCCCAACCAAAUUGUCAAAUGUUAUUAAUUUUAUUUAUAAGAUAUUCUUAAAAAUGGACUAUUGAAGAAAUCCUCUAAAAGCUUAAGUUCUUGAGUAAUAUCAACCAAAAUCAUGUUAUUGAUGGGUAAGUUUUAUCCUAAAUUACUAAUGUUGUUUUCACCAUCUAUCAUAUAUCUAGAUUUGAUGUAAGCAACAAUAAAUUAAAAAGAAUACCCCUUCAGUUACCGAAUGUUCUUAUUAAUUUCUUCAAUUUAUUGUGGUUAGCUUCUGAAAUGGAUAGAUGUAGUAUGUUAAAACUAGAAUUCAAAUUUGGUCCAAAAUCGAUUAUGAGUUUAAAGGGAUAAAUCGGCUUUAUAUAUAGCCAUUCUCAUUUAUCACGUGCAAAGAAAAUGAAAAAAGUAAUUGUAAUUUUAUUUGGUUAACUCUUUUGAUAACCAUUACGACAAAGUGGGUGAAAUUGAAACAAAAAACUAGGUCAUUCUUUUUAUUUCAAUUUUAAACUAAUCAAUAAAUUUAUGGCAGCGAAUAAAAAGUUUAGGCAUUGUUUUGGCAAAUAUUAAAUAAAUCGUGUUUUUCAGGAAUUUUCUAUAAUAAAAUUAAAAAUGUUUGACGAUUUGGUAAAACGCCAUUAAUGGCCAUUACAUCAAAGGGAGGUAAUCGGAAAAAAAAAGUAGAUCGUGUUUUUUAUUUCCAACCCAAAUUUGUUUGUAUAUUUUUCUGCCAGCGAAAAAAGUUCAAGUAAUUUUCUGGCAGAUUUUAAUAAGGGAAAUUUCCCAAACUAUAUUUAUUGGUAGCUUUUAAAAAAGGGAAAUUUACUAUAGUGACAAAUAUUUUGUGUUUUAUAACUGGCAUGUCAAAAAUACAGAUUUUUUAUAUGUAGUCUAUACAGGUUUUUCUAAAACUUUAAUAUCUUGAAUGGUUGUGUAACAUAUCUGCCACAUAUUUAUUUUGUAACCGUAGAUUUUUAAUUGUGUUGGCAACAUAUUUUUUGAUUUAAAUAAAAAAAUGUCGCUUAAUAACAGAUUUUUAACCAAAUAAUAAGAAUAUAUAAUGAGGACAGAUUUAUUUUAUGUAAUCACAAACUUCUAAAACUUGUUGAUAAAUCUAUCUGACAUUUUACGAGAAGUUUUUUUAAAAAAAUUACUACACACUCACAUAGUGAUAACAUAUUUUUUUUUAGUCAUUACAGUUUUGUUUUUCGGGAUCUAAAGCAUAACAGAUUUUUUCAUGUCCUGUUAUACCCGAUUUUUUUAUGACUUAAAUAACCUUUUUAGUAAUGACAGACUUUUUGUUGGCAGAUUUGUUUUUGAAAUUUUGAUACAUCUAGUUACAUGAGAAUUAUUAUAUAGCCUCACGUAAAACUAAAGUUCGACGACACAACUCCAAAUCUUGCGGUUUGAUUGUAUCUUUAAACAGGUUCAUUUUUUUCUUCAUAAAAACGGGUUUGACUGCAUUUGGUUACGAAAUACUUUUAAUAGAUCCGGAAGAUAUGUUUAAUUUUUAGAAAUCAAAAAUGUUUUUAUUUUAGGAGAAAUUUUAUUAAAAACGUGAUUAAAGAUUAAUUAGUCUUUUUACACAUAUUUGAGUUAUAAUAGUUUUUGACUUGGAUUGGGAGUUAUUUAUGCUAAAAUUUGAGUCAAUUUGGGCAAAUCUAAGUUUUAAAAAUAUUAAGACAACCAAUACAUAAUUUUUGGAUGUGUAUGUGAUUUUUUUUUUAUGAAUAUUAAUUGAUGUAUUAAUUGAUCACUUCAUUUGUUAGGGAUAAUGAAGCAACUAUGACCGAAAAGAUCGCUACAGAUGUUUCUAACAUGCUGAAUAAUUACUCACCGUCAAGAGAUUUUGAUGGUUUGAUUGGGAUGGAUGCUCAUAUGAAAGAAAUGGAAUCGUUGUUAUGCCUAGACUCUGAUGAAGUAAGGAUGAUUGGGAUUUGGGGUCCGUCUGGGAUUGGGAAGACCACCAUUGCCAGAGUCUUAUAUAGCCAAUUUUCUGAAAAUUUUGAAUUGAGUAUCUUCAUGGGGAAUAUCAAAGAGUUGAUGUAUACAAGACCAGUGUGUUCUGAUGAGUAUAGUGCGAAGAUUCAGUUACAGAAACAAUUUUUAUCCCAAAUAAUCAACCACAAGGAUAUGGAGCUUCAUCAUUUAGGAGUUGCACAGGAUAGGUUGAACGACAAGAAAGUGCUUAUUGUUCUCGAUAGCAUUGAUCAGUCAAUACAACUAGAUGCUAUUGCAAAAGAAACUCGGUGGUUUGGCCAUGGAAGUCGGAUUAUCAUCACAACACAAGACCAAAAACUUUUGAAGGCACAUGGAAUCAACCAUAUUUACAAGGUGGAGUUUCCAUCAGCAUAUGAAGCUUAUCAGAUGUUUUGUAUGUAUGCUUUUGGCCAAAACUUCCCUAAUGAUGGUUUCGAGGAGCUUGCUUGGGAAGUUACAAAACUUUUAGGUCAUCUACCUUUGGGACUAAGAGUUAUGGGUUCCCACUUCCGAGGAAUGUCUAGGCAUGAGUGGGUAAAUGCUUUACCAAGGUUAAAGAUUCGCCUUGAUGCUAGUAUUCAAAGCAUUUUAAAGUUCAGUUACGAUGCCUUAUGUGAGGAAGAUAAAGAUUUGUUCCUUCAUAUAGCUUGCCUUUUCAACAAUCAAGAAAUGGUGGAAGUUGAAGAUUAUCUUGCUUUAAGUUUCUUGGACGUGAGGCAAGGGUUUCACCUCUUAGCCGAGAAAUCUCUCAUAAAUCUUAAGUUUUUAUCUACUAACUGUACACGUAUAGAGAUGCACAAUCUACUAGUGCAAUUAGGUAAAGACAUUGUUCGUCAUAAGCCUGGGCACCAAUCCAUUUGUGAGCCUGGGAAGCGUCAAUUUUUGAUUGAUGCUAGAGAUAUUUGUGAAGUACUCACUGAUAACACGGUAAGUUAUAUUAUUAGUCUCUUGUUUCCUUGUUCUUUACAAAUUAAAUACGUUCAAUAGCUAAUUAUCUCUCGUUUUCUAACUUUUUCUUGUCAUUUUACAGGGUAAUAGAAAUGUUGUAGGUAUAUUUUUGGAAGUAAGAAACCUAUCAUGCCAAUUAAAUAUAAGUGAGAGAGCUUUUGACGGAAUGUCAAACCUUAAAUUCUUAAGAUUCCAUGACCCAUAUGACGACGAAAGUGAUAAAUUGUACUUGCCACAAGGGUUGAAUAAUCUACCUCAGAAACUUAGAUUAAUAGAAUGGAGCCGGUUUCCGAUGACUUGUUUGCCUUCUAAUUUUUGUACGAAGUAUCUAGUCGAGAUACGUAUGAAGAACAGCAAACUUCAGAACUUGUGGCAAGGAAAUCAGGUACAUAAUUGUGGUGUUUCUCUCCAAUUUUAUAAUAUUGGGUUUUUCUUUCUUACAUAUUUAGGUGUCAAAAAUGAGAGAUCUCCCGGUAUUAUUUCUUAGAAGGCUAUCUCUUGUAAUCUUUAUUAUGCUUGGUGACUUGUAGUAUCCCUCCAUGAUUAUUGGUUAGUAUCAUACUAUCGUUGGUGAAUUGUAGUAUCCCUCCAUUAUUAUUUGAGUUUAAUUUUAAUGUGUUUCUUUAUGUUAUCUUUAUUUUUUUGUGCAGCCCCUUGGAAAUCUCAAGAGGAUGGAUUUGAGUGAGUCGAAACACCUAAAAGAACUACCUGAUCUCUCAACUGCCACUAACCUUGAAUAUUUGAUUAUGUCUGGAUGCAUAAGUUUGGUGGAGCUCCCCUCCUCUAUUGGAAAGCUUCGUAAAUUGCUAAUGUUGAGUUUACGAGGCUGCUCAAAGCUAGAGGCUCUUCCAACCAAUAUCAACUUGGAAUCUCUCGAUUACCUUGAUCUCACUGAUUGCUUAUUGAUCAAAAAAUUUCCUGAGAUCUCUACAAACAUUAAGGAUCUCAAGCUCACGAAAACUGCAAUAAAAGAGGUACCUUCGACGAUCAAGUCAUGGUCUCAUCUUCGUAAACUGGAAAUGUCAUACAGUGAAAACCUCAAGGAACUCCCGCAUGCUCUUGAUAUCAUCACAACGCUGUACAUUAACGAUACAGAAAUGCAAGAAAUUCCUCAGUGGGUUAAGAAAAUCUCUCAUCUUCAGACACUUGGGCUAGAGGGAUGCAAGAGGCUGGUAACAAUCCCACAACUUUCAGAUUCCCUAUCACAACUAGUGGUAACAAACUGUGAGUCAUUGGAGAGACUUAAUUUCUCCUUUCAAAAUCAUCCAGAGAGAUUUCUCUGGUUUCUAAAUUGCUUCAAGCUAAAUAAUGAAGCGAGAGAAUUCAUCCAAACUAGUAGUACCCAUGCGAUCUUACCUAGUAGAGAAGUGCCUGCAAACUUCACUUACCGAGCUAAUGGGAGUUCCAUAAUGGUAAAUCUGAAUCAUAGGCCUCUUUCUACAACUUUGAGAUUUAAGGCUUGCGUCUUGCUAGUUAAAAAAAUUGACAAUGAUAAGGAGGAGGCCGCUGAUAGGAGAACAACUGUAAUUCCUAGAAUCAGGGAGAACGAUAAAAUUGGCGUCGAUGUUCCAUGGAGAUAUCGCUUUCACGUGCCUACCAUUUUAGAAGACCAUUUGCUCACCUUCCAAAUUGAAGCUGAUGUGACGUCCAACAAGCUUUUAUUUUCGUUCGACAUCAAGGACAACAACCAAGCGGUGAUUAAAGAAUGUGGAGUACUCCAACUCUAAGUUCAUUUGGGUCUCUUUCGGAUUUUUGUAAAUAGGAUUUGUUGACGUUGAAGAAACCUUCGGGAAAUCACGAGCUCUCACAAGGAGUCCGGACCGCCUCCAGGAAUGGAGAAAUCCAAAUCGAAGCUGAAAAUAUGGCUACUCAACGGAUAUGGCAAAAAUCAUGAGACAAUGAGAUUUUUGGACUGUGUUUGGCAUUUUCUUGCAUUGUUAUUAAUUUUCUCGAGAAAAUGAGACUCUUAAUUUCUAGAUACUAGAUCGACAAUUUGUUUUCUUCAACACUGAUCAUCUUUUUAGUAUCCGCAAACUAAAUCAACACUUCACUUUUUUCUUCCUUUUAACUAAACAAAAAAAAAAUAGAGAAGCAACUAUCUACACAAAUAGUCCAUUAAGCAGAUAAACUCCCCGGUUUAGAUAAAUCACAUAGCCAACUCAAAAGAACCUUAGCACCUUUCUCCCAUGAACAAUCAAGCAUCAUGUCAUGAGCAACACCUUUAAUACAAACCGGUUCAACCUCAUAAAACCUCCCGGUUUCCUUCAGUCCUUCAUCGUCCUGGAAAUCCAUAACCCAUUUCGGUUUAAUACAAGUACCAAGAUUGAAAAACUUUCAUGUUUGGUGAUGCGUUCUUAGUUCUUACCACUAUGAAGUCAUCUUUGGCACCUAAAACAAGAACCUUGGUCGAAUUCUCCAUUGGUUUUGGUACUGGAAGUGAUGCGUUUAGCUUUCUCAAAUCAAACAACGGUAUUCGUGAACUCUCACUCAUAAGAUCCUGGUAACUAAAUCGAAAUAAGAGAGAAAACAAUCUCUUUAGAUUAUUGAAACGUGAUUUAGAUUCAAGUUGACUAUCGAGCUAGAUUAUACCGCUUCACAAGUUGAUCAUCCAUGGCUUGAGAGAAGAAUGUUUCUCGACAAAGAGGAAUAGAUUUCUGAAAACCUUUAGCAGCUAAACUGAGAGUAACCUACUCAAGAACAAACAUUGUUGAAAACAUGACCCUAGCAAGAUCAAAGGCAGAACAAGAGCUUUACCUUAAAAGCAGCCACAGGUUUAGAAAAGAGAUAACGUAACACUAAGCCGCUGAACAAAGAAAGAGAAUCCCAAACGUUACAUAUAAGCUAGCUAAAAGAAGAAGAAGUUCUCUGAUAUAGGAAAUAGCCAAUGGUUGUGACAAGUUACCUAUUACCGGAAGGUGGAACCGAGCAAACCAUUACCGCCCCUGAAAGCUCUGGAAACGCAUUUUCCGUACCUGAAUACGAAACAACAAACUCAUCGGUUAUCGUAUAGGCCUGAUCCUAAAAACGCAACUCAUUUCGAUGUAUCUACACCUUACCUAAUGAACGCUUGUUUACAAUAUUUGCCAAGUAAUAUUGAACAAUGAGUCCUCCAAAAGAAUGACCAACAAGAACAGGAGGUGAAGAGCCAAGAUUCGAUUCUAUAAAAUCUGCAAUAUCACUUGCGUGCGUCUACUACACAAACAAGUAAUACAAAUCUUGCUGAAUCAAGUAAUGAACCAAUGAAGACAAUGCACAUUGCAAUUUUCAAGUACCUGAAGUGUUCCAGCAACUGUUCCCAAAGGUUCAUCACUUUCACCCUAAAAGAUUCAAAGAUGACAACAUCACAAUUCACACACAAAUCACAUAAUUUCAAUUCAAAGUUUGAAACUUUAUGUUCUUGAUAGUCUAAAAAUCAAAAUUUUGGUCAUUUGAGAAUUUACCUGACCUAAUAAACUAACAGCAUAAGAAUCAAACCCAGAAGAAGAGAAGAAAGGUAACCAAUUUUCAGCCCAACACCAAGCUGCGUGAUAGCUUCCAUGUACAAACACCAAUGGUGGAUUCUCUCUUUCGGAUUUGGAUUUUCUCUGCUCGAUUACCUCCAUUUUUAGACCAGAGGGAAGCUUGUGCAAAAGGCGGGUUUGCCCCUUUUUCAGGUUGUAUGGAAUCGUUGUUCUAGGGGAAUUGGUGAGAGCUGCUAUGGGCAUUUUGAAGUAGGAUAGGCAUGGGAACGAGGGAAGUGAAGAAGACGCCAUCAUCGUUAUUCGUUAAGCUCAGAGCUAUUCUGAUUUCUGAAAAGGAAAAGCUCUCAAGAACUUUUUUAAUCUGAAGUUUUACUGUUUUACGUUAAAUAAAUAUUGUAAGGAAAAAACUAUAGAAUAUAAACACUGUUAAUAUGCUUGAAAAUUAUUUUGAAAAUACUCUAAAAUUUCUUAAUAAACUCUUGAAAAUUCGAAAGUCCAAAAGAUAUGUAUUUCAUAUAUCUUACUCCGAGUUAUUCAAUUUUACACAUAACUAACUAAAAGUAAAUAUAUUUUUUAGUAUGAAUCUGAAAUUUAAGAGUUUUUUUCAGAUUUUUUGGAAUUUUUCAAGAAUUUAUUCUCAUAUUAGAAAUAAAUUUCUUAUUUCAAUAUUAAUAUUUUUGAUCGAUAUUUAGAAAAGUUAACAGAAAUUACUUUCGAUCAGCUUUUGGGUGUUAAAUCAAUACUAUUUAAAUUUUUGUGUAUUAUAACAAAUUAAUUUAUGGUUUUCUUGGACCCAAAAGGAUUUUUCUUGUCCUUUUCUCUCUCCUGAAGCGACUUUUCUGGCGAUUGUCUUCUUUCUGCCCUAGCGCCGCCGUUGGUCGGCCUCUCGCCGGCAUUCGUGCCCGUUCCGAUGCCAAAGAAAAAGAAGAAGGCCUCUCGCCUCUUCCCUGUUCAUUCUACCUCCAAAUUUGAGCGGGUCCUCGCUUCCUCUGCGGGCUCGUCUUCGCUUCCAGCUUCCCGAGAUGCUCUCGUCUCUCCGCUGCCUCUCAUCUCUGCUCCAGCGUCCGUCAGUUCGUUUGUCGCAGCGGUGUCGUCUCCUUCAGUCGAGAUUACGGGAUCUCUUCUCGGUUCUCCUGAGUCGCAUUUGGCCUCUGUUUCCCCCGGAUCUGCUUUGGGCGCCGCCACUUGUCCCUUGAAGGAGGGAUCUGUAGCCUUGCUCUUAGAGUCGUUUGUGCCUGUUAUCUCCGUUGUGACCCCAGCGUAUAAGAUCUCCUCCGUUGUUGUCACUGGUUCUAUUUUAGGAGGCUCGUCUUUGGCUGGAGCGGACCUGCAAUCCAUUACUCCUUUAGUCGAGGCAGCGAGUUGUGUCUCCAAGCUUCUGGGUUCUUCAAAGCCCAGUACCUCUAUAGUGGUCCCAGCGUCUGAGAUCUCCUCCGCCGGGGUCCAAGUUCCCUUUGUUGUCGUCCCAGCGUCUGAGAUCUCCUCCGCUGGGGUUAACGUUACCUCUGUUGUUGUCCCAGCGUUUGAGAUUUCCUCCGCUCGGGUUAACGUCAGUACUUCGGGCUGCUUGCUUUCAGAUGGAGCUACUCGGCAAAUCAACAAUUCCUCUGGUCAGAACAAUGUGCCUUCUUAUGCUGAAGCUGCCAAGUCUCAAAGCUCAGAUCGUCCUUGGGCUGCCAAAUUCAAGGACUCUCUAAGGAAUCUUAAACAGAUGGAUCUCCCUUCCUUCUUGGAGGAUGGUACCCCCGUGGUUGUAGCUCCUCCGUCGAUUCUUCUAAAGACUGCGGAUAUGUGGAAGGGUCAUCUAGUUGCCCAAUUCCACGGUCUCUGCCCUCCAUCGAUGAAGAUCUUCACGGACCUUAAUCCAAUUUGGGGUAAGUUUGGUAAUAUCACAGUGCGGAUCAUCUCCGAAACAGCGGCUCUUAUCUUCAUUCCCUCGCAGGCUACUCGUAAUUGGGUGGUGGAUAUUGGCUUUUGGCACGCUGGGAACUGCUCGUGUACUGUGUAUCCUUGGUCUCCUGAUGGGCCUCUCGAAUUGGAGGAGCUCCAAUUUGCUCCCACCUGGGCAGUCCUUAAAAAUGUCCCCCCUCACCUCUAUUUUUUGGAAGGUAUCAGUGUCAUUGCUAGUGGCAUAGGAGAACCCCUUCAUACUGAGAAGUCUUGGUUGGAUCCGGUUAAUAUUGGGACUACUAAAGUAAAGGUUAUCAUAAAGUUGGAUUCAGUUCUCCCAACCACUGUGGUUGUCCGCGAUAUCCAAGGAAAUUCUGCUAGGGUUAAUGUUGAGUAUCCUCGCCCUCCUCCCAAGUGUCUUAACUGCGAGAGGUAUGGCCACUUACUGAGUCGAUGUCCUAAACCUCUAAUGAAAAAACUCCCUUUCAAGACAGUUAAGGCCGCAGGCUCCAGGGAAGUGUCUCAUCCUUCCCUUGUUUUAGCUGCUUCAGGGUCUGAUUCAGGAGUUGAGACGGCUAGUGUGGCUCCUAGGGAUUCCCGACCCCUAAAGUUAAGAGAAGGUGCUCCCGUUCUAAGAGAAGAGCUACUAGUCUCCCUCCAAAAGUCACCGGUUCCACUGCUGUUGAUAAGGGGAAGAACAUUAUGUAAUCUUCUUCUGUUCUAAGUAAGAAGUGGGUGGCUAAGGUUAUCGUUGAUCAGGGUAUUAAGAUGCUGCCACCUUUGGUGCCAGUGGCUCCUGUCAGCUUGCAGAAGGUUUACUCCUCUUCCCCCCUGACUGUUGAUGUUCUUGACUCGGAUUUAGUCAAGAGGAAGGUAGGCAUUGGGGUCCCGGAUAUGGCAGAGUUGUUGAUCGAUGAUUCCCUGUUUCCAACCCCUCCUGGUUGGGGGGCUAUGACAAAGAAGAAGAGAAAGAAACUAAUGAAAAUUUGGCACAACAAGAUGAGAUCCGGAGCUCAAGCUAUUGCAAGAGGAGAUCCCUCCUCGAGCAAGGCUGGAAUUCAUUGAGACCUCGUUUCAGUUAAUAUCUUUUUGGAUAGUAUGACUAUUUUUUGCUGGAAUAUUAGAGGCUUAAAUAGCCAUUCUCGUCAGCGAGUAGUCCGUAGCUGGAUUGCUUCGAAUAAAUUACUUGUAGGCGGCUUUUUGGAAACUCAUGUUGCAAAGGAGAAUGCUGCAACUGUUUUGGCGUCCACCCUACCGGGUUGGAAAAUGGAUAGCAACUAUUGUUGCUCAGACUUAGGGAGGAUCUGGAUUGUUUGGGACCCUUCGGUGUCUGUUUUGAUCUUUAAGAAAUCAGAACAAAUGAUCUUAUGCAGUAUAAAGGUGCCUAAUGUCGCAAUUUCUUUUGCUGUUGCUUUUGUUAAUGGAAAGAAUUCUGAGUUUGAGAGACGGAUGGUAUGGGAGGAAAUUAGCGUUGUGGCUUCUUCUUCUCCGCUGAUUUUUACCCAUUGGUUGCUGAUGGGAGACUAUAAUCAGAUUGCUGCAUCGUCUGAACACUAUUCUGUGAGUCAGUCAACCUUUUCCCUUAGAGGCCUUGAUAUUUUCCAAGAGUGUUUGAGAGAUAAUGAUCUGGCUCAUCUUCCAAGCCGUGGAGUUUUCUAUACCUGGUCAAAUCAUCAACAAGCUAAUCCUAUUCUCAGAAAGUUGGAUAGAGCCUUAGGCAAUGGAAUGUGGUUUAACUCAUUCUCAACCGCCAUUGUUGUCUUUGAGCCUCCAGGUGAUUCUGACCAUUCUCCUUGUGUUAUUCAUUUGGUAAAUCAAUCUGUUAGUUCAAAGAAGUCCUUAAAGUAUUUCUCCUUCCUUGCGACUCAUCAUUCUUAUCUGUCUUCUAUUGGAGAUGCUUGGGAGAAGAAGACUCUUAUUGGUUCUUGUAUGUUCAUGUUGAGGGAGCGGUUAAAGCAUUCAAAGCUUGCUUGCAGAGCCUUGAACAUGUCAGGUUUCGGAAAUCUCCAACAGAAAACAAAAGGCGCCUUAAUUCAACUUGAAGACAUUCAGAGGAUGCUUUUCUCAAACCCCUCGGGUUCUCUCUUCAGACAAGAGCAUGUUGCCAGGAAAAAUUGGGACUUCUUUUCAUUGGCCUUGGAGUCUUUUUACAGGCAAAAAUCCAGAAUUCGUUGGCUGCUUGAGGGUGAUGCGAAUACGAGAUUCUUUCAUAGAGCGGUGAUUGCUCAUCAGGCUAUUAAUCUCAUCAAGUACCUCAGAGGUGAUGACAACUCUAAGAUUGAAAAUGUGAACCAGAUAAAAGACAUGAUUGUUGCUUACUACUCUUAGCUCUUCGGGAGAACAUCAAUACGGUUCCUUUUUCUGUUGACACUAUCAUGGCUAUUCAUCCCUUUCGCUGUGACACUUUACUGGCAGCCAAGCUUUCGGCUAUCCCGUCUGAUGAGGAGAUUACUCUUUCCGUCUUCUUGAUGCCUAAGAAUAAGGCUCCGGUCCUGAUGGGUUCCUGGCUGAAUUCUUUUGGGACUCUUGGCCUGUGAUUAAGAAAGAGGUUAUUUCUGCGGUGAAAGAGUUUUUUUCCACAGGUUAUCUUCGUAAGAAGUUCAAUAUCACAGCGAUUACUCUUACUCCAAAGGUGAUAGGGGCUGAUAAGUUAUCUCAGUUCCGUCCCAUAGCUUGCUGCAACACCAUCUACAAGGUCAUUACCCGAAUCAUAUCCACACGGCUCAAGCUUUUCAUCUCUCAGGCAGUUCAAAAUAAUCAGGUUGGGUUUAUUAAAGGUAGAUUGCUCUGUGAGAAUGUUCUGUUAGCUUCGGAAUUGGUUGAAGGGUUUCACUUGGAGGGGGAGGUUACUAGGGGCUGUCUUCAGAUAGAUCUCUCCAAAGCUUAUGAUAAUGUGAAUUGGGAUUUUCUUCUCAAUAUUCUAGUGGCAAUGGACCUUCCUCAUAUUUUCGUCAAUUGGAUCAAAGUUUGUAUCUCUACUCCGUCUUAUAGUGUGGCCUUCAAUGGGGAGCUCAUCGGGUUCUUCUCGGGAAAGAAGGGUAUUCGUCAGGGAGAUCCCAUGUCUUCCCAUCUUUUUGUCCUCGUGAUGGAUAUUCUGGCUAAGUUCUUAGACCGGGGCGCGGUAAAUUCUGUGUUUCAGCUCCAUCCAAAGUGCUUGGUUCCUAUGGUAUCUCACCUCAGUUUCGCUAAUGAUGUCCUUGUGUUCUGCAAUGGUUCUGAAUCUUCUAUAGCUGGUAUUCUUUCGAUCUUGGCUGACUUUGAAACUUGUUCUGGUCUAGGAGUCAACAAGCAGAAAACGGCGCUUCUCAUUGAUGGUGGUGACAUGACUGGUUUGAGAAAUCUUUCUGAAAGAUUUGGCAUCUCGCAUGGGUCUCUACCGGUUAAGUAUCUUGGAGUCCCGUUAAUGACUCAGAAAAUGCAUCCGCAUGAUUAUCAACCUCUUAUUGAUAGAAUAAACCUGAAAUUCUCUUCUUGGACUGUGAGGCAUAUGUCUUUUGCAGGUAGACUGCAACUCCUGAAAUCUGUAAUUUAUUCGACGAUCAACUUCUGGACCUCUAUGUUUAUUCUUCCCAAUCAAUGUCUCCACAAGUUAGAGCAAAUGUGCAACUCCUUCCUUUGGAAAGGAGCCCCGAACUCGGCCCGCGACGUUAAGAUUGCAUGGGAUGUCGUUUGUACUUCUAAGGAAAGUGGAGGGCUCGGUCUCAAGCGGUUGGUUUGUUGGAAUAAAGUGUUUGCUUUGAAGUUAAUUUGGCUGCUCUUUACUAAGGCUGGGUCACUGUGGGUGUCUUGGGUUAGAAUGAACCUAAUUGGUACUAGGAAAUUUUGGGAUUUAAAUCCUUCAAACUCUGGCAGCUGGAUCUGGAAGAAGUUAUGCAAGUUGAGAAGCGUGGCUAGACCCUUCAUAGUCUGUGAAAUUGGUUCUGGUGAUACAGCUAGCUUUUGGAUGGACAAUUGGACCGAACUUGGUCCUUUGCUGAAUCUAACGGGCCAAACUGGGCCUCAAGUGGUUGGCCUUCCUCUUUAUUCUGUAGUGAGGGAUGCUCUUCGUGGUAACUGUUGGUGGAUUUCCUCAAGUCAGAGUAGGAAUCCCAUUAUCACCCUCCUCAAAAGUGUUUUACCUGAUGUGAGUAGUGUGUUUGAGUGUGUGGAGGAUGAUGUUUAUUUGUGGAAGCCAGAUCAUCAACCUCCAGCAAACUCUUUCUCUUCUCCUAAGACUUGGCUGGCUCUUAAUCCGCCUUCUCCACCUGUCUUUUGGCAUAAGUCAGUGUGGUUCAAGGAUCAUAUCCCAAAGCAUGCAUUCAUUUGUUGGGUUAUGGCUUGGAACAGGCAACAUUCUCGUGACAGACUUCGACUCUGGGGUCUUUCGAUCUCUCCGAUGUGUUUGCUUUGCAACGCCCACCAUGAGUCAAGAGACCAUCUCUUCUUUAACUGUGCAUUCAGCCGUGAAGUUUGGUCUUCCUUUACUACAAGAGUGAACUUGUCUCCUCCUCUGCUCUUCAUGGAUUGCCUUGGUUGGGUUAAUUCUGCUACUAGGGAUCCAAAUCUUUCCUUGAUUAUCAAACUUAUUUUCCAGGCCUCGGUUUACCUCCUUUGGAAGGAGAGGAACGACCGUAUUCACUCUCUCCAGCACAGGUCGCCGGCGGCUAUCAUUAGGAGUAUCAGCUUGAUCCUGCGGUCUCGUCUAGACCCCCUGUCUAGGAAGCAGCUGAAUGCCCCUCCAGGUUUUUCUCUGCUCUCCUCGUGAUUCAGGUUCUUCAGUUAGUGGGCCGGUUGUUUUUGGUUAGGGCCUGCUUUCUCUCUUUCUAGCUUUCUGUCUUUUUCUUUUUCGGUUUAGGGCAUGUGUGCCUUUUGGACCAUUGGUCUUGUAAGUUUAAGAACAGAGGCCUGCGUGCCGUUUGGGCUUUAGGGCCUUGUAAUGUUUAUUUGGAAAUUUAUGAAUUAAAAAAAAAAAAAAAAAAAAAGAAGUUAUUUUUGUUGUUUAGUGAAUAGAUGGUAAAUUUAUAUGAAUUUUACUCUUAAUAAAAUUAUAAGUUAAAACAUUAUUAAACAAAAUUUUGGAAAUUGACUAGAGAAAAAUAUGUUUAGACAACAAAGUUUUAAACAAAAUCAUAAUUUUGGGUUCCCGCUAAGCAAUAAGGGAAUCCAGCCGCGCUCAUACGACAUAGUUGGUGGUGGCACCAAAUUCGUUUCUUACAUGAACUUGUCGAAUAACAUUCGCACAGUUCCAUCAUUAACAUUCUUCAACUCAAACACCGGAAGAUGAUGAGUGUAUCUAUGUAAGGAAGUUGAUGAUGUACAACUUCAGCGAUAUGCGGAAUCUCAGUUGCACUCAUGAGGUCAACGUAUUCGACAUGUCUCUUCAUUUGUUCACACCUCCACUGGCUCUGUGGAUCGACCAUUAGUAGGACGAGACCGUCAUGCUCAUUUUUCAAGUGUUUAUCAAGUUGAAAAUAAGUCUCCGAGGAAUUGCAAUCAUCGAGAGGACAAGACCUCAGUUUAGUCAUUUUGAUCAAAGAAUAAAUUACUAAAAUCACAUCUUUCAUCUUACUUUAAAUUUAGAUAUUACUGCGCCAACACUAGUCAAAAUUAGAUUGAAAAUUGCUAAAAAAACUCAUAGAUUUUGCUUAGUUUAAAUUUAGGGAUUCUGUCGCUGCCACUAGUCAAUAUAAAGUUAAUAAAUUACUUAGGAGUUUACAAAAUUUCAAUUUUGUUUUACUUUAAAGAUAAAUUAUUCAUUAAUAAUACUUUAACAUAACUUGUUUGUUUCUUUUCUAACUGAUCACAUAUAUAUAUUUUAAUUUGCCUUAAUUUACAUAUCACGGCGCCAACACUAGUAAGCUUUAUCAAGUAAGAAUUUACUAAUGACACAUAAUCAACUAAACUUAAAUUUAGAUAUUACGGCGCCGGAAUUAAUCAAGAUAAAAAUUUGCUAAAGAAACUUUUAUGUUUCUCUUAAUUUGAAUACUACUUAUGACACAUAUAUUUACUUGAAUUUAGAUAAUAUGCCAUAUUUGGUGGUAACUUACUAAAUAAACAUACAUAUUACUUAGCUUUAUUGUAGACUAGAUCAUAACCCGUGCUAUACAGCACGGGCAUUAAUAUUUUGUAUAAAUUAAAUUGUAUAUUUUGUUAUGUUUGCUAUGUCAAAAUUAUUUGUUAUAUUUGUCAAAAUUUAGUAAAAUAUAUUCAAAUAUAAUUAAAUUUAUUAAAACUUAAUAAAUUUAAAAGUUUUUUUUGUUUGGAGACGCACUAUCUACAUACAAAAUACCCGUUUCUAUUUUUUUUAGUAUUUUUAGGGCCUAAAACUUUUUAUCCAAACCAACCCAAACCCAACUGGACCCGACCCGAACCGAAUAUUUAGAAUUAUUCUAUUAGGUAGUAAAUCAUAUACCCAUUAAUCCCAAACCCGAACUCGAAUGGGUUACUCAUAUGCCCAGCCCUAUUCUCUGAUUUAAUUAUCUAAAAAAUCCCAAUAAAACAUAUGUUUUGCUGACUACUUUUUAUUCAAAAAAAUUUACAUCCUCUUCUGCCAAAAUCAUUUCAUAAGACAUCCCAAAACCCAUGGAAUAAUGAUUCCAUGAAUGAAGAAUCCUAAUUUGAAUAUACCAAGAGGUUUUGAAAGGUUUUAAGUUUUUGAUAGGUGUGUAUGUGAGAAGGUACAUCCACAUCGUGAUGGUAAUCUGCUUAUUUAUAAUUUUAACUUGCAUUAUACAGCAGGUAGGCUUAUAUUUUAGUUAAACUAAAAACUUUUAUUGUAAAGUUGAUUAUAAAUAUAUGAUAUUAUUUUAUUUGAUUUUAAAUGUAUAGUAAACUGCGAGUUGUAUAUGUUUUGUUGAUAUUAUUUAUAUUGUUUAGUGUUUAAAAUUAUAUACUUGUAUUUUGAUUGUUAUUUUUAGAGUUUCACCUGUAGUAUAUCAUCUUGUAUUAAUAUUGAUUUAAACCCGUCAAUUCUAGGAUUUUCCAGCUUGUAUUAAAAAUUGAAUCACAUUAUACACAUUAAAAAAUCUAAUAUGUUAUUAAUUAUUGUAGUAUAUAUGAUUAUAAAUUUUAAAAUAAUAUGUAUGAAAUUAAAUAUAAAUAUUCAAAUUAUGACACAGUACUCAGUAAUUUUUUUUCUUAAAUCUACUUUUGACCCGUUAUAGUAUUUUUUCAUGUAUUGAACAGUUUAUAUUCGUUUUUAAAAAUUCAAAUUGUGGCAUAUGCGAAAAAAACUCUAAUUAUUUUUUUAUAACGAUGGUAUUAUUUUUCGCAAAAAUAGAAUCAUAUAAAGAUGAGAGGUGAACUAUAAUAAUUAAUAAAAAAUUAAUAUGAUAAUUUAGAUAUCAAAUCUAAUUUGUUGAUUUUAAUUGGUUACUUUUUUGGAAAUUAAUAAUGUAUUUCGUUUUUGAGUUAAAAUUAAUUAAAUUAGUAUUUGACUUUUUAAUUUUUAAAGAAAUGAAUUAAUUUACUCUUUAAAAUUUUAUUUCUAAUGGCAUACCUAUGUAAUUACUUAAAAAAAAAUAAGGUUAUAUUUAAAAUGUACUUCCCAAAUAAUAUAGUAGGAUAAUAUGUCUUUGACACUACUCCAAAAUUAAGAAACAUAUUUCUAAACAAUAAAAUCAUAAGUUUUAGUUAACUUAAAUUUAGAUAAUGCGUCCCUACCACUAGUUAUAAGAUAAGCAAUACAAUGCUUAGGUUGACAAAGAAAAUGUUAUGCUUAUGAUUUUUCUAGACAAAAAAUUGUUGGGCUUAGGUCGACCAAAGAAAAAAAAAAUUGGGCUUCUUAUUUUCAUGUAGAACGAAAAAAUAGAGGAGGGUGGUUAUGGUUAUUGAUAUUGUGAAGAAGAUGAAAGUAAUAAGACAAGUAUAAGAAACACAGACGAUUUUUAAGGAGAUAAGGAAGAGAAGGUGUGUGAAGGGGAAAAAGGGUUUUGAUGAAAGGUUCGUUGUGGAUUAUAUAGAAACCAAAUCUGAAGCAUCCAAGAUUUGCAAAAACAUAAAAUGAAGGAGUGCGGUGGCGGAUUCUCGAAGCCCAUCAUCGGAGCCGUGUCAGAUUGUUGAGUUGUUGCUAGCUCUGGUUUUUAGGUUUAAGUGUGUUUCUGAUUUAGAUAGGUUUGAAGAAGUGGUUAAUUCUGUUGGAAUGUUAGCUCUGUUCCAACUUACGUGAGAUUUUGUCUAGCCUUAGAAGCGAGUGUAAAUACGUUCACAGUGAGCAAGAGCUCCAGAUGAAACCGAAUAAUACUUGAGAUCCGAUUUCUGAGCAAGGCAAGAAAGUGAAAGGAUAUGAAGAUGUCUGAGCAAGAAGAGGGAGUGAGAGAAGACGGUGAGGUUUUGUUCACUGAGCAUAUGAGGGAAUCAAUUGAUGAUGAAUGAUGUGGUGGUAGUGGUGUUAAUUUGUCGUUAAGUAAAUGUUUGGAUCAUUUACACAGAAAAAGGCUAUCAUAUGAUCUGAAUUACGUUUUAGGAGAGCCUGUUAAGUUUUGAUCUUUUAGGGUUUUAGAUCUAAAAUUAACAGAGCUCUUUGAUUUAACAUUUUGGAAAUUGAAUCCCAUGUUAAUGUAGAUGAAGAAUCUACCCAAGUGUGUUGAAAUAUGUUUGUGAAUUUAAAAACUGAUUUAUUCAUUUUUGGAGGAAUAUUGAUAGUUGGUUUUGUUACAUUUGAGAACGUAGAACAAUUGUAGAGCGGCGUGUAAUUGAUUUUGUUAGUUUGUGUUGAACUUAUUUAUUUUGAGAUAUAACAAAGAAAUGAAAGACGUCAACAACAAAUUGGUCUUAUAGUUCCGGUUAUUUAUUCUAUUCUAGAAUAGAUUAUGUUGGCUUAAGAAGACAUUUAGACUUAAGAGUUAUUUCCUCUGUUAAAAUAUAUGUCCUUCAUUCUUCCAAACGAUUAAGUGAUUUUAAGUUUUGUUUUUGAAAUGAUUAAAUGACUCUGAGUUUUGUUCUUCCAAAUUAAAUCAAAAAUAUUAACAACAUAAUCUGUUCUUAAGAAACUGAUUAGCGAAUCUCAAGAAAUACAUAUUUGUAAACAAGAAGAAUUUGGAACGAGAAUAAUAUAUUUAUAGGUUUCUUAACAACAAGAAUUUGGAACGAUAGAUUGUUUGGCUACCAACAACAUAAACAAAAAAACAAGCAAACGGAUAUAGUUCCAAAAUAAAUAAUUUUAUAUGGUCAAAACUACUGUUGCUAUAUAAAGCACAAAAACUAUAGAAACCCAACUCAACAAUAAUUAUCCUGUUACUUUUUUUGUUUUUUUGCUAUAUAAACUAAGCAAAAUUUUCAUAAGUUUGAACACUCAUAAACUCAUCUCUUCAAAAUAAUGGCAACUCAAACAAUAAAAAAGAUAUACAGUGUUUUGAUGAUUGUAGUUUUAUUUACGAUGAUGGUUUCAACCAACGCGAGUACGGUGGAAGUGUGUGUUAAGCAUUGUGUCCCGAACCAAUGCAUGAAAGUUUCUCAGAAGGCAACUCUUCCAUUAUGUGAGACUGCUUGCACAAAACUCUGCAAUGAAAACAAACAUGAGGAAUAUGUCGUGCCUCGGAGUUACUGUGAGGGAUUAUUUUGGUUUCUAUGUGAUAAUUGAAAUUUAAUAAAUAUGCAAAGUAAUAUAUAUGUAUUUUUUAUCUGUAAAAAAAUAAUCUAUAAUGUAAAAAUGUACCUUUAAUCAAUAUACUAAUUUCAUGUAAUUAUUUUAUUUAUACUAAUCAAAUUGACACAUCAAAAUGCUGAGAAGUUAUCUAAUCACCCAACUAAUAAAAAUCUUAUAAAUGCAAUAUUGUUCUCAUCAUCUCUCCACAUCAAUAUUUAGAUCGUUUUGUAAUCUCUUGCUAAAACUAAUCCAAUCGGUUCUCUAUCGAACCAUUAAGUUAUGAGUUUUCUCUUUACAAUUUUGUAUGAAUGACUAGAAUGAUUGUGAAAGAGGAGAGCAAUCUCGAGUUAUCUAAAUUUUGUUUUGUCACUUGUUCAUAACAAUAACAUUUUUGUGCUACGAAUGUCAAAAUUUCAGGAUUUGUUAAGUAUUAGAGAGGAUGAAUUUAAUAGUUUUUUUUGUUUUUGUGUUUUAUUUUUGGGUUUUUAAUAGAAUUUAAUAGUUCAUGUAUUGUUUAAUACAAUGUCAAAAUUGUGUAUAUAUUUAAGAAAGAUAUUAUUUAAUUAGUGUACAAAUAUAUAUUUGUAAACUUAUGGUCAAUGAUGUAAAAAUUUCAAUUAGUAAUUUUGAGGCUUGUUUUUUUUUUAGAUUCAAGCCACUUCUUUAGUGGGCUUAUCGAAGGCCCAAUACCAAAUUUACGUCUCCUCUCUCUCUCUCCGAUCUCAAUAGAUCGCUGGAGUUGAGAGAGCUUCGGGACUUCGCGUUCCUUGACGAAGAAGACGAUACUUCUUCUCCUUCCAUCACAGCUUCACGCAAAUCUUUCUGCAGUUACAUCUUCUUAAGAUUCUGAGUUCCGACUUAUUUCGUGGAAGGAUUUUGAUAUUUCAACAGUGAUUUUAAUUUUAUACUGGAACUUAAGCAUCACUUAAUCUUCCGGCUAAAAUGAUGUCGCCGAAGCAAAUCUCCGACGAUCGAGGAUCUUCACAUUUCAGGUACCUUCAUACCCAAUUUUUCCAUUAAAACCUCUCUGCUAUUGUGUGUGGUUUCUUCUUUUGCUAGUUUUGAUUUGCGUAGAAAUCAAAUGAGAAAAAUCAAAAAUCAAGAACGAAGUUUCUUCUUCUUGCUCCAAUGGAGUUUCAUUGAAAUUACAACAAAAUGUGUUCUGUUGCUUCAUUUUCCUGAAGAUAAUGCAGUAACAUAAUUAGGUAGAAUCACUGAUUUGAGUCAUAAUUAGGUUAAGAUUUUAGUUCAUUGGGUUUUGAUACAAUACUAUGUUGAAGCAGUGCUGUGAGUCCUGAAAAUUGUCAUUGGCUUAGAAUUGAGUAAUCUGCUACCUAAUUUUUUGUAUUGUUGACUCUCUUUAUUUGCAGGCAUACACCAUUCCAGAUAAUCCACCUUAUUGGGAACUUUUUUAGGAUAUGGUCAGUAUAUUCGAUGUACCGAUACUUGAAUCAGACGGGAGCGCCUGUUGUUCUCUUUCUCUUCUGCUGUCUGGUGCCUUCAUCAAUCAUCUUCUUGAUAAUUCAAAAGCCAUGGAAAGGAAGGGCUCUUUCUAAUCAACAGGUUUACUUUAGUCAUAUCUAAUUUCUUGCAUGUAUAUUUAUGUGGAUAGUUUGGACAUAAAUUAUAUCUUGACUGUUUCAGAUUGUACCUUCUCUUAUCAAUGGAGUCAUCACGGCUCUAUACUUCAUCUUAUGGGGAAAAGGUCUCAAGUCUUGUGGACCUCUUAGGUAUUUGAUUAGUUAUUAAGCAUUCAUACUACCGUAAAAUUCUCCUCUGGUCUUAUCUGUAUUAGGAGUUCCCGUAGAUAUUGGCUUUUGAAAGGUAGAGAAGUUGAAAGUUUACCUAUGAGCAAUUUGGUCCCAGUUUAGCAGUUUGGUUCAAUACUAGACUUACAAUCCUCUCCUUGUCCUUCAUUUCUGCAAUCUUCGUAUUUAAGCUACAGUUUCUGUCAUUUGGUCAAAAAAAAUAUCUUCAGUGAUAUUUGAUUAUCCUUGCUUAUGAUUCUUUGUAUAUUAUUUUCAGAGCUAUCUUGUCAGAGUAUUCUGGUGCUGUUCUUGGAGUACUUUCUGGAGUAUUAUAUGGACGGAGAGGCCAUGUGUGGAAAAAGGUAUUCAUCUUACAUAGCAUCUCAAGUCAAUGUAACCAGUUAACUAGCACGAUUUACAUAGUUUUACCCAUAGUGUUAUUUUGUUUAGUACCCUUGGCAUGCAUCAGCUCACUUGUCUCACUGACCAACUAUAGAGCUGUGCAAUAGUAUCUAGCAUUUAGUGAUGUUUCUUCUGGCUAGUCCAUAUACUUAUAUUGCUUGCAGUAUAAUUAUUGAUAUGAAUUUUAAUAUGGAAAUAUCAAAAUUUAUGUUUAUAUAUCAACAAGGAUACUUAUUCAAAGAGUAGGAAAAUAUUUCUCUCAUAUUUUGCAAAUCAUGAUAGGUAGGUGGCCUCAUUGCAAUGCUGGUAGCUCUUUUUUUCUUGUCUCAAGGAUGGGCGACAUCAUCUCUCUCCCCUUUUUAUAUCCUUUUUCGCAAGUUCCUUCUUCUUAUCUCGAUCUUGAUCUCUAUGUAUAUAUAUCUUGCUCGUUUUUAAUGGUGUGGAUAGUUUAACUUAACAACAAGCUACCAACAAAAGAUAGUACUGAAACCAAAGAGGAAGAAGUACAAACAGAACAAGCACUAGGUAUGAUGGGAAUGAUGAUACCAGUUUUUGCUGGAAUCUUAUCAGCAUUAAGGCGGGUUAUCGCACGCCGUGUUUCUCUAAAGGUAAUGCUCUCAGAUUCCUUCGAUUUCUCCAGUCAUUUCUUUUCUUAUUUCUGCUUCCUUUGUGAACAAUCAAUUUUCUUGUUUUGCAGAACCAGCAGAAGAAACGACUACAUGCGAUAACCAUUACUUCUGCAACCUGUUUCUUGUUCCCUGUGGCCAUGUGGGACCUUAUCAUAGUAAGUGUUGCUACUCUUUUGCAAUGAGAAGGAUUAAUGUAUCAAAGAUGGUGUUUUCUCAAUCACCCAAGGCCGGUUUGGUUCACUAUAAUAACAAAAUUUCACUUCAGGGGUCAUCUUCUGGGAAAACAUCCGAGUUACCAUUUUCUGCGUGGGCUUUCCUUAGCACCAUUAUUUUCGGGAUCAUCCUAAUAUUCUACGUUGAUAAUAUCGCAGAAGAGAGGUUUCGUAAAGCUUUACCCUUAAAUCAUCUUUACAUUGCAUUUUAACACACAAACAUAUGCUUUAAACGAAUAUGUUCUGUUUGUCGCAGAUUGCAUAUGGUGUUUUCUUCGCCGAGGCAUUUAAUGGUAGCAGGUGUAUGCAUAAUAGUCAUGGAGUUAGCUUAUGAGAUGGAUUUUUCUCUUCCCGGUUUCAUCGUUUGUUGCUUAGUAUUAGGGUUUGGAAUAUUCGAGGCAACAUCUCUAGAACGGAACAAGAAAGACUCUUCGUUGAAAUCAGAAGAUCCAUCAAACGGAAUCCUUGGUAAUAAUGACUUUGAUACUUCUCCAAUUCUUCCCAUAUAGCUCACCAAUCUUUCCCUACACUAACGACGAUGUACUGUUGAAUGUACUUGUCCUUGACGAUGUAAAUCUGUCUGGUUUUAUUCGUUUCUCAAUCUUUGUACCUUCAUUUUUCAGCUUUUUUUGUUUUCUUGGUGAAGCAUAUGCAAAUAUUUUGGUCUAACGUAGACAAAGAUGAUAACCCAUGAUGAUGAAUAUACUUACGGUUAUACGAAGAUAACUCUGUAGAAUGAUCGAAUUGAAAUUUCUUCGAUAUCAAAACAUGUCACGGUUUGACAAUAAUACGAAGAAAACCAAACCGAUCAGGACCAAGAGAAUUUAAACCAAACCAAAUUUCUUAUGGUUUGAGUUAGCAACGUGUAGUAACCAAACCAGUCAAGCGUGAAACGCUUCGUUUCCUUCUCUUUUGGUCUCUGUCAAUUUUGAUGUUUCGCCGAGAAAAAAAAAAAACAAUUAUUGAUGUUUCAGCUUCUUCUCCGAUGCAUUUGCUUGCCUUCGUUGAAGCUCUUUCACGUUGGUCGUAGUAGUGUUGUUGUAGUUAAGACUUAAGAAGAUGGAUCUCUCUUUGACAUCAAUGACUCUUGUCUUUCUACAUCCCGAAGAGGGUAAAUGCAUUGAAUUCUGGAGAACUUCGUCAACAGAGUAUUUGCUUUCCUAGGUGUUGAUUUAGAUUGCAUGAAUCGUUGGAUAUGAAAUAUUGAAAUGUAACGCGCAGCAGCGUUGGUGUUUCUUAAAACUCUAGUAGUUUACUCAGUUUGGUUUUCUAGUGUUAAGUUUCAGGUGCUACUUUCUGGUUGAUGAGGUAAAUGAUGAAAUCAAUUCUUUGAACUCUUUCUUGUGUUUGUAGGAGAUGGAUAUAUACACUAAAGAGAAUAAUUUAUAGACCUCAAAGUCUCUGGAAUGUUUAACGUUGUAGCAACAAGUUUCAUAGUUUUGAUAUUUAACAAGUGGACUAGUGCACACUAAUGAGUCUCAGUGUUUCUUCAGAAGCUAAAGUUUUAGUUACAUAUUUUGCUCUUCUUUGGUCAACUUUUGCUUUCCUUCUCUGAGUUCUCUUCUCUUUAAGCAAUACUUGUAAAUUUUUGCCUAAAUCUGUUUAAUCCCAAAUAUCAAGCCGUUCCGGUUUAUCGAAACUAAACCGGUGAUUUUAUAGAACAGGAAGAAACAAAACCCUAUACAGUAUUUUGUUUGCUUGCUGGUAGAGCCAUCGAAUUCAAGGGACUAAGUAAAUCCCAACUCUCUUUUUCACUGAAACCCCUAAAUAUUAGGUCUUGGAUAAAGCUUUUGUAACAAGGUAGGUUUCGAGGUUUUACUGAUUAUUUUUUUGGGGGUUCCUUAGUCCAUAAGAUUCCUAUUUGCGUUGUGAACUCCAAGUUUCCCUCUAUGCAAAGUUCAUAAGAUUCCUGUUUUACCAAUUUAACGUGUUUCAUUUGCACUUGCUUGGAUUUUACAUGAAUUGAAACUUUAAAACUAAUUGAAUUUUUGUCGCCCGCGGUUGUUGGCGGACCGGACCACCGCAGAGUGAACAGAAGCAAGGUCCGUCGCGAAGUGCCCGUUUGGUCGCGGGCUCGCCUGUCUGCCACCCCUAUUCAUCUCUAUUACUUUUAUAUUUAGACUUUACAGAAUCAAUUAUUUUGGAAUUUCUUUAUAUUUCCAUAUUUUUUCUUAUAAUUUUGUAGACUAUAAAUUAAUUAAUAUUAAUUACUACUAAUUCAAGUUUUCGAAAAAUAGACUACUUUUUUAUCAGAAUAAUCAGAAGAAAUUUAAAUUAAUAUUUUGAGAAGAUUUUGUUUCCAUAUAAAUGUAUAUAAUUAUAUUUAAAAUAAGUAAUUUAACAAAAACAUGUAGAGUAUAUGUAAGAAAUAACCAUUGACUUGAAAAGAAUACACAAAAUAACCUUGGACCAAAUAGUAUUUGUCGGCUACAGAAAUUUUGGUAAUAUUUAGUCUAUUUUAGCCUUUCUCUUUCUUAUUCCUUCUUUUGUUUUUUUUCCAUGUUCUUUACGAGACUUUAGUCAUAGAGUUCUCUUUCUCUCUUCAUUUUUAACACAAUUCAUCUUCUUCAGAUUCACCAUGUCAUUUUCUUUUUCUAUUUCUCUCUUCCUCUCCUAAAAUAAUCUUCACCACCUUUCAUAAAAUAUAUCAUCAUAUCUUUUUAUUUUGUUCACCCACAUGUUCUCUCUUUCUUUUUCCAUAGAAAUCUCUCUAUCUCUCAUUCUUUAUUUUAUUUUUUACCUGAAUUCUCCGUCAAUGUCGUUGUGAUAUAAGAGAUUAGAUUUGAUUUUAAAACAAAUGUCUGAUUUUAAAAUGCAUGUAUUUUAAGAACAAAACAUGUUAUUAACACUGAUAUAUUAAUAUUUGUCAUGCUAUCCCACAAAAACUCAUGAAAUAAAUAAAUAUUUGUCAUGUUAUCCAAUAAAAACCCAUGUAAUAUUGUAACAAUUCUAUAUGUUUUUUUAAACUUCGCGAUCGAUAAGAGAAUUGUAUGCUUUUUAUAAAUAUUUUGUGCUAUUUCAGAAAAACACAUUAUUUCAGAGAAACAUAUAUAUCGUUUUGUAUGUAUUUUAAAGAAUUGCAUGCUUUUUUGUAAAUAUAUCAUGUUAUUUUAGACAAAUAUAUAAAAACUUUAUAACUACAACCACCGAUAUUUUUGUAAAAACAAGAAAAUCUAAAGAUAUUUUAGUAUUUUAUCCACCAUAGAAAAUGUUAUUUACCUAAGUUUCCUGACACAAGGCUAUUGUCUCAAUUCUUUUCAAUUCCAUGGUUACUCUCUAAUAUUACCUUUAGAAUGGUUUUCCCUACCCUUAACCUUAAAACCUUUCUUUCAAGCCUAUGUACUAUUUGUGAGUGAGGCCUCUUGUAUGAAAAUGCUAUAGAUUUUGAAAUCUUCAAAGUAUUGAGAACGACAAGGUUUUAGCUCUUGUUUUUAGCUAGCUUUUGGAACAUCUUUGGACUAGCUACUAGGUUGGGAAUGAAAGAUUUAAGUGGUUAGAUUGAAUACUUGGGAUUGGGUUUGAAAAAAAAAAAAAAAAAAAAAAAAAAAACCUCUUUUUCUCUUAGUUUUUGUUGCUUUGCAUUCAUAUUUUGGCAUAUAGUAUUGCAUUUGCAUUUGCAUUUGUUUUUUUUAGGUACAUGAGUGGAGUUUAAAGUUUUGGAAGUAAAAUGGAGCAAAUGGAGCAAACAAAGGAGCUAAAAGAUUGCAAAGUGGCCAAAGAAGAGAAGCUAGUAGGAAUCUACCAAACUGGUCGAUUGCGUGGUCGAUUGGUCAGGACCAGAGCUACGGAGGAAUAUGAAUCUACCAAAGUGGUCGAUUUCGUGGUCUACUGGUCAAGGAUUAAUGUUGCGGACGAUAUUGAAUCUACCAAGUGAUCUAUUGCUUGGUCGAUUUCCUUCCUUAACCGGAUCAAAACCCGGUUUGUUCCGGGUUAAUCCGGUUUAUUUUCUCGUUACUAUAAAUACUCUUAACCUAGUUUUAGAGAGAGGGAGCUUUUGUUUAGGGAUAAAAACUUCUCUUGAAGGUUCUUUAUCUAAGGUUUUUGUAUGAAUGUUGAGUUCUUAAGUUUCUAUAUCAAGUAUUUCUUUUAAAUUUCUCAUCUAUUCUCUAAUGAUUAUGGCUUUACAAAGAUCAAACCAAUUCCUUUGUAUGAUCAUGAUCAUGAGUGAGUAGUCUCCUAGAGUUCUUUGGUUAGGGUAGAUUAGGAUGGUUUAGAUGUUGGGUUAUGGAGUUUAGGGCUAGAUUACUUAAGAUUCUUACUUAUUGGUUGCUUUUAAGGCUAGAUCAACCUUGAUCAUGAUGAUUUAGACAUUAGGAAUUUCAUGCCCGGAAGGUGUUCGAUGAAAUUCCCAAACCAAAAUCUUUAAGUGCUUUUCAUACCUUACCUUUGGAAAUUGUUGAUUAGGGUGAUUAGUGGCUAGAUAGACUUGUUAUUUAUGCUUAUUGAUCAUUUGAUUGCCUUUGGAAAUUGUUGAUGAUUGAUUGAUUAGUAAAGGGAUUAAUAUCAUGGAAAUGUAUUAGUCUUGUUUAGUGUUCUAUGGCCUAAGGAUCAUUGCUUGUUAGAAGUUGUUUGUUGCUCCAUAAUCCAUCUCUUUAUCAUUUCUAAUCGAUUACCUUAACCCGAGAAUUCGUCUUUAGUUUUCGCUUAGUAAUUUGUUAAUUUCCCGCUUUGUUUACUUUCGAAACUUGUUGGUCUUUUGUUUCUUGCUUUCUCUUAUCUUGUUUUGCAUUGUUUGUUUAAUAAUGCAUUGUUACUAAGAUUUAGAAUACUCAAAAUCAUCUUGUUAGCUUAGAUUAAGCAAGUGUGUGUAUUCUUGGUGAGUUGAUUAAAUUGCAAAUUGUGGUUCGAUAAUUAAUUGAAAGAAAUGCUACAUCAAUUUGGCGCCGUUGCCGGUUUGCAAUAGUUAUUAGCCAUUAGGAUUUCAUAUUUGUUUGAGACUAAGCCUUUUACUUUAGUUACUAAUCCUUUAUACUUGAUCUUUGCUCUUGUUUUAAAGGUGUAUGAACCUACGAAGUCACGGUCGAGCAAACUUAGUAGAAGAGAUUAGUGACAUCCGCCGGUUUGAAAGAGAAAACGCUAGAGCAAGAAGAGAACGAGAACGACUUGAACACCUUGCUCGGUUAGGCGUCAUGAAUGAACCCGGAAUUGAGGGCCAUAAUGGAAAUGGCCAAGCUAAUGGGGAUGGUCAUAUGCCACAACAUCAACCAAGAGCUCAUCAACCAAUUGGAGCCUUUGAUGAGCCAAACAUCCGUGGAAAUAGAAACGGUAUUCAAGCUCCUCCGGUUGAGAACAACAACUUUGAGAUUAAAUCAAGCCUCAUCAACAUGGUUCAAAGCUCUAAGUUUCAUGGUUUAUCAAUGGAGGACCCUUUGGAUCAUCUAGACCAAUUUGAUAUGUUGUGUAGCACGGUGAAAAUCAAUGGGAUCUCGGAAGAUGCAUUCAAACUUAGACUCUUCCCGUUUUCUCUUGGAGAUCGAGCUCGUAUUUGGGAGAAGAAUCUACCUCAAGGCUCCAUCACCUCUUGGGACCAAUGCAAAAGAGCCUUCCUCUCAAAGUUCUUCUCCACAACAAGAACGGCAAGGUUGAGAAAUGAGAUAUCUAGCUUCACUCAAAGGAGUAAUGAAAGUUUUUGUGAAGCUUGGGAAAGGUUCAAGGGAUACAAAAUGCAAUGCCCUCAUCAUGGUUUCUCUAAAGAAUCUAUACUAAGUACCUUGUAUAAAGGAGUUCUCCCUAAAUUUCGCAUGUUGUUGGACACGGCAAGCAAUGGAAACUUCUUGGGCUAAGAUAUUGAUGAUGAUUUGUCUUUGGUAGAGAAUCUAGCUCAAAGUGAUGGUAACUAUGGUGAAGAUUAUGACCGCACUCCAAGAGAAAGUAAUGAGAUGAGCGAUCUACACCGCAAAGAGAUCAAAGCAUUGAAUGAAAAGAUGGAUAAGAUGAUUCUUGCUAAUCAAAAACCGAUCCAUUUUGUAUCCGAGAGUGAUGUCUACCAAGGUUAUCAAGAGAAUAUGGAAGGUUGUGUAGAGGGACAAGAAGAGGUCAACUAUGUUAGUGGACAAGGCUACAACAAAUUCAACCCUAACUAUAGGAAUCACCCCAACCUUUCAUAUAGGAGCAAUAAUGUGGAGAACCCACAAGAUCAAAGCUACCCACCUUUAAAGCCUCCCGGUUUCACACAACAACCUAACUAUCAACCUAAACCCCAAGGGAACUUCCAACCAAAGCCUCAAGCCUACCACCACAACCAACACCAAGGGAGUUCAUCAAAUCCUCCACCUCAAGCGAAUGAUACAAACGCUCUUCUUAAACAAAUUUUAGAAGGGCAAGGAAGAGGAGCAAUCGAUCUCGCCACACAAAUGAAAGGAAUGCACACCAAAGUCGAUGACCUUUAUGGUGAGCUCAAUGCCAAAAUAGAGCGUUUGAAUGCCCAUGUUUAUAGCCAAUCCUCAUCCACUUCCAAGCGGCCAAUGGGAACUUUACCGGGUAAACCGGAACCAAAUCCGAAAGAGUAUAUAAAUGCUAUAACCCUUAGAAGUGGUAAAGAGUUGCCGAGUGGAGAGCUCAAUAGAGACAUUGAGCCUAAACAAAAGGAGGGUGUGAUUGAGAUUGAUGAAGAGGAGGUAUUGAAUGAGAAAGUUUGUCAAGAUGAGAUUGAUGUUGAAAAAUGUAUUGUUGACAAAGGGAAGGGUAAAAUAGUUGAAGAGUCUAAAGAAGACAAAACCCAAGAAGAAAUCUCCAAGAAGGAUAAAAGUUUUGCUAAGAAAGAGACUCUAUUUGUACCUCCACCUUAUGAACCAAAGUUACCAUUCCCGGGUCGUUUCAAGAAGCAACAACUAGAGAAGUAUAGAGCAAUGUUUGAUGAGCAAAUGAAAGAAGUUACUAUCACCAUGCCUAUCAUAGAUGCGUUCUUGUUAAACCCGACUUACAACAAGUUUCUUAAAGAUGCGGUUGUAGAAAAGAAGAAAACAUUACAAGGUAUGGUCCUUUUGACUCAUGAAUGUAGCGCUAUCUUCCAAAACAAGAUUGUAGCAAAGAAGCUUGAUGAUCCGGGUAGCUUUACACUUCCAUGUGCUCUUGGUCCUUUAUCCUUUGACCAUUGCUUGUGUGAUCUUGGUGCUAGUGUUAGCUUGAUGCCUCUUUCGGUUGCCAAACGCUUAGGUUUCACAAGAUUUAAGGAUUGUAGAAUUUCACUUGUCCUUGCGGACCGUUCUAUUAGAACCCCGGUUGGUUUGCUUGAGGAUCUUCCGGUCAUGAUUGGUCAUUUUGAGAUACCAACGGACUUUGUGGUCCUUGAGAUGGAUGAGGAACCGAAAGACCCACUUAUCUUAGGACGCCCAUUUUUGAGAACCGCGGGAGCAAUGAUUGAUGUGCGAAGAGGAAUGAUUAAAUUGAACUUGGGUAAGGAGGUAUUAACCUUUGAUAUAAAAAAAACGAUGAAGAAACCUACCAUUGAAAACCAAGAAUUUUAUAUCGAAGAGAUAGAAGCUUUAGCGGAUGAGCUUUUGGAAGAGCUAGCAAUGGAGGAUCCACUUCAUAGUACUUUGACUAUAAAACAAGGAGAGUUUGGAUUACUUGAAAGUGAUAGUGAGGGGUAUGAGAAGAUACUUGAUUCUCACAAGCCUUCUAAUGAAGAUGGAACCUUCCUUGAGUUGAAAGAAGUUAGUCAUGAGGUUAAUGUUGUUGAGAUUGAAGAGGUGACAAACAAGGAGGGAGCUAGCAAUGGUAAGUCUAGCAUAGAUGGAGAUUGGAGUGAACUCAAGGCUCCAAAGGUGGAACUAAAACCUCUUCCCAAGGGGCUAAGGUACGCAUUUCUUGGAACAAACUCUACUUAUCCGGUUAUAAUUAAUGACGAACUUAGUGAUUUAGAGGUCUCCACCCUAAUAGAGGAAUUGAAAAAGUAUAGAAAAGCUAUUGGUUAUUCUCUUAGUGAUAUUAAAGGAAUUUCGGAAACUCUUUGUGUGCAUAGGAUUCAUCUUGAGAAUGAGUCAAUGACUUCCGUCGAACAUCAAAGGCGGUUAAAUCCUAACCUUAGAAAUGUAGUACGGGAAGAGAUCCUCAAACUCUUGGAUGCGGGAAUAAUUUACCCGAUCUCGGAUAGCACAUGGGUUUCUCCGGUUCAUGUGGUCCCAAAGAAGGGUGGAGUCACGGUUGUAAAGAAUGAUAAUGAUGAGUUGAUCCCAACUAGAACAAUAACGGGGCAUAGGAUGUGUAUAGAUUAUCGAAAAUUGAAUGCCGCUUCUAGGAAAGAUCAUUUUCCUUUACCGUUUAUUGAUCAAAUGCUAGAGAGGUUAGCCAAUCACACCCACUAUUGUUUUCUAGAUGGAUAUUCGGGAUUCUUUCAAAUUCCGAUUCAUCCAAAUGACCAAGAGAAAACAACUUUCACAUGCCCUUAUGGUACAUUUGCAUAUAGGAGAAUGCCAUUUGGUUUGUGUAAUGCUCCCGCUACAUUUCAAAGAUGCAUGAUGUCUAUAUUCUCGGAUCUAAUUGAAAAUGUGGUUGAAGUUUUUAUGGAUGACUUCUCCGUCUAUGGAGACUCUUUUGCCUCUUGUCUUUCUAAUUUGUGUAGGGUCUUGAAACGUUGUGAGGAGACUAACCUUGUGUUAAAUUGGGAGAAGUGCCACUGCAUGGUUAGAGAUGGGAUAGUAUUGGGUCACAAGAUCUCCGAGAAGGGUAUAGAGGUUGAUAGAGCUAAGAUUGAUGUGAUGACCAAUCUAGCACCGCCAAAUUCGGUUAAGGGAAUAAGAAGUUUUUUGGGCCAUGCCGGGUUUUAUCGAAGGUUCAUCAAGGACUUCUCCAAAAUAGCAAGACCACUUACAAGACUAUUGUGUAAAGAAGUUGCUUUUGUGUUUGAUGAGGAAUGUCUAGAUGCUUUCAAAAAGAUAAAGAAAGCUUUGGUUAGUGCCCCAAUAGUGCAAGCACCGGAUUGGAAUCUACCAUUUGAGAUCAUGUGCGAUGCUAGUGACUAUGCGGUUGGAGCGGUUCUUGGUCAAAGAAAAGAUAAGAAGCUUCAUGUCAUCUACUAUGCAAGUAGGACUCUUGAUGAUGCACAAGUUAAGUAUGCCACCACCGAAAAAGAGCUCCUUGCUAUAGUGUUUGCAUUUGAGAAGUUUCGAUCAUACUUGGUUGGUUCUAAGGUGAUAGUUCAUACGGAUCAUGCGGCAUUAAGACAUCUAUUAGCCAAGAAGGAUGCGAAACCAAGGCUUUUGAGAUGGGUUUUGCUUCUACAAGAAUUUGACUUGGAAAUUAAAGACAAGAAAGGGAUUGAGAAUGGUGUUGCGGAUCAUCUCUCUCGGUUGAGGAUUGAUAAUGAUAUACCAAUCGAUGACUCUCUUCCCGAGGAGCAACUAUUGGCAAUUAGGCUUUAGGAUGCAAGUCAUGAGACCUAUAAAAAACUUGAGGAGGUGAAGACAUUGAAUGAAAAUGGCCCAUGGUAUGCGGAUUAUGUUAACUAUUUGGCAUGUGGAAAAGAACCUCCAAAUUUGAGUAGCUAUGAAAAGAAGAAGUUCUUGAAAGAUAUAAACCACUUCUAUUGGGAUGAACCAUUUCUUUAUACUCUAUGUAAAGAUAAGAUCUAUAGAAGAUGUGUCUCGAAAGAAGAAGUAGAAGAAAUUUUGCUCCAUUGCCACGGUUCAAGCUAUGGAGGUCAUUUUGCAACUUUCAAGACGGUUACCAAGGUUCUACAAGCGGGUUUAUGGUGGCCAACGAUGUUUAAAGACGCACAAGAGUUCAUUUCGAAGUGCGAUUCAUGUCAAAGAAAAGGAAACAUUAGUAGACGAAAUGAGAUGCCCCAAAAUCCAAUUUUAGAGGUUGAGAUCUUUGAUGUAUGGGGAAUAGAUUUUAUGGGACCAUUUCCUUCUUCAUAUGGAAAUAGCUACAUACUUGUGGCGGUUGAUUAUGUGUCAAAAUGGGUUGAGGCGAUUGCUAGUCCAACUAACGAUGCAAAAGUUGUGUUGAAGCUAUUCAACACUAUAAUAUUUCCAAGAUUUGGUGUUCCUAGAGUGGUCAUAAGUGAUGGAGGGAAGCAUUUCAUCAACAAGGUCUUUGAGAGUCUACUCAAGAAGCACGGAGUGAAGCACAAGGUCGCCACGCCUUAUCAUCCGCAAACAAGUGGUCAAGUUGAGAUUUCUAACCGGGAAAUCAAAGCUAUUCUAGAGAAGACGGUUGGGACUACAAGAAAAGAUUGGUCGGUAAAACUUGAUGAUGCAUUGUGGGCAUAUAGAACCGCCUUUAAGACUCCGAUAGGUACUACUCCGUUCAAUCUUCUCUAUGGAAAAUCAUGCCAUUUGCCGGUUGAGCUCGAAUAUAAGGCUUUGUGGGCAGUAAAGCUUUUGAAUUUUGAUAUCAAAACCGCCGAGGAGAAGCGGUUGAUUCAAUUGAAUGACCUUGAUGAAAUCCGCCUUGAAGCUUAUGAGAACGCCAAAAUUUACAAAGAGAGGACUAAGGCAUUUCACGACAAGAAGAUCGUUCCAAGAGACUUUAAAGUAGGUGAUCAAGUGUUGUUGUUCAAUUCUCGUUUGAGAUUAUUUCCGGGAAAGCUCAAAUCUCGUUGGUCGGGUCCAUUCAAGAUCAAAGAAGUGAGACCCUAUGGAGCCUUGGUAUUGUGGAACAAAACGGGAGGAGAAUUUGUUGUGAAUGCUCAACGCUUGAAGCCUUACUUCGCGAAUCAACACAUUGGGGAGGGAACCAAAGUUUCUCUCUUGGAGCCUCAAUCCGCCUAAUUUGUGUGGAAACGUCAAGCUUAGUGACUUUAAACAAGCGCACUUGGGAGGCAAUCCCAUGGUAUCCUUGUACAUAUUUUGAUUCUAUUUAUGUGCUUUUGGUUUGAUUAAGUUUCAGGGAAGUAUUUGGAAAAUUUCAUAUCAAGACGGGCAAGCAAAACCAUUUCUGGGCAAGCGAAUCGACCGCAUGGUCGAUUGGACGGUCGACUCAUCCAUGUCCGCAAAUCCGUCAGAUUUCUAAUCGAGCACUCAAUAGAGCAGUCAAUAGACGAGUUGGUCGAUUGGACGGUCUACUGAUUCAUGUCCGCAAAUCCGUAAAUUUUCGAAUCGACCAAUCAAUUGAUCGAUUGGUUUUGAAAGCCCAGGUAAGUCAUCUCUUGACUUCGUCGGUUCACUAGAAAUUUUCCGGUUUAGUCCCUUAACCAACCAAAACCGAAAAAAAAAAUAAUAAUAAUAAUAAUAAUAAUUCCUUCUUUUUCCUUCUCUCACGACCUCUUCCUCUCACUUUUCUCUCUUUUUUCAAACUCACUCUCUCUUUUGUUUUCAAACACACUUGCUUGUUUUUAGUGAUUCAAAUCUCUUGUUCACUUUUUUUUCUCCAUAGAACCCGAAUUUAGCAUCUCCACUCUCAGAUUGACAAGGCACAAUGGUAGAAGGCACAAAGAGAACAAACCCCAAACGUUCUAAGACAAUGACCUCCACUGAACCGCAAAGUGAACCCGUUGCUCAUUGGACUAAGGAAGAUAAGAAAGCUCUCAAAGUCAUCUCUCCACUUCCUUCAUUUCCAACGCGUUUUGCAAAUCGCGAGAUCCUAGAGAAGAUGGGUUUGCUCGAGACUAUUGACGAGUUCUUCACAAAGAUGGGACUUGGCGCCUUCACCUCCAUGGAUCACCCUACAUUCAGUGAGCCUACAGUUGAUUUCUUUAGCACCAUGGAGUACACAUUUACGAACCCAAAGAUACCACUAGCUAAAGAAGGAAUCAUCAACUUCAAGGUCAAAACAAAGGCUUUCUCCAUAUCAAUUCCCGACCUUUGUGAAGCCUAUGGAUUUGAGAACAAAAGCGAGAUGAGCUUCCCGAAGUUUAAAGGAAUCCACUUCUUUUGGGGCGAGCUAGCAAGCGGGAAAUUCAGUUGUAACGCAAGUAUCAAGAGCGUCCGCCAUCCGGUAAUUCGUUACGCCUUGAAGCUUCUCGCGCAUGCUCUUUUUGGGAGAGGUGAAACGAGUUCUACUACGGUUUCCGAGAUGUGCUUUCUUUUUCAAGGAGUCAAAGAAUUGUUGGUAGAAGACGCGGACGAGAAUGGCGAUGGAAGGUUGGUACAUGAUGAUCUUGGAAAUGAUGUGAACUAUGGGUGCAUCUUUGCUUCUUAUCUAGAGGAUUAUAAGAACCGGCUAAUCAAGGGCAAGACGAAAUCCAUCUACAUUGGUGGUACUCUCACACCACUUUUUGUUAAAGCGGGAGUAGAUCUUUCUCCAUUCAAUGCUCUCCCAAAGCGUGAAUACAUUGACUAUGAGAACUUGGUGCGUUCUUGCUCUUUAAAACGUAGCGAUGAUGCUUUCAUCUACUUGUACACGGAUCGAGAGGAUAACAAGUUGGAAUGCAUACUACCCUCAAAGGAGAUCACAAAUGUAGAGAGUCAUGAAGACAUUAUGUUUUUGCCAAGUAAGGAAUAUCAAGUACCAAAUUUGGAGCAAUUUAUGGAGAUUGAAGAAGAAGACUUGCCACCAUCUCCACGAGAUGACCCUUACAACCUCAACAAGUGUGAUCUUCCCGAAUUCACAUUUGUGCCAAAGACCAAGAUGGAGAAGUUUCUUCAAUCCGUCAUCAAGUCUCAAAGGAAGAUAAACAAGUGGAAAUCUUAUGCAAUAGGAAAGCUACUUAAGAAGGUGAAGAAGCUCCAACCACCGGAUUAUGUCUCUUCCGAGGAUGAACUUGUUUUUCCUUCAAAUGAGGAGGAAGAUAGAGACAAUAUUUUGGAGAGUGAUGAGAAUAAUGAAACGCCCGCCACUUCAUCACACUCGUCUAGGAGGAAGAACGCCUCGAGAGACCACUCCUACAUGCCUUAGCCACUCCACGGUAUCACUUGUAUAUACGACUUUAUUUCUUUUAGUUCUAUUUAUUUAUUUUCGUUAGUCUUUUCCUCAUAUUUUUCUCUCACACCGAGACGGUGUGAAAUAAGUUUGGGGGAGAGACUAACCAUCUAACGUUGUGUUUUGUUUUGAUUUUAUUUCUUUGAGUCUUGCAUUGUCAAUAUCUAUGUUUUGAGAAAAAAUAAAAAAAAAAUCUGAAAAUUUUGAAAAAUCCAAAAAAAUCAUGUAGGUUUGCAUAUUAAUUUUCUCUUUUAGAAUUGAGUCUAGAAGCAUCUAGUGUGCAUUUGCAUUUGCAUAGGGGAUAAUGAUUUAAUUACCUUGUAGAAAUUCAAGCUUAGGAUUGAACUUAAAGCCCUUGAUCACAGUUAAUCGUUGCUUGAUCAUCUUGGAAAAAAUGGAAAAUCCAUGCUUAGACUUUUGCGUUUCUCGAAAGCAAUUUCUACUUGUGUGAAGCUUACAUGACUUUUGAAAUAUCUCUAUGAAUUUGGACUUAAUUUGAUAUUGAUUUCUCGCUUAUGGAUCCUAAAUGCAUUCUCAUGGUAGUCUAAAAGACUCAUUCGGGUUAUCUUAUUCGUUUUGCCAAUCUUUUGUUAACCCGAAUGGCCAUUCUCACCUUUAGAAUGGUUUUCCCUACCCUUAACCUUAAAACCUUUCUUUCAAGCCUAUGUACUAUUUGUGAGUGAGGCCUCUUGUAUGAAAAUGCUAUAGAUUUUGAAAUCUUCAAAGUAUUGAGAACGACAAGGUUUUAGCUCUUGUUUUUAGCUAGCUUUUGGAACAUCUUUGGACUAGCUACUAGGUUGGGAAUGAAAGAUUUAAGUGGUUAGAUUGAAUACUUGGGAUUGGGUUUGAAAAAAAAAAAAAAAAAAAAAAAAAAAAAACCUCUUUUUCUCUUAGUUUUUGUUGCUUUGCAUUCAUAUUUUGGCAUAUAGUAUUGCAUUUGCAUUUGCAUUUGUUUUUUUUAGGUACAUGAGUGGAGUUUAAAGUUUUGGAAGUAAAAUGGAGCAAAUGGAGCAAACAAAGGAGCUAAAAGAUUGCAAAGUGGCCAAAGAAGAGAAGCUAGUAGGAAUCUACCAAACUGGUCGAUUGCGUGGUCGAUUGGUCAGGACCAGAGCUACGGAGGAAUAUGAAUCUACCAAAGUGGUCGAUUUCGUGGUCUACUGGUCAAGGAUUAAUGUUGCGGACGAUAUUGAAUCUACCAAGUGAUCUAUUGCUUGGUCGAUUUCCUUCCUUAACCGGAUCAAAACCCGGUUUGUUCCGGGUUGAUCCGGUUUAUUUUCUCAUUACUAUAAAUACUCUUAACCUAGUUUUAGAGAGAGGGAGCUUUUGUUUAGGGAUAAAAACUUCUCUUGAAGGUUCUUUAUCUAAGGUUUUUGUAUGAAUGUUGAGUUCUUAAGUUUCUAUAUCAAGUAUUUCUUUUAAAUUUCUCAUCUAUUCUCUAAUGAUUAUGGCUUUACAAAGAUCAAACCAAUUCCUUUGUAUGAUCAUGAUCAUGAGUGAGUAGUCUCCUAGAGUUCUUUGGUUAGGGUAGAUUAGGAUGGUUUAGAUGUUGGGUUAUGGAGUUUAGGGCUAGAUUACUUAAGAUUCUUACUUAUUGGUUGCUUUUAAGGCUAGAUCAACCUUGAUCAUGAUGAUUUAGACAUUAGGAAUUUCAUGCCCGGAAGGUGUUCGAUGAAAUUCCCAAACCAAAAUCUUUAAGUGCUUUUCAUACCUUACCUUUGGAAAUUGUUGAUUAGGGUGAUUAGUGGCUAGAUAGACUUGUUAUUUAUGCUUAUUGAUCAUUUGAUUGCCUUUGGAAAUUGUUGAUGAUUGAUUGAUUAGUAAAGGGAUUAAUAUCAUGGAAAUGUAUUAGUCUUGUUUAGUGUUCUAUGGCCUAAGGAUCAUUGCUUGUUAGAAGUUGUUUGUUGCUCCAUAAUCCAUCUCUUUAUCAUUUCUAAUCGAUUACCUUAACCCGAGAAUUCGUCUUUAGUUUUCGCUUAGUAAUUUGUUAAUUUCCCGCUUUGUUUACUUUCGAAACUUGUUGGUCUUUUGUUUCUUGCUUUCUCUUAUCUUGUUUUGCAUUGUUUGUUUGAUAAUGCAUUGUUACUAAGAUUUAGAAUACUCAAAAUCAUCUUGUUAGCUUAGAUUAAGCAAGUGUGUGUAUUCUUGGUGAGUUGAUUAAAUUGCAAAUUGUGGUUCGAUAAUUAAUUGAAAGAAAUGCUACAUCAGUAGGUUUCGAAGUUAACUCAUCCUGUAUUUGGGGUUUCUUAGUUUACACGUUUCCUUUGGGGCAGAUCCCUAUUUGCUCUGGUUUAUCGAAAUUAAACCGGUGAUUUUUAAGAACUGGAUGAAAUAAAACAUGAAAACUUAAAAAUUGAAUUUUUCGAUUCCUUUGCAUGUCUUGUCGAAACCUGAAAGCUUGAGUAUUUUCUUUAUAUUUUUCGUUUGAGAGCCAAAAACACAAGCAAUUAAGCAAAUCCCAACUCUCUUUUUCAUUGAAAUCCCGAAACAAUUAGGUCGUGGAUUAAGCUUUUGUAACAAGGUAGGUUUGGAGGUUUACUCAUUAUAUUUUUUUAGGGUUCCAUAAGAUUCCUAUUUGCGUUGUGAGCUCUAAUUUUCCCUGUAUUGAAGUUAGAAGUUCCUGUUCUCAGUUUACCAGUUUAUACUCUCUUUGUUUCGUGCAGAGCAGAUGGAUCACUUAAGCAAUUUACCAGACGAGCUUCUUUGCCAUAUUAUGUCCUUCCUUACCACCAAGGAGGCUGCUUUGAUAUCGGUUCUCUCCAAAAGGUGGCGCAAUUUGAUUGCAUUUGUCCCUAAUCUUGAUAUUUUUGACUGUGAUAUUCUGCAUUGGGAGGUGCGUAAAGAGGAAAGGGACGAUAUUCGACAGCUCUUCAUGGAUUUUGUGGAUAGAGUUUUGGCAUUGCAAGGUAACUCUCCCUUAAAGAAAUUCUCCCUCUGUUGUGGCGGCGGUUCUUAUUCGGAUAGAGUGGAUUGUUGGAUACAGAAUGUGAUGGUGCGUGGUGUUUCGGAGCUUGAUCUAUCAAUGAUUUUUGAUACCUCUUAUCAUAUGUAUCCACAAGUUUUCGAGAACAAGAAACUAGUUAAGCUCCAUUAUCUGGAUUUGAUAUUCGUUGCUUGGAUGGGAGCAUUUUCUUACCAAUGCUUAAAACUCUCCUUCUUGAAUCAGUUUUGUUAUCUGUUGAGAAUUUUGAGAUUUUUCUUCGUGCUUUGCCUGCGCUUGAGGAAUUAGUCAUGAAUCAUAUAUACUGGAAAGAAUUGGAUGUGAAUGUGCAUGUAUCUGUAUCAAGUGCAAGCCUCAAGACCCUAACAAUAAAAUGCAUCGUUUGUUUACAUACUAAGUCAUUUGAUACACCUAGUCUUGCUUACUUAUCUUACUCUGAUUAUGCCAUGGGAGAUUAUCCCGUAGCUAAAAUGGAAAACUUGUUUGAGGCUCGAAUCAGCCUUUUUGUACCUGAAGACGAUAUCAGCCGAGUAAGAGCGCCAAACAAUGAUUUGUUAGAGGAUGAUGAGUACAAUCAUGCAUGUUCUCCGAUAUGAAAAUGUGGGGAAGCUUAUGAAUAGCAUUCGAAAUGUUCGGUAUCUCUAUUUCUCUCGUGAUACUCUUGAGGUUAGUGUUUUUGUUCUUUUCUCUAUUAGCUGGUCUUGGUAAAAUAAAUGAAAGAUAACCAGCACUUCGUCUCAAUUUAUGGAGCAUGGCAGUCAUGUUUGUUCAAGUCCUAUUUUUAACAAAUAAGCAAAAGUCUAAUUAUGGUUUGUCUUGUUAUCAGGUGCUUUCUCUAUGCUGUGAAUCGAUGCCAGUGUUCAAAAACCUCAAAUCUUUAUCUAUCAAGAGUGUUGAGAGUCGAGGAUGGCAAGCAAUGCCAGUUCUUCUAAGGAACUGUCCACAUUUAGAAACUCUAGUCCUUGAGGUAUAGAAAUAACUAAUUUACCAAACAUGUACAAAGAUAGAGUUCACACAUUGAAACCUUAAAUGUCUCCUUUAUGCCUUCAGGCUCUCUUGCACCAUGUAACUGAUAAAUGCGGGGAUGCUUGUGCCUGCGUCUCUCGGGAGGAGAAAGGUCGUUCGCUCAAAUCUUGUCCAGUAAAAGUGUUAGAGAUUAAAGAGUUUCAAGGAACAAUGAAAGAGAUGCACAUGAUAAAACAUUUCCUGGACUAUCUUCCGUGUUUGAAGGAGAUGAAAAUCUCCUAUAUGAAAAAGAAUGAUCAUACUACACAGUUCAGAGUCAUCCCUCAAGUUAUUGCAGAGAUGGUGGAACACUACAACAAGUUAUCUAAUUGCAAUGUCCAGCUUGUAGUGAGUGGUUAAUUUUAUAAAAAGUUGACAGCACAUUGAUUCAGCCAUUUAUGAUCUCGCUUGUGGUAUAAUCUUUCACUUCCCUAGCAUUUUGCUUUGAGUUCUCUUUACGUUUUAGAUUUUGUGGACGAAUCGUUAAGAGUGAAUUAUUUUAGAGCAGAACACCGAUGUUUAAUAUUUUUUUCCUUGGACAUAGUGCUCAAUUGUUUUGUUUUAUCGCAAAAUCACGGAUGCAAUACAUACAUGUUUGACACUAAGCGAUGUGAUAUACUUCUAAGAACUCAAAACUCAAGCAUUCCCGGUUUACCAAAAUUAAACCUGUAAAAGAACCGGAUAAAAUUGAACCAGACUCCAAUUUUGUUCAACUCUUAAAAUUGGAUGCCUUUUCGUUGUCGAACUCGAACCUGAAAGCUUGGGUCUCUCUUUUCACUGAAAUCCUAAUGAUCCUGCAAAGCUCAGUGUCACUGAUGUUUCUGAAGUUAUCACGGGGGUCGGGGGACAUGAUGGAACACUACGAAAAGUCAUCGACUUGCCAUGUCCAGCUCCUAGUGGAUGCUUACUUGUAUAAGAAGUGGACUGCACAAUGAAGUCUCUAAAGAGCAAAAGUCGCUCUCCUUGAAACUUGACUCAGUUUGGUUUUCUAGUGGUGAGUUUCAGAUGCUAUUUUUUGGUUUCCCUGCCCUUCCGGAAUUAGACAUAGCAGAGGUAUACUUCCGUCUAAAAUGAAGAAAGCAUUUCUCUGGACCUUUUCUUGUGUUUGUAGGAGAGCAGGGAUAUACAUAUAUAUACCAAAGAGAAUGAUUUUAUAGACUUCAAAGUCUCUGGAAUGUUUAAACUCGUCGCAACAAGUUUCAUAGUUUUGAUAUUUAAAAAGUGUAUGGAUUAGUGCACACUGAUGAGUCUCUCAUAGUCUAUUCUUUGGUUAACUUUGCUUUCGUUCUCUGAGUUUCUUUUUUACUUUAAGCAAUACUUCUACAUUUGGGCCUAAAUCUGUUUAAGCAAUGUAGCCCAAAGAUCAACCCGUUCCGGUUUAUCGAAACUACACCGGCGAUUUUAAAGAACAAAACCCUCAAUUUCCAUAUAUUUAUUUAAUUGGUUUUUACCUCUCUUUUUUGGCAAGUUUCUAUUACUUUUGGUAAUCAAAAUGUAAAUCCAAAACUAUCUUCAUUUAUAUAAUAGUAACAUUUUAUCAAAAAAAAAAAAAAAACUCACGUCUUCCUCUUAAAAAUUGGAUGCUUCUCUGAUGCCUUUGCAUGUCUAUGUCGAACCUGAAAGCUUGGGUAUUUGCUUCAUAUCUCCUCCUUUUUAAAGAACCGGAUGAAAUAAAACCCUAAAUUAAGAAAAUCCCAACUCUCUUUUUCACUAAAAUCCCUACAAAAUAGGUCUUGGAUAAAACUUUUGUAGCAAGGUAGGUUUCGAGGUUUACUCAUUAAUUAUGUUUUGGGGGUUCUUAGUCCAUAAGAUUUGUAUUUGUGUUGUUAGCUCUAACUUUCCCUCUAUGAAAGUUCAUGUUCGAAUCCAUAAGAUUCCUACUUUACCAGUUUAACGUGUUUCUUUGCACUUGCUUGGAUUUUACAUGAAUAACCUUUCUUGUUUGGUAAGAUUCCUCUUCGUUUCGUGCAGAGAAAAUGGAUCUAUUAAGCAAUCUACCAUACGAGCUUCUUUGCCAUAUAUUGUCCUUCCUUACAACAAAAGAGGCUGCUUUGACAUCGGUUCUGUCAAAGAGGUGGCGCAAUCUAAUUGCAUUUGUCCCUAAUGUUGAUAUUGUGGACCAUGAUAUUCGAGAGCUUUUCAUGGAUUUUGUUGAUAGAGUAUUGGCAUUGCAGGGUAACUCUCCCAUUAACAAAUUUUCCCUCGAUUGUUCCGGUGUUGAUUCGGAUAGAGUGGAUUGUUGGAUACAGAAUGUGAUGGUGCGUGGUGUUUCCGAGCUUAAUUUAUCAAUCUUUGUGGAUUCGGUUUUCGAAGAUGACUAUAAUCUCUUUCCAAAAGUGUUUGAGAACAAAAAACUAGUUAAGCUCGGAUUAAGUUAUAUUUCUUGGUUGGAUGGGAGCAUUUUCUUACCAAUGCUUAAAACACUCGUUCUUGAAUCAGUUUUGUUAUCUGUUGAGAAGUUUGAGAUUCUUCUUCAUGCUUUGCCUGCGCUUGAGGAAUUAGUCAUGAAUAAUAUAUACUGGAAAGAGCGGGAUGUUGUCGAUUUGAUUGUUUCAAGUGAAAGCCUCAAGACCCUAACAAUAAACUUCAUCGUUUGUACACAUACUUUGUCAUUUGAUACACCUAUUCUUGCUUACCUAUCUUACUCUGGUUAUGUCGUGGACGAUUAUGCCGAAGCUAAAAUGGAAAACUUGUUUGAGGCUCGAAUCAGCCUUCUUGUAGUUGAAGGCGAUAUCAGCCGAGUAAGAGCGCUAAUAAACAAUGAUUUGUUAGAGGAUGAUGAGUACGAUGUUCUCCAAUUUGAAAAUGUGUGGAAGCUAAUGAAUGGUAUUCGAAAUAUUCGGUGUCUCUAUUUGUCUCCUAAUACUCUUGAGGUUAGUUUUUUUUGUUCUUUUCUCUAUUUAGCUGGUCUUGGUAAAAUAAAUGAAAGAUAACCAGUACUUCGUCUCAAUUUACGGAGCAUGGCAGUCAUGUUUCUUCGGUCCCAUUUUUAACAAAUAUAAUAAGCAAAGGUCUAAUUAUGGUUUCUCUUGUUAUGAGGUGCUUUCUCUAUGCUGUGAAUCGAUGCCAGUGUUCAAAAACCUCAAAUCUUUGUCUAUCAAGAGUGCCGAGAAUCGAGGAUGGCAAGCAAUGCCAGUUCUUCUAAGGAACUGUCCGCAUUUAGAAACUCUAGUCCUUGAGGUACGUAUAACACAAUUCAUUAAUUUGCCAAACAUGUACAAAAUAUCAUACUUUGAAUUUCUCAUUGUCACUUUUAUGCUUUCAGGGUCUAUUGCACCAUGUAACAGAUAAAUGUGGGGAUGCUUGUGACUGUGUUUCCCGAGAAGACAAAGGUCGUUCACUCACAUCGUGUCCAGUAAAAGUGUUGGAGAUUAAAGGGUUCCAAGGAACAACCAAAGAGAUGAACAUGAUAAAACAUUUCUUGGAAUAUUUUCCGUGUUUGAAAGAGCUAAAAAUGUAUAUGGAAGAGAAUGAUCCUGCACAGCUCAGAGUCCCUGAAGUUAUCACGGGGGAGAUGAUGGAACGCUACAAAAAGUCAUCAAGUUGCAAUGUCCAGCUCCUAGUAGGUGGUAAGUUGUAUAAGAAGUGGACUCCAUGAUGAAGCCUCUAAAGAAGAAAAGUUUUGGAAUUUGAUUUUGGUUUAAAUUGGCUUGAAAAACUGUUUCAAACCAAGACAAUCGGAAAGCCGUGGGUAAAGGGGAUUCUCCCAUUAAGAAAUGGGUAAAGGGGAUAGGGAUAGGGAUUCUUGCUUUUGUCCCUAAUCUUGAUAUCGAUGACAAUACUUUUCUGCAUCCGGAAAUGGGUAAAGGGGAUAGGGAAGAUAUUCGAGAGCUCUUCAUGGAUUUUGUUGAUAGAGUAUUGGCAUUGCAGGGUGAUUCUCCCAUUAAGAAAGUCUCCAUCAACUGUGUCGGUGUUGAUUCAGUUAGAGUGGAUGCUUGGAUACGUAAUGUGAUGUUACGUGGUGUUUCAGAGCUUGUUCUUUUAAUCGUUUUGGAUGUCCAGUCGAUUGGUAAGAAGUUUUGGGUGCCUCCAAAAUGUUUCGAGAGCAAGAAACUAGUUAAGCUAGAGAUAGGUUAUGGAGUUGAUAUUGGUUGGUUAGAUGGAAGCUUUUUCUUACUGAUGCUUAAAACUCUUGUUCUUAGGUUAGUUCAGUUAUCUGCUGAUAAGUUUAAGAUUCUUCUUCAUGAUUUGCCUGCGCUUGAGGAAUUAGCCAUGGGUUAUGUAACCUGGAGUGAAGAUGAUGCUGUUGUGUCAGAUGCAAGUCUAAAAGAGACUAACAAUAACUUCCAACCAUUAUGUCUGCUAUUCUUAUUAUUAUUUAGACACUUUUUCGGUUGAUACGCCGAGUCUCACUUACUUCUCUUACUCUGACUUGUUGCUAAAGACUACCCUGUAAUUAAGAUGGAAAACUAAUACACUUCUCUUACUUCACUUACUUCGGAAUUUGAUUUUUGUGUAAUUGGUGUAUAUAUAUAUCUAUAAACCAAUAAACCCCUCCUAAAUAUUCUGAAAUUCUUAGUUAUAUUAAUCAAAAUAAUACCUUUUUUUGCAAAAUUUAACCAAUUUUUUAAGUUUUUUAUUUUAUUUUCCAAAACCGAUCCAAAUCCAACACUUAUCAAUAGUCUUAAAGCUGUCCCGGAUUAUACAUGUUUGACCUCGUCACGGGGCUAAUGUUGUGAUGUCCAAUUCAUGAUCUGCGAUUCUUUGCGCGAUCAAAUCUUUAACGUGAAAAAGCUUGCUCUAUGUUUUUACCAAAGUCCUGCCCUUCAACGUGAAAAAGUUUGCUUUCUUCUGCAGCCUAACUCAAGCUGUCCCGGUUUACCGAAAUUAAACCAGUGAUUUUUAAGAACCGGAUUAAAUAAAACCCUAAUUUUGUUUUCUUAAAAUUUGGAUGUUUCGGCUUCUCCGAUGCCUUUUUCUUCAUAAAAUCAAAGAAACCAGCGAUAAAGCAACUCCCAAAUCUCUCUUUUCUUGAAAUCUCCAAUAUUUGUUUCUUGGUAAGUAUCGAAGUUUACUCAAUUCGCUUUUUAAGGUUUCGUAGUUCACAAGCUUCCUUUCGGAUGUAUUCCUAGUUGCGUUGUUAACUUAGCGUUUCUCUCUUUUAGGGUUUACCAGUUAUAAUUAAUUGCUUCCUUCUACAUGCUCGAAUUUUUACAUGAAUCUAAAGACCAAACCUUUCUCUGUUUGUAGUUGAACUGUUUGGUAAUAUACGAAGCUUUUCUAGAGAAAAUGGAUCUCUUAAGCAAUCUACCAGACGAGCUUCUUUGUCAUAUAUUGUCCUUCUUUACCACAAAGGAGGCUGCUUUGACUUCUGUUCUCUCAAAGAGGUGGCGACAUCUGUUUGCACUUGUCCCUAAUCUUGACAUUGAUGACUCUAUGUUUCUAUACCCUGAAGAGGGUAAGCGUGAUAGGAACGAAAUUCAACAGAGCUUCGUUGAAUUUGUCGAUAGAUUAUUGUUAUUGCAGGGUAAAUCUCCCACUAGAAAAGUCUCCCUCAAGUGUAUAAGUAUGUCUGAUCCAGACCGCCUAGAUGAUUGGAUAAGUAAUGUGUUGGCUCGUGGUGUUUCCGAACUUGAUCUGUCAAUCGAUUUGUGUAUGGAUGAAUACAUUCUCUUGUCUUCAAAACGUUUCGAGAGCAAGAAUCUAGUUAGGUUGAAAUUACACCGUAUUUGUAUUGGCCAACCGGAAAACCCUAUUGGUUGGUUGGCUGGGGGAAUAUUAUUACCAAUGCUUAAAACUGUCCUACUUGAGUCAGUUGGGUUUUAUGUUGAUGAGGUUUUUCUUAGAGCUUUGCCUGUUCUUGAGGAAUUAGUCAUGGUUGAUGUAUUCUGUUCUGGAGCGUUAAGGAUGUCAUCGUGUCAAAUGCAAGCCUCAAGACCCUAACAAUGAGUUCCAACCAUUAUACGGGAACUAUGUCAUUCGAUACACCUAGUCUAGUUUACUUUUGUUACUCUGACUAUGUUGCUAAAGACUACCCCUUAGUUAACAUGGAAAACUUACUUGAGGCUAGAAUCAAACUUUUGUUAACUGACGAUCAAGUCGAAAGAGCAAGAGAGCCAAAUAACGAUGGCGUGGAGGCUGAUGAGGACGAUGUUGUUCUACAAUUUGCAAAUGUGGGGAAGCUCAUGAAUGGCAUACGAAAUGUUCAGUAUCUAGUGUUUUCUGCUAAUACUCUCGAGGUCAGUUUUCUCUUCUUCUUUUCUUGAAACAUCUAUGGCAAAAUGUCUAAUUGACGUGUGUCUUGUGUUCAGGUGCUUUCUCUAUGCUUUGAAUCAAUGCCAGUGUUCAACAACCUAAAAUCGUUAACUAUUGAGGGUAAAAAGAGGCGAGGAUGGCAAGCACUGCCAGUUCUUCUAAGCAACUGUCCAUAUUUAGAAACUCUAGUCCUUGAGGUAUAAAAAAAUAACUAAUUUGCCAAAACAUGAACCAAGAUAGCUUUCAUAUAUACUUUGAAUUGAAUCUCUUAUUGUGUCCUUUAUGGUAUCACUCUUUCAGGGUCUCUUGCACUAUGUCACAGAUAAAUGCGGGGAUGCUUGUGGCUGCAUUUCUCGAGAGGAUAAGGGUCGUUCACUCACAUCUUGCCCAGUAAAAGUUAUAGAGAUUAAAGGGUUUCAAGGAAAAAAGAAAGAGAUGCACAUGAUAAAGCAUUUCUUGGUUUAUUUUCCGUGUUUGAAAGAGAUAAAAAUCUAUAUUGAAGAGAAUGCACUUGAAGUGUCUAAAGUUAUCGCAAAGAGGAUAAAUCGCUACAACAAGGUAUCGAAUUGCAACGUGCAGCUCCUGGUAAGUGGUUGCUUGUAUAAGGAGUGGAGUGCACAAUGAAGUCUUGGAAGAACGAAAGUUGUUUUGGUUUGAUUUCAUUUAAUUGGCUUGAAAACAUUUUUUACCCUAAACCAAACCAAUCGCAAAACUGUUGUUCUUUCUUCUCUUGCAUUCUUGUUGAACUCAUACAAAGCACCAGUGCACCACUAUCACGCAAAGGUUAGCUCUCACAUCUCUCACUCUCAUAUGCUCUGUUUCUCUUUCUCUGUUUUAACAGAAGCAUAUAGUUACUCUCUCUAAUCUCUGCCUCUUUUGUCUAACAUUUUAACAAAUACAUAAACGUUUUCAAAGAGAAGAGAAACAUUGAAUGUCUACAUGUUGGUAAAACUUGGAUACACUCUUACAAGACACACUCACACAUACUUAUACUACUUGUACUUGGCACACUUACACAUACAAACAUGCCUUAAUCACAUAAUUAACUCUAGACUCUACUACCUUGAAACUCUAACCACAACACUUGCACACUGCUUUACUUUAAUUAAACUUCAACCUCAAGCUAACCCAAAAAACACACUUUACUCUUGUUUGGGCCUUAACGAAAGCUGCAGCCACACAAGCCCAACAUAUCUUUAUGUUGACUUAGCUUCUUCUCCUUUGGCUCGAUUUCGUCUUCUUUCUUCAUCGUCUUUCUCUUUUACAGGUUUAAUCAAAGGCUCAAAUCUUCUUUCGUGCAGAGAAGAUGGAUCAUGUUAGCAGUCUACCAGACGGUGUUCUUUGUCAUAUAUUGUCCUUCCUCACCACAAAGGAAGCUACGUUGACUUCCAUUCUCUCCAAGAGAUGGCGCAAUCUGUUUGCGUUUGUCCCUAAUCUCGAUAUUGAUGACUCUAUCUUUCUCCAUAAUGAAGAUUUUAAGGAGGAUAGGUACGACAUUUAUCACUUAUCAGAGCUUCAUCGAUUUUGUUGAUAGAGUAUUGGCAAUGCAGGGUGAUUCUCCCAUUAAGAAACUCUCCCUCAAGUUUAGAACUGGCUUUGACUCACACCGAGCAGAUGGUUGGAUAAGUAACACGUUGGUUCGUGGUGUUUCCGAACUUGAUGUGCUAAUCAGUUUGCAUGGAACAGAUUACCAUUUUCUGUCUCCAAAAUGUUUCAAGACCAAGAAUCUGGUUACUCUGAAAUUAAACAGUCUUGCUAUUGACUGGGACAUAUUCUUACCAAUGCUUAAAACUCUCCUUCUUCACUCUGUUACGUUAUGUGUUGAUAAGAUGUUUUCUUAGUGCUUUGCCUGCGCUUGAGGAAUUAGUCUUGUUUGUUGUGCCCUGGGGAGGUAAGUCUAACGAUUUCCUCUUAAAACAUUCGAUGUUUCAGCUUCUCCGAUGUCUUUGCCUGUCUUCUCCAACCUGAAACCUUUGUAUCCUUUCUUCGAAUCUUCGCUAGUAGCUCCCUAGGAACAAGGUAGGUGUCGAACUUUACUAAAUUCUCCUUUAUUUGAGAUUUCUUAGUUCAGAAGUUUCCUUUUGGCUAUUUACGUUGUUAACUAAUUAGGGUUUCUCUCUGUUUUACCAACUCAUCUUCGCGUCAAUUUAAUAAUCAAAACUUUCUCUAAAAGGAUUUCAGAGUCUAAAGAGAUUCGUGUUAUUCAUCACAAUGAGCAACAUACAACAUAUAUAGAGUAGAUGUACAACCGAAAGCGUAAAUCUAGGGAAAUCUAUCUAGUUCAGAAGAUCUAGUUACACAGAAUAUAUGAAUCUGUUAGAGUAUAUUCGUAGAUGAUUAUGCCAAGAAUAACUGAAGAUAACCGAGCCAAAACAAACCCCUAAUAUUCUCUGUUUGUAUCGCUGAUUUCUCACAAGAGCUUGUCUUCUUUCGUGUAGAGAAGAUGGAUCUCUUAAGAAAUAUACCAGACGAGCUUAUUUGCCAUAUAUUGUCCUUCCUUACAACAAAGGAGGCUGCUUUGACAUCGGUUCUCUCCAAGAGGUGGCGCAAUCUGCUUGCUUUUGUCUCUAAUCUUCACAUUGAUGACUCUAUCUUUCUGCAUCCCGAAGAGGGUAAGCGUGACAGGAACGAAAUUCGACAGAGCUUCCUAGAUUUUGUGGGUAGAAUAUUGGCAUUGCAAGGUAAUUGUCCGGUUAAGAAAGUCUCCAUCAAGUUUCUAUUUAAGCUUGAUUCAGACCGAGUUGAUGGUUGGAUAAGUAAUGUGUUGGCACGUGGUGUUUCCGAACUUGAUCUGUCAAUCGAUUUGUGUAUGGAUGAAUACUUUCUGUUGUCUUCAAAACGUUUCGAGAGCAAGAAUCUAGUUAGGUUGAAAUUACACAGACUUUGUAUUGGCCAACGGGAAAAAACUGUUGGUUGGUUGGCUGGGGAGAUUUUCUUACCAAUGCUUAAAACUCUCGAACUUGAUUAUGUUGGGUUUUAUGGUGAUUUGUUGUUUCUUAGAGCUUUACCUGCGCUAGAGGAAUUAGUCAUUGUUGAUGCAUUCUGGUUCACGACCUUUACGGAUGUCACCGUGUCAAAUCCAAGCCUCAAGACCCUAACAAUGAGUUCCAAUAUUUAUUCAGGCAGUAUUUCAUUUGAUACACCUAGUCUUGUUUACUUUAGUCACUUUAAGUAUGUUGCUAAAGACUACCCCUUAGUUAACAUGGAAAACUUACUUGAGGCUAGGAUCAACCUUGGGGUAACUGAGGGUCAAAUCAGACGAGCAAGAGAGCCAAAUAACAAUGACGAGGUUGUUCUCCGGUUUCCAAAUGUGGGGAAGCUCAUGAAUGGCAUACGAAAUGUUCAGUGUCUAGACUUGUCUGCCAAUACUCUUGAGGUCAGUUUUUCUUUUUUCUUUUCUCUCGAGGUGAUAAAAUAGAGAAAUCCACGACGGUUAUGUUUAUUUAGUCCCAUUUUAACGAACUAGCGAGAGUCUUGUUUAGAGACAUGUAAUGGCAAAAUAUCUAAUUGUGGGUUGUCUUAUUAUCAGAUGCUUUCUCUAAGCUGUGAAUCAAUGCCAGUGUUCAAAAACCUCAAAUCUUUAUCUAUCAAGAGUGCCGAGAAUCGAGGAUGGCAAGCAAUGCCAGUUCUUCUGAGGAACUGUCCACAUCUAGAAACUCUAGUCCUUGAGGUAUAGAAAUAACUCAUUUAUCAAACAUGUACAAAGAUAUAGUUCAUACUUUGAUUUGAAUCUCUUAUUCAUGUCUUCUUUAUGCUCUCAGGGUCUCUUGCACUUUGUCACAGAUAAAUGCGGGGAUGCUUGUGACUGCGUUUCUCGAGAGGAAAAAGGUCGUUCGCUCACAUCUUGUCCAGUAAAAACGUUAGAGAUUAAAGAGUUUCAUGGAACAAUGGAAGAGAUGUACAUGAUAACGCAUUUCUUGGACUAUUUUCCGUGUUUGAAGGAGCUAAAGAUCUAUAUUGAAGGGAAUGAUCAUGCACAGCGCGAAGUGUCUGAAGUUAUCGCGGAGAAGAUAAAACUCUACAACAAAUCAUCGAGUAGCAAUGUCCAGCUUAUGGUUAGUGGUUACCAUGAAUAAGAAUACGACUGCACUGCACAAUGAAGCCUCUGAAGAACAAAACUAAAGCAUAGGUUUUUACUACCAUGAGAAAUAAGCCUAUUAUUGGUCCCGUGAAAUCUAGCAGGUAGAACAGAAUAAUAGAAAACAACGCAAUCCCAAACAAUGCAUUCGAAAGCAGUCUGUUACCAUUUUUUCUCCUUCAACUCAAUUAUGUUUAUAAGCCAACAAGAUUUCACGCGUUAUUUAACUCAGGCCAUAAACUGAUGUUUAACAUUUGUAUGAAUGCUAUACAUCAUGAACAUCGAACAUAGAAGACUUUCCUUUGUUUCUAUAUUCAUAUAUAUAUAGACUGUAGUAAAUAUUUCCCAAGUAAAGCACGAGACAAUUUUAUUAAGAUAUAGUAAUUGAGUUUCACAAGUAAUUAGCUUAAGACCUUGAAUGUUUGUAAAUUUCUACAAUGGUUUUUUUUUUUUAUCAUUCAAGAUAAAGUAAUGGGAAUCUAGCUAGAUUUUUAAAGUUUCUACAAAUUAUCAAACAAAAGACCAGAAACCAAUUCUAUUAUUCAAAUUAGAUUCGUUUUUCGAGUUGAUAAAUUUAGGUUCGGUUCACACCUCAACAAGGAGCAAAUUUUGGCCUUUUCGGAACUUCCUAUGUAGUGUAAACCUUGAAGAAAAGUCAAUCAGAAGUUUUACGUAACGCAUGCAUAUAUGUCCUCGUACUCAAAAGAAAAGCAUACACAAGAUACAUUGCAUUUACACAAACGAAACGCUCGAGCACCAUUAAUUAAUGAUGGAUUUACACUCGACAACUUUCAUUAUAUAACCAAGACUUCACGUUAUAAUCCUCUUUUCAUCUAAAACUUUUUGUGUUAUUACGAAUCUUGUUCUUUUGAAUAUUGUGUUCGAUUCUUUCCUCAAAUUUAUUGUUUCCCCUUUUUUGUGUUCGAUUCGUUGCUCUUACCAUUAUAGUUUUUGGAGCUCUUUUGACUUAAAAAAGAAAGAAAGAGAGAAAGCAAUCAAAGCCGUUGGAGACUCAUACCUGUACCCAUAACAACAAUACACGUUUUAUAAAUGGGAGAUAUUAAGUCUGACCAUAUUAUUCCAAGUUAUAAAACAUGUUGAUGUAAAAAAUGUGUGAAUGCACGUGGAUUCUAUGAAGAGAGCUCGUGUAAGCGCGGUGUAUGAAGGUAAAGAGAGAAAUAGAUCAAGCAACGGAGAGGAAACUCGAAGGGAACAGUCUAAACACGCGAGAAUGACGGCAAAAGCUCGGAUGAACGUUUACAAAGAGAGCAUGAAACCUCUGCCGCCUAAACGUAAGAAAUCGUUGAUGAUCAUAAGUUUGAUGAGAAAGAAGGAAGAUACGCAAGAUGAUCAAAAUAAUGUUACUGUUGUCGAAAAGGAAAAGGAGGAGAAAGAGAAAGGCACGGUGCAGAACAUCAGGGAAAAUGCGGAAAUGCUCUCAUCAAAAUGUGUUGAGGAGUGGCCGCACAUGUUAACAUAUGAAGAGGAAUGGACGUGGUUUGCGUUUGCGUUUGGGUGGGGAUGGUGGCAGCGUUAUGACGCGGUGAUGAGCGGUAAGAGUUGGUUUAACUAAAUAUUAAAGAUUAAGGUGUUUGUUACAAAUCAUUUUGGGUUGGUGAAACUAUAUACAUAGAUGAUAGUUGAUACUUGAUAGGAUUUCUUAAGAUAAAAGAAGAUAUUGAGAAAUCAGUGUAUGUAUAUCGACCGAAACGAAAAUAUAUCUUUAAAGGGUUCACUUUCGUUUAUGUUUAUAUACAGAGAUUUCUCAUAAUAGAUUUUCAGUAUUUUUUUUUGUUUUAUUUGGUGUUUCAAUAUUUCGAACAAAAUCCAAAAGCGUAUAUACAGACUUAGACGCUGGUGAAACAUGCAUGACUUGCAUUAUUAGAGCAUCCACAACGGUGGGAUCCAAAAAUCAAGAUUAUAGUUUGUUUUUUUCUAUUCCGCAAGAUUCAAACUAAUUGGAUUUUCGGUAGAUCUACCAACACAUAAACUACCUAUAUUGGGUUAACCAUUUUAGAAUCAAUUUUAGGAGAUAAACCCUAAUUUAAAUACAUUUUAGUUAAUAUUAAAGUUUAAACUACACGCAUGUAAGUCUACACAAAUUAUAUAAAAAACACUUCAAAGAACUUUCCGUUCACACAUUUGAUGAUUUCUUGUAGUUUCAUUAAGUCAAUGAACACACAAGUUUCAAAUUGAUAUUUCAGGUCAUUAAGACAAUGUUGACACACAAGUUUCAGAUUGAUAUGUGAGAUCAUUAAGAAAAGGGUCUUAAUCAUAAAUUUAAAAGUGGACUCUUAUCCGCAAGCCUAUCUUAUGUAUAUGGCACUGGCACCGUCCACAAAUGUGUCUAUCAUCCUUUCAAGUGGACCAUCCUUUUCCUUUAAGGUAAUAACUCUGUGUGACUGAGAUCUACAAACACAUGUUACACACUUCACAGUCCUUAUAAAGUAAAUUUACUUAUUAUUAAGAAAAUAAGAUUUUGUAACUUUUUUCCUCUUAAAACAAUGGACAAAUAUGAAUACAAAUCCAUAUGUCACUAUUAUCUAUAUUUACACAAUUUAUUCGAUUUUUUGUAUGUUGUCUUAUCUCAUCGGAAAUUUUCAAACUAGUUAACCAUCGGAAAAAAUCAAGACGCACGGAUAUAUAAAUUACAUAUUCAUAAAUCAGACAUUUGACAAUCCGAUAGAAAUUGUCUCAUAAAGAGAAAAAGAACACAGACAAUAGGAAAUGAAAUGAGCAGAGAUAAUUCAUAAGAAUGUUUUAGAAAAGAAAUUAAGCUUCGGUGAAGCUUGGGGGCUUGUAGGCAAUGAAACUGAUGCAUUGGACUUGACGGGUGUUGUCGAAUCCGAUGAUCCUAAUGAAGGCGCCCGGGUACUCCUUCUUGCAUUCUUCAACUUCCUUCAACACUUGAGCGGAGUCGGUGCAUCCGAACAAUGGAAGCUUCCACAUUGUCCAGUACCGUCCAUCGUAGUAUCCGGGAGUGUUUCCGUGCUCACGGUACACAAAUCCGUGCUAUAAACACAUAAGAAAACCAUUCAAUACAAUUGAUAUUGGAGGAUAUGCACAAGGUGAUAUAGUCUAUUUCGGUUCUACAAAAUCCGGUUAUAGGCUAAUAUUUCUAGCAAUGAAAACGAAUAAAUAAUAAUGAUUAGUAGACAAAAGAAAACUUUUGUGUUUAUUACCUCUAACUCGAAUUCAACACAAGGAAUCCACUUGUUGCGGAGAAGGUAGUCAACUUCCUUAGCCAAUUCGACGUCACUAAGGUCAGGGAGGUAAGAUAGAGUCUCAAACUUCUUCUUUCCAAUUGGUGGCCACACCUAUAAUCCCCAAAUCCAAUUCCAAAUUAAUAUAUCCUAUGUUUUGUUUUAUUGCACAUGACAAAAGACAGUUUUUAUUGAUGAUAUUACCUUCAUGCAGCUAACUCUUCCCCCGUUGCUUGCGAUGGAAGUGAUGUCCUUGUUGGUCUUGCGGGUGACCGGGAAUGCAGCGGAUGACUUCAAGCCGGUGAAUGGAGCGACCAUGGUGGCCUGAGCCGGGGAUGUAACCACAGCGGCGGAGGAGAGCAUAGAGGAAGCCAUUACUACUUCUUGUUGUUUCUCUUCUUCUUUUGCUCGUUUACUUACUGACUUGUUUUCCUACUGGUGUUGUCAUCUUUAUAUAAUGAGAACCCCCUAAAGGCGAAAAGCCCUCAUGAUCAAAGGGUCCAUGAUUCAUGAUAACGUCGUUUACUGCCACAGGAUUAAGGAAAGGUGUUGACACCCUUAUCGGUACGCACCACUAGGAUAAGGCCACGUGGCAGAAAACUCCAUUAUCUUAUCUUUUCUCUUGUGGGGGAAAUGAAGUGAAUGUGCGGUUACUGGUCUCCACUUGAUCGGUUGCUUUUGGCUCCUUUCGUUUGGGAGAAAAGAAACCAGACGCAUUACCUUAAAUUUAAUGCUUUUGGUCUUUUGGACCUCUUAUUUACCAUGUAUGAUUUAAUUUGGCUUAACACUUUCUUUGGAAAUAAGGUCGCAUUAAAAAAUAGUUAUAACAAAAUUAUUUAAAUUUGAUAUUUACAUAAAUAUAUUGUAUGAUAUUUAUCCGGACAAAAAAAAAAGCUUUAACCAUCUCCAAUAUUUGUUUCUAUUAUUUUCUUUCUGAAUAUAGAGGAAAAAAUAUAAUAGAGAUUUAUAUUUUAACUUCAAUGGUUCCUCAAAAAUUCGUUAGAAAAAAUAAAUAAGAGAAAAAAUAAAAAUCUCUAUUUUUUGCUUUAGAAAAAAAAUUAGAAAUUUCUAUUUUACAAAUGAAAAUAGAGAUGAGUUAGAGUUAAAUAAAUACAAAAAUAGAGUAUAUAAAUAAAAAUAGAGAUAGAUUCGAGAUGCUCUUAAAAAUAUUCAUUACUCUUUCCGUUUUAUUAAUAUCAAUUGUUAAGAUUUUUCAGGCAGACUUAUAAAUAAGAUUCCAUUUCAGACUAAUGGAAGUAAACCUAUCAAAAGAAUUCUAACGUGCUGUAGAGAGACUCCUUCGUCAUCGUCCCUUUUGUGAAAGAGUAAAUUAAAGAAUCCAUAAUGAGCAUAGUGUAAGAAGAACCAUUUAUCUAUUAGAUAUAUUCUAGUACUGGUAGACUGUCGAUUCUGGAUACAUCCUGAAAAUCAUUUACCACAAUAAAUUGUCGAUAAUCUUUUUGUUGGAAAAGUUAUAUAUUAUCUUCAAAUGAUAAUAUAUUAGUCGACAAAAGAAAAGCGAGACAAAAUUUGAAUACAUUGAUUUCGGUUAAUUCAAUACUUUCACUUCAUUUUUAGCAAAUAGUACUUUUAUUUCUGAUUUUUAUGUGGCUAGGAUAAAAGCAAAACCUUACUGGUUGGAGAGAGUAAAUAUUUGAGUCGAUACUAACAACAACUACAUCAUGCAAGAUAUGUUUGUGGGACAAAGAGACCGAGCGAACAAACGAAACGGCAAAACCAUCAUCUACAUGUAUCAAGUGCGCGGUAAACCCCUCAUGGAAGAAUUUCCAAGAAAACCUCCCAAAGUCCAUGGUAUCUUCUAUAUGAGGUAAUGCACGCUGCCUCUAGAUCAACAAGUAAUAUCAGCUCACGAUUAUCUUGCGACUCUGAUCACAUCACAAUAACAAUGGGGAACCCACAUACGCAACCGUUCUCCUUGGAGUACCAUGCCAUUGCACUUACGGCCCCCUCAAGCACAAAUAUGGCACCUCAAGCUGAUUUCCACCAUGCAAACUUGAGUAUGUAAUCAAAGGUGUAGAACGGAGUCAAGAACUCAUCUUAAAGUCACAUAAAACUAUGGUCAUGCACUCAUGGAUCACGACUACUACCUUCAGGCUCACAAAUUAAUGCCCCCUUUUCAAUCAUAUAUAUGAGAAGAAACGUGUACAAAGUACACAUUAACUGGUCACGAAAAAACUUUCGUGUAGGGAAAAGGAUCACAAGGUCCACUCCACUCCGCACCUCAGCUAAAUAAAUCAUUUUUCGAAAGUGAGAUAGUCUUAACUCUUAAGUCUUAACCCAUCCAUCUAAGUUACUAGUUUCUGUCUUUUAUAAGUCAUUUUGUUUCUUUUUCUUGGAUUUUAAUUGAAGCCAAAAUGUGUGAAUUAAAUCCGGGAGAUGGAAAAAAUGUUCGAUAAUUUGAAUUAUUAUUUUUAUAUGUAUUUUGUAUUUGAAUCAUGAAUUUUUUAUAUUUCGUUUGCAUAGAAGAAUCCAAAAACAUAUGAUUUUUUGUCAAAACAAAAACUUAAAACCAAACAUAUAGUAGAUGCGACGUUUUCAUUAUCAUUUGGAAUCUAGUUUUAUUUAGAACUUUUUGGGAACGUUAACUACUUUUCCUUCUAAAUAACUGUUUCAGCUUUUAAUGCAUAACCAAUGAUCAAAUUUAACGUAAACAAAAUUUCCAAAAUUUAGUAACUUCAUGCUUGACAAAUUUCAGUCUUUGUCGAUCCUUGCUUUAUGUAAUGCUAUUUCUUGACUUAAUAUCCCACUUAGGGGUUUGGAAUACAUGUUUUAUGUUUAUAAUUUUAAAAGAUGCAUUUGAAUUUUCUGUAUAUACUACCUUUUCCAAAUCUCCAAUGGCUAUGUCAUCUGAAAAAUGGUUACACUCCCUUACAUAAACUUUUCUCUAAAUAUCGAGGUUUGAUUGAUUGCUUUCAUGUGCAAAAUUUCUUAAAACAAUGUAGCAAGUUUUUCUUUUUUUAUUAGAGUUUAUUGGUUAGUCUAGGGAGUCAAAAGCAAGAAUUAUGAGGAUAAUUUAAAGGAGCCACAAUGUUGUUUAAAGGAGCUAAACGAAAAAUAAGAUUUCAAAGAUUUAAGGGCAAAAAUGAAAUGAAAUGAUAACUAUAAUUAUAGAGAAACUGAUAGGAAUAACAUUUUCACUUUCAAACAAUAGUUCCUCAACUGUUAAGUCGGCAAAUAAUUUCUUAAAUUUGCAUUGACCACAUAGAAAUGGGUUCCAGAAUAAUCAACGCUGAAUAUUCCAGAAAGGGGAUUAAGCUUCGGUGAAGCUUGGGGGCUUGUAGGCAAUGAAACUGAUGCAUUGGACUUGACGGGUGUUGUCGAAUCCGAUGAUCCUAAUGAAGGCGCCAGGGUACUCCUUCUUGCAUUCUUCAACUUCCUUCAACACUUGAGCGGAGUCGGUGCAUCCGAACAAUGGAAGCUUCCACAUUGUCCAGUAUCGUCCAUCAUAGUAUCCGGGAGUGUUUCCGUGCUCACGGUACACAAAUCCGUGCUAUAUAUAAAGAAAACCAUUCAAUACAAUUGAUAUAUAUAUUGGUGAUAGUCUAUUUCGGUUAUCCACUUAAGUUUCUAGCAAUGAAGAAGAAGAAUAAAGGAUGCUUAGAGACAAAGGAAAAGUUCAGUGUAUAUUACCUCCAACUCGAAUUCAACACAAGGAAUCCACUUGUUGCGGAGAAGGUAGUCAACUUCCUUAGCCAAUUCAACGUCACUAAGGUCAGGGAGGUAAGAUAGAGUCUCAAACUUCUUCUUUCCGAUUGGUGGCCACACCUAUAAAUUCGAAUUCCCAAUUAUUCUAAAGUAUUGUUCAGUUGCACUAAUUGCACAUGACAAAAGACAGUUUUCAUUAAUGACAUUUACCUUCAUGCAGCUAACUCUUCCUCCGUUGCUUGUGAUGGAAGUAAUGUCGUUGUUGGCCUUGCGGGUGACCGGGAAAGAAGCGGAUGACUUCAAGCCGGUGAAUGGAGCGACCAUGGUGGCUUGAGCCGGGGAGGUAACCACAGCGGUGGAGGAGAACAUAGAGGAAGCCAUUACUUCUUCUUGUUGUUUCUCUUCUUCUUUUGGUUUUUCUCUUACUUACUUGUUUGUCUGUUGGUUUUGUCAUCUUUAUAUAGUGGGAACCGCUAGAGGCAACUAGCCCUAAUGAUCAAAGGGGCCAUAAUUCAUGAUAACGUCGUUAAUUGCCACAGGAUUAAGGAAAGGUGUUGACACCCUUAUCGAUUUGGACCACUAGGAUAAGAUCACGUGGCAGAAAACUCCAUAAUCUUAUCUUUCUCAUGUAAGGGUAGGAGUGAAUGUGUAUGGCUACUGGUCUCCACUUGAUCGGUUGCUUUUGGCUCCUUUCAAUUGGGAGGCGUCAAAUUGUAGAUAUCGGUUAAAUACUUUUUACAUAUAGAUUAAAAAAAUGAUUAAAUUUCUAUUACCUUAUAUUAACACAUUCAUAUUUUUAUUUUUCCACUUGAUAAUCUUAAAUAAUAAGAAUAUAAGUAUAAUCUUUGAAUUCAUCCCACAUUUUAAAAGUAUAAUUAAAUCAGACAGAGUUCAUUCAAAAUGGUUUUUAAUUGGGAAAUGUAAACUAGUAUUUUGUGUUAUUAUUUUCUAUGUAGUAUGUACGAUCACUAGAACUUUUAGUCACAUAAUGGAUAUUAAAUUAGAAAACAAUCCAAAUGCUUGUGAAUUUUCAGGUUUUACGGCUAAUUAAUAUAUUUCUGAUGAACAAGAGGAACCCACGGCACCGUUCCUUUUGGAGCACAACGCAAUUGCACUUACGGCCCACUUAAGCACGAAUGUGGCACCUCAAGAUAAUUCCCACCAUGACAACUUAAGCACAAAAGCCAUGACGGAUCAUGGGGAAAUUUUAUAACACACUUCAAUGGAUGGUGUGGAUCCGAGGGAAGAAUCCACACUCUAAGGCCACAUGAAGAAGCUCAUAUGGUCAUGGGUCCACGAAUACCACGUAAAAGCUCAUAUAUGCCCCGGUCCAACCAUAUGAGAAGAAGUAGCCAAACCCAUUCAAGAAACAUUGAUUACUUUUCAUUGUAAAUAAGUGUUUUAGCUUUGAAUGUAUCGUAAACUAUCUAAUUUAAUGUAAAACAGUUUCCAAAUUAUAAAUAUUCAUGCUUUGUUAUCUCCAUUAUAAAUUUCAUUAAUUCUUGCGUGUCCUUGCUUGCUAUGAUGUCAUCUCUAAAUUUUUGGACUUGCGGCUCUAGAAUUCAUGUUUAUGGAUUUAAAAUAUACAGUUGGAUUUUUCUAUGUCAUUUUAAAAAAGAAAAUUUUUAGAUUAGAUUUUAAAAAGAGAAAUAAACGUGUUUACAACUUAAUGCAUACUUUUUUGAAAAACAAAUCUAAAACAGAGGAUUUGGUCUUAAGCUUGUCUUGUACCAAACCAAACUUGAAGACCUCCUUCAUACUUCAAAGCUCCCCCCACUCCGUAUUGUGCUCAGCCGGUUCCAAACAUUUUUGUCAAUUAACUUGACAAGUUUCUCCAUUGGUGAUGGUUGUUCACCAUGCUUUCAAGCAUUUCUUUCUCCCCAAAUCGAAUGAACCGUGUUUUGGAAGACAUACCGUAGAAUGAAGAUUUUUGUUUUGUCAUAGUUUUUGUCACAAAUGGUUUUAAAGACUUCCCUCCAAUAUGUCGAGUACUUAUCAAGUAGUAUUCCCCUUAUCAGCUUCUCCCAUACCUUCUGCGAGUAAGAGCACCCAAAAAAAAGAUGGUGUCUUGUUUCCAUAGGUUCGUGACAGAACAUGCAGUUUGUGUUCACUUGUUGAUUCCAUUUAAACAUUCUGUCUCCCGUGGCAACUCUGUUUUUUGAAGCUAGCCAACUGAGAAAGGAGUAGUUAGGGUAAAGUAAAAGAAACAGAUCCCUUUGUAUCCGUCCAUCGUAGGCUUAGUGUUGCGAAUUUUUGAGCAUGUAUCUCUUGUGACAAACUUUUGACGGUAGUGAUCAUUUUUUCCUUUCCAAAGGGCUAUGUAACUUUCAUCUUCUCUGAGACGACAUCUCUAUUUUCUACGUAUUUUUACUACCUUUACUGGCUGUUUUUCAUCUUUAAAUUAAAAUGUUCUAAAUCAACCCUCAAAAUUUGAUUGAUGGACGCAUCUUUGCUAUGCUUUCAAGUGCGAAAUGUACCUAAAAAGGGUACUCUUUCAUUAGAGAACCAAAGGCAAGAAUUAGGAGAGAAAUUUAAAGGAACUAAAAUGUUAGUUAAAAGAGAUAAAACGAAUAAAAAGAGUUAAAAGUGAUAAGAGCAGAAAUGAAGUGAUAUGAAUAGAGAUUUUUAUAGAGGAAACGAUAGAAAAACAAACCUUCAGUUUUUUCACUUUGGCAAAAUAAUUACUUAAAUUUACAUUGACCAUACAAAAUUGGGUUCCGGAUAGUCAACAUUGAAUAUUCCAGAAAAGGAUUUAAGCAUCAGUGAAGCUUGGGGGCUUGUAGGCAAUGAAACUGAUGCAUUGGACUUGACGGGUGUUGUCGAAUCCGAUGAUCCUAAUGAAGGCGCCCGGGUACUCCUUCUUGCAUUCUUCAACUUCCUUCAACACUUGAGCGGAGUCGGUGCAUCCGAACAAUGGAAGCUUCCACAUUGUCCAGUACCGUCCAUCGUAGUAUCCGGGAGUGUUUCCGUGCUCACGGUACACAAAUCCGUGCUAUAAACACAUAAGAAAACCAUUCAAUACAAUUGAUAUUGGAGGAUAUGCACAAGGUGAUAUAGUCUAUUUCGGUUCUAAAAAAUCCGGUUAUAGGCUAAUAUUUCUAGCAAUGAAAACGAAAAAAAUAAUAAUGAUUAGUAGACAAAGGAAAAGUUUUGUGUAUAUUACCUCCAACUCGAAUUCAACACAAGGAAUCCAUUUGUUGCGGAGAAGGUAGUCAACUUCCUUAGCCAAUUCGACGUCAGUAAGGUCAGGGAGGUAAGAUAGAGUCUCAAACUUCUUCUUUCCGAUUGGUGGCCACACCUAUAAUUCCCAAUUCCCAAUUAUUCUUAAGUAUUGUUCAGUUGCACUAAUUGCACAUGACAAAAGACAGUUUUCAUUAAUGACAUUACCUUCAUGCAGCUAACUCUUCCCCCAUUGCUUGUGAUGGAAGUAAUGUCGUUGUUGGCCUUGCGGGUGACCGGGAAAGAAGCGGAUGACUUCAAACCAGUGAAUGGAGCGACCAUGGUGGCUUGAGCCGGGGAGGUAACCACAGCGGCAGAGGAGAGCAUAGAGGAAGCCAUUACUUCUUCUUCUUCUUCUUUUGCUUAAUUGUUUUUCUAUUGGUUUUGUCAUCUUUAUAUAGUGAGAACCGUAAGAGGCAAAAAGCCCUAAUGAUCAAAGGGUCCGGGAUUCAUGAUAACUCGUUCACUACCACAUGAUUAAGGAAAGGUGUUGACACCCUUAUCUUAUCUUUCUUUUGUGAGGAAAUGAGUGAUUGUGUAUGGUUUACUAGUCUCCACUUGAUCGGUUGCUUUGGCUCCUUCCUUUUGGAAGAAAAGAAAUCAGAUGCAUGACCGUAAAUAUAAUGUUUUGGACCUUUUAUUUAUCUUGUAUGUAUUUUUAAAAUUUGGUUUACAUUACUUCGGUUAAUAAAUACUAUAACAGGAAUAUCUAUAAACAGAGUCAUGACUCAUAAUGCAUUUCACAAUGUCAAAGCUGAACGUUGAGAUAAAUUUAUCAAUAGCACUAAAUAUUAAUCCGCGGUAUACCGCGGGUCUAUAUUUUCAUUAAAUAAAAAAUAAUUGAAUAUUUCUUAGGAUGACUUAAUAAAUUUCUGCUAUUGUUUGAUUUAAAUGUAUAAUUCACCGCGAGACAAAAUUUUAUAACUCAAAUUUUAAAGUUUUAAGUUGUAUUUGUUUAUUUUGUUAAAUGUUUAAUAUUGUAUAAUUGUAUUUUGAUUGUUGUUUCUCGGAUUUCACCCGUAGUACACCAUCCCAUAUUAAUAUCGAAUCAAACCCGUCAAUUCUAGGAUUUCACCUGUGGUAGUAUUUAAUUGUAUAAUAAUAACUUGAUUGUCAUUCUAGGAUUUCACUCCUAGUUCUAUCGCAAAUUAUUAUCAACUCAAACCAGUCAAUUCUAAAAUUUCACCCGUUGUACACCAUCCCAUAUUAAUAUCGAAUCAAGCCCGUCAAUUCUAGGAUUUCACCCGUGGUAGUAUUUAAUUGUAUAAUUAUAUUUUAAUUGUCAUUCUAGAAUUUUACUCCUAAUUCUAUCGCAAAUUAUUAUCAACCUAAACCAGUCAAUUCUAAAAUAUCACCCGUAGUACACCAUCCCAUAUUAAUAUCGAUUCAAACUCGUCAAUUCUAGGAUUUCACCCGUGGUAGUAUUGCGAGAGAAAUCUUAUAAAAGAAUCGAAAUGUGUUUUAAAAAAAUUAAAGUUUUAAGUAUUUUUUUUUAAUAUUGUUAAUUUUGUUUAGUGCUUAAUAUUAUAUAAUUAUAUUAUGAUUGUUAAUUAUAGGUUUUUUUCGUAGCAUAUCAUCCAAUGUUAUAAUUCACUCAAAGCCGUCACACCAUAUAACCCCGUCCCGUUAAAUUAAACACAAAUUUGUCAUUUUAUUAUAAAUUUCAAAUAUUUAUAAAAUUAGAAACUUCAAAAAAGAUUAAUAUUGACCCAAACUUCAUCAUUGAAUUUUGAGUGUUAUAUCUAAGAUUUCUCUCGCAGUAUAUCGUCCCGUAUUAAUAUCUUUUAUAUUGUUUAAAUUUCUUGUAAAAUUUGAUUUAUAAUUUUUUGAAACUUUUUAAAGUUUCAAUUCUUUAAAAUAAAUAACCCUAGUAAACAAACCAUUUUAAUUUUGGACACCUCAUAAAUCAAGUUUCAUGCUCAUUCGUAAUCGAAAUUAUUUUGGUCCUUUUUAUAGUAUGGCUCUGAACCAUUGUCCAAUUUUUUUAAGCGAUGUGGGACAUUGUACAAUCGUAAUUAUUAUCCACCCAAACCCGUCCUACCAUAUAACCCAGUCCCGUGAAAUUAAACAUAAUUUUGUCAUUUUCUUAUAAAUUUCAAUAUUAUAAAAUUUGAAACUUACAAAAAAUAAAAUAUCGACCUUGAUUAUAUUUAAGAUUUUUCCUGUAAUAUAUCGUCUUGUAUUAAUAUAUUUUAUAUAUAUAUUUAUAAUGUUUAAAUUUCUUGUAAAAUUCAAUUUAUAAUUUUUAAAACUUUAUCAGUUUUAAAAUUAUAAAUAUUUAAAGUAUUUUUUAAAGAUAAACUUUAUAAAAAGUUUUUAAAAUUAUAAUAUUUAACUUUUGAUAAAGUUAUAAUAUUUAUAAUUUCUUGAAACAUUUUAAAGUUUCAAUUCUUUAAAAUAAAAAACCCAAGUAAAUCGGAUAACUAUUUUAAUUUUGGACGACUGAUAAAUCAAGCUUCCUGCUCAUUCGUAAUCAGAAUCAUUUUGGUCCUUUUAUAAUAUGGGUCUGAAACAUUGUCCAAUUUUUCUAAGCGAUGUGAGACAUUGUAUACAUAUUAUUUCUUCAUACUUUGAAUAAUAUAUGUCCGUUUAAAAAAAUUUGAAUUACAUCAUAUGCAGAAAAAAAUAUAAUAUUUUAUUAACUAUAUAUAUUUUAUAUAAAUUCAAAAUAAAUAAAGUAUAAGAUCAAAUAAAAGUGAAAGAAGAAUUAUAUAUUUAUGUUUAAAUUAGGUAAAAAUAUUUUAGGAAAUUAGUUAAGGUAAAUAACAAAUAUGGUUCGUUUAGAGAUAUUGUUUAUAUUAAAUUUGGUAAUUAAAUCAUUAAUUUUUGUUUUUAAUUAUUAGUUUUUAGGUAACUUUUCCAAAAAUUAAUGUUAUCGAAGAUCAGAACAUAAUUAAACAUGUUAUCCAAGAUCCGAACAGAGUUAAACCGGGUUAUACCCACCCAUUUGAAUUAAUUGUUGAAUUAUGGCUCAAAUCUUCAAUAUUAUCUUCUAAAAACGUCUACAAAAAUGUAUAUAUAGAAGAUUACUCUUUUUAACUAAAUGCAAAAAAGGAAAACCGAUAAGAAUAAGAAAAAAAUAGCAAAAUUGAUAAAUGGAUUAGUCAAGAAAACCAUGUUUAAAUAUAGGAAAUACCAAAAAUGAAAGGAUAGCCAUGUGAUACGCUUGUAUAAAAAGAAAUUGUCCCUAUUGAUUACUUCAAAAAAAAAAAAAAAAAAUAAAUAAAUAAAUAAAUAAAGAGGCCAAUUCGACAAUAAAGGCAAUGCAUAGUCUCUCGUGGUUUCUCCUCGUCAUUGGAUUAUCCGUAGGGUUGAGUAGCGGAAAGUGGAAUGAGAAAAACUCUGUCAUCUUUACGAAUUCUCUUGGUCGGAACAAAGUCUUGAAAGUAAAUUGCAUAUCAAAUGAUGACAAUCUAGGCUUCCACUUUUUGCGCCAUGGACAAACCUACGAUUUUAGUUUCCACGAUAGUCUUUUCAAAUCAGAAUUCUAUUGUGACCUAUGGCAAGGCCCUAAUUUCAAGUUGCAUGCAGCAUUUACGGCAUAUGAAGGUGGUGGUUUGAUAGUUCAUUAUGGUAAAAAGAACUUUUGGGAUGUUAGAGAUGAUGGGAUCUAUUUCACCCAUGGCCAAAAAAUGCCCAAGUUAGAGUAUACGUGGAAGUAAUAAUUAAUCACUCAAAGGGAAAAGAUGGAAUUUAACUCAUCUUUUUGUUUUAAAGUUUGACAGAAACUUCAUUUUCUUGUGUAUUAUAGUGGACGUGAAACAUUGUAAUAAAUCAUCAAAUUAAGGCACCUUAAUAUGUAAAUGUAUCUUUAGUGUAUUAAAGAGAAACUUUAUAAGUAUGUGAGUUUUUCAAUACGCAAACAUAUCCAAGGCUUACGUCCUAACCAAAACUAAUAUUAAUUUGCACAUAUAUACAUGAUUAAUGAAUAAUGUAAGUAGACAGAGUGAGAGAUCACCCACCAGCUCUCCCUCUCCCCAAGUCAGCUUUCAUUUCAAAUCCUGAAAGGUAUCGUCGCUUGGUAGGGCGACUUAGCUACUUAAUUAGCUGACACCUGAGUUAGCCUAUUCAGUUCACAAAUUAGCACAGUUCAUGCAACAUCCACUUUAAGAACACUGGGAUGCUGUGAUAUGGGUGGUUCCGAUAUCUAAAAUCCAAUCCGCGCCAAGGCCUUUUGCUUCCCAGCUCAUCGACUUUGCAGCGUCAUGGUUGGUGUGAUAGUGAUUGGGCCGCCUGUCCUCUUACUAGACGCUCUCUCACAGGUUAUUUUGUACAACUUGGUGACACAAAAAUCUCAUGGAAAAUGAAGAAACAACUGACUAUCACUCGCUCUUCCGCAGAAGUCGAAUAUCGAGCCAUGACAUUUCUUACUCAAGAACUUAUUUGGCUUAAAAAGGUGAUGCAUGAUCUUGGUGUCUCUCAAGAUCGACCUAUGCGCAUAUUCUCUAACAAUAAGUCCGCUAUUGCUCUAAGUGCCAAUCCGGUUCAACAUAAACGUACAAAACAUAUUGAGGUGGAUGGUCACUAUAUCCAUGAUAUCCAUGCUGGUAUUAUGACUACUACCCAUGUGUCCUCUCAACAACAAUUAGCAGACAUUCUCACUAAGGCGUUGGGACAAAGAGAGAACUCCAUUUCUUUCUCUGCAAGCUGGGCAUUCUUGAUGUAUAUGCUCCAACUUGAGGGAGGGUGUUAAAUAUAUUUGCUACUUAUAUUCUUAUUAUUAGAGUGCAUCUUAGUCAAUAGCUACUAGUCAAGCUUAGUCAACUCUACUUUGCCCCUUUUGGUUUUUCCAUGGUAACCACAUUAUGUACUUUAGGUUAUAUCAUCUUUUUGUAUAAUUAUGGCUUUUAACGCCUAAUCAAGAUAACACAAAUUAAAACCAAUCUCUGUCUCUUGCCUUAAAUCUGACACUCUUUUGGAUAAGUUUCUUUUAAAAGCGUUUAAGAAAAAUUUCAACAUUGCUAAUUAUGAGAUAUAUGUCAACAAACUCAAGGCAUUGUUUUAUAAGAAUACUAGAUAUUUCGCCAAACCACUCAUGCUAUAAUGGGAGUGAAAGUCUUAAAUUGGAAUAUUAAGAAUAAGAUCUUUUAUCAUGACUCGUAAUUCAUAUCACAAAUGUCAAAGCUGAACGUUUCAAUAAAUCUAUCGAAAGCAUUAAUCCUUUAAAUAGAUGUGAAACAGCGAAAUAGAUAAGGGCACAAAGAAAACAGUAAAAGCGAUCAACAAGUUCGUAUGAGUCAAAACUCAAAAAAAAAAACAUGUUUAAAAAUAGGAAAGACCAAAAACUAACGACUAACCAUGUAAUACACUUGUAUAAAAAGACACUAUCCGUCUGUCCCUUUUCAUUAUCUACAGAUUAAUUACUUCUGAAUUUAAAAGAAGGAAGGCCAAUUCAAACAGUCAACAAUGAAUCGGCUCUCGUGUUUUCUGCUCGUUAUUGGAUUGUGCAUAGGAUUGAGUAACGCAAAUUUAAUAUGGAAUGAGAAAAACACUGUAUUCUUCAAGAGUUCCCUUGGUCGAAACAAUGUUUUGAAGAUUCAUUGCACAUCAGAAGACAAUCUAGGUUUCCAUUUUUUGCGUCCUGGAGAAACCUAUGAUUUUAGUUUCCAUGAUAGUAUUGUGAGAUCAGACUUUUACUGUGAAUUAUGGCAAGGGCCUAAUUUCAAGUUUCAUGCAUCAUUUAUGGCAUAUCAAGGUGGUGGUCUCAUAGUUCAUUAUGGUAAAAAGAACUUUUGGGAUGCUAGAGAAGAUGGAAUCUAUUUCACUCAUGGCAAAGAAACGCCCAAGUUAGAGUAUAAGUGGAAAUAAUAAUUAACCACUCAAUGUAUGAUGGAAUUGAGAUCAUCUUUUUUUACUUUUAACAAAAGCUUAUUGUUCUUGUGUACUAUUGUGGAAGGGAAACCUUUGAAAUAAAUUUAUCGAAAGUAUGUGAACUUUUGAAGACGAAAACUUUCAAUACUUAAGUCCUCAUCUAAACUAAUAUUUGUAGUUAAAUGAUUAAUGAAUAAUUAAUGUGAGAAAAUCCCUAAAAGAAUGGUGGAAAAAAAGGAAGAUGUGUCAAAUGAUUUUUGACUCAAAUUAGUUAAUCGGUAAACUAAAUACCUGAGUUAUGUAUGCUUUGGCAAAACACACUUAAUUGGGCUCACUAAUUGAAUUUACAGAUUAAGAUUUCGUCAAAGCCCAACAAAUAACGAUAUCCUAAUAUUUUUGUAGUAUAUGCAGCCCAUCACUUUAAAAAUUCCCGAACCAGAAUGCUACAUCAAAAUUAUAGCAUUCACAACAUGUUUCUUUUUGUCCAAGUGAGUUUGGAUGUAGAAAUUUGGAUACAAAACAAGUUGCAUAUUAUGAUGCAAUCGAAACUAGAGUUUAAAUGCAUCAAUUCCAUCUAUAACUAAUUAACGUAAACGACUAAAAAUCAACUAAUAUUGUCUAUGUCGACCCAAGUUAAUUCGGGUCCGCUUUUGCGAUACUUCCAGGGAUUUGUUCUAUUUUACCUUGCUUGUAGGACAUGUUCUAUGUUCUAAGCUUUUACAAUUCAGGUUGUAAGUGAAGCGUAUUUUUGUUUCAUUGCUUGUAAAUGAAACAACACAUAGUUUGUUAACGGAGUUGAUGGUUUCUAACCGCUAUAUCUCGUAGAAAAACUCUUGCUCCCAAGCUUCACUAUAUAAGGAAGAGGUUGCACACAUGACAUCACUACUAACUUUCGAUGUUGUCUUUUAAUUUUACGUUCACUCCAGAAACACAAGGAUAAAAACAACACACACACACACAAACAAAACAAAACAAAACAAAACUUGCUUGGAAAAUCUUAGUUUUUCACUUUCUCUAAAACUCUUUUUUCUUUUUUCGUCUUGUAUCACUUAUUACAUUUAUAUCUGAGCCUUUGUUAUGUAUAUAUAGCUGUAUGCAUUUGGGGCAAAGCCCUUCCGAGAACAUGUCUCCCUUCUAUGUCAAACUUCGUCUUGUGACUCUUGACCAUGAAAGCCCAUUUUUUGGGUGUGUUAGAGCAUCUCCAACAAGCCUUCUAACCUUCAAUUUAUUUUGAACCCUCUAACCCUUAUAUUUUUAGGAUGUAAAUAGUGCACCUCGAAUUUUAUGGUGCAUUUUUUACACCCUCAGGCCUCAACAACCAAAACUGAUUAUUGUUAAUAUUGCACAUAACAAGAGAACGGAAAAAUACCUUGGUAGUUUCAUAUCUGUAACAUAGUCAGACGUAUCAUUAGUUUAUUUAAAACAGUUGUACCACGAUUGUCUACGAAUACAGAAAAGGAAAAAAAAAACGAAUAUGAAAUUUUUUCCAAGGAAAAAUAACUAGUACUACGAUUUAAUGUACAAAGAUAUAACUUAAAAACCUCUGUCAAAAAUAUCAUAUAAUAAAUAUUUCUUAUAUUAAAUAUAGGAAACACAAUUCAAUAUGUAUAAGAAAAACAAUAGUAUUUUCACAUUUCCACCAAAUCUUCUAUGAUUUCAAAGAUUUUUAAUCUUUUGAUAGUGGAAGGAUCUUUGUUUAUAAUCGUCAAAGAAGAUACAGUAUCACAAUUAGAUUUAGAUACACAUGCGUGUGCAUGUAUUUUCUAAAAACAAGAAAAAUUAUACUCUCAUAUAAUAUGCAUUCUCACUUACGAAUAACUAAUUUGCAUAGGGUGUUGAUUGCGAUACUGAAUUGAUCAAAAGAUUAUUUCUUUGCUAUGUUCUUUAUUGGGGCGUAUCUAAAAUUAUGACGAUAUGUUUUUGACUUGUCAAUUCAGAAGAUUGUACCACUGAAUUAUUCUAUACAUAUUAUAAAAAUUAUACAUUUCAAAUAUGUUUUUUUCCACAUUUUGUACGAUUUUCAGACUUGAACUUUCAGAAGAAAAAAAAAACAUUUGCCUUUAAAAAUACAAACUAUAUUCAAAAUCUAAUUGAAAACAAAGAAUGACAGAAGACAACACAAAUGCGCAAAAAAAAAUAAAAAAAUCAUGAUCGUACAUAUGAAAGAGUUUCUUUUAAAUUUAUCAAAAAAAAAAAAUCGUGAAGGAUUUUCUUUUAAAACUUUUUUUAACUUUCUGCAAUGUGGUAUUUUUAUACAUAUGCCACAUAACACAAAUGUUUUUUUUUCUUUUCCAUUUAAUCCGACUAAGACCUAAUAAUUAAAAGAUAUACCUAUCAUAAGUUACCAGUUUUAUUUAUUUCUGAUCAAUUUCAAAGGUUACUGACCACAUAUCAAAAAAUAUUAUAAGAUAUAAAGAAGCAAGAAUCAACCUUAGUCAUUGUAAGUGCAAAGGCUGCCACCAAACUUAACCAAGAAAAAUUAAAUAUGAACUCCUUUUCCCCCAUCACUAAUCAUUCUUUUUGUUUCUUUGAUUAUUAAAUUUCAUGUUUUAUGUUUGUUUAUUAUUUUAAGGCUUAUCUAGAUUGAACCCAUCUUAAUAUUACAUUAUGACUUAUUAUUAUUGAAUUUCAACUCACUUUCUAAGCCAAUAAAGGUGAUCGAUGGACAUAUGCUUUUGGCCUUAUGCCAGAGAGUUAUUGAUUUAUACCAGUUGCAGUCUCAAAGCACAUAAUAUGACCUUACACAUAGACAACAGUCACAACUUUUCAUAUCUUUGUGUCUUUAAAUUAGAACUAAGAAGAUUUAUUUAUAUAUGUACAACUAGUCUUUUUUGAAUAAACUAAAACAAAAGCUUUAAUUUGGCCUAAAGAAAACACAAUCAUUUGGAAGAUGUGGUAAUUAUAUAAUACAUUUAUUCGAAAUCUCCUUCUCAGCCUUCUUACUUCGAAUAACAUAUCUACUAUAUUUUUGGCAUAUCAAUAGUUUUUUUGGAGUUUUAAAAGUAUGUGUAUAAAAGAAGUUUAAGAAUAACAAUUCAAAGAUAUAUGUCAUCCAUAAACAUAUUUCUUCUACUACCAUAGAUCAUAUUAAAUUCAUUUACUACACAAGUUUAUGUUUCAAAUACUAUAUUUUAAAACAUGUUACAUAAACCAAUCAUGCGGGUUUUUGAGUUUGUUCUCGUCACACUUUACACAAAACAAUAGAAAAUGUCUUUUUGAGGAAAAAGAAUUAACAUAAUUUGAUGUCAUAGUAACAUUUAUUCCGAUUUGUAUCCCUCAUGAAAUUCAAAAUCUCCCUCAAUCUCAAAAUCUUCCUUCUAGCCGUGCUUUACCAAGGCAUUCCAAAUCAAACUAUUUAAACCGCGAAAAUCCUCAUGAAACCAAUGGCUUCAAUAUCACUUGAACUCCAUACUUAGGUUUUAUAGUAAGCACAACGAUUGGGGCAUGCCUAUAAUUCUUUGAUAUUGUGAAGUUAAACUUUGAAAUUAACGUGGCUAAUAUUAUUUUAGCUUCCAUCAACGCAAACUGUUGUCCGAUGCAGUUCCGUGGACCGGCUGCAAAUGGGAUGAAAUGGCGACCAGACGCGAAUGGUCUGCCUCCAAAACGUUCGGGAUUGAAUUGGUUCGCGUCUUUACCCCAUAAUUCUUCACUGUGAUGGAUAGCAAGAACCGGUAUCCAUAUUGAUAAACCUUUAGGAAUGGUUAGAUCACCUAGUUUUAGAUCUUCAAAUGCCAUCCUUGGUAGAAGAGUAGCUGGAGGGUAAAGUCUUAGUGACUCGUUAAUCACUUUGCUUAACUGUUCCAAAGACAAAGAAAAAGAAGUUAGAAGACUAUUCUAUUAAUUCAUUUUGGAAUCAUAUCUUUGUGAUCAUGCGAAGUGCUUCUUGACUCUUUCUCAAACAUCUUUUAGUUUGGGAAUUGACUUUUCCUUUUGAAAAAAAUAUCAAUGAAGCUGUCAAGAUCUAAUCAUUAGUUAAUACAUGUUUAGAUUUCUUAGAUAAUAUUUUAUGCAAAGCAUGCCUUAGUGCUAAUCACUAAACAAAUGGAAGAUGUCUUAUUUAACCAUUUAUUUAUGCCUGAAAGAUCUAUUUACCAAUAUCUAUAUCGUAUCAAAUUUCAAACCUGGCUUAACCAAUGCUAAUCAUAUCUAAAUAGUAUCACUAUAAAACUAAUCAGAAAGUAUGAUUCUAUGUAAAUCGGUUAUAAUAAACAUGUAACGAUUUAACCCAAUAUGAAUAUAUCUUUAAAGCUCAAUAAACAUACACAUUGUUAAAAAACAAUAUUUGUGUUCUAACUAGGAUUGAAGAUAAAGGAAUAAAGACAAAAUUAAAUGAUAUCUACUCAUUAGGGUUCUUCUGUGCCGACUAUGACUAUGUUAUAAGCUUAGUUAUGGAAGAAGCACUACGAUGCUAGUGGCAUUGUCUAUACUGUGUUAAAUGUUAAUACCCCACACGCACCCAUCCAUCCAUCAUAAAGCUAAUUCUACUAGUCAAAUAAAUUAAUAGGUUACUAUAAUAUAUAGUUAUAUGAUUAUUAUUUGGAGCAAACAACAAAUAUUAUCUUUUUAUAUCUAUGAGUUAAUGGAGUUCGAGUCACUGAUGCGUGGUCAGACAAAAACUUAAGGUUGAAAAGUUGAAACGGUCACUGAUGGAUUAGUACUAAACCGUAUUUUCAUGAUUUUUUAACAACACCAAACUCAUGAAUGGUGAGCCGACGUAACCGCAAGUAGACUAAUAUGUCUCGUCUGCUAGCUAUUUACGUUCCAAACUUAGGUAAAACUUAAUUCCUAUGUUAACAAUCUCACCAAAAGAUAAGACUUUGCAAGAGAAGGACUAAUUUUAUGUCUAGAUUUUAGAAGUUAUUGUAUAAUAUGUAUUGAAAAGUGAAUGUACGUACCGAGGUUAGCUUAGAUAGUUGAUCGACUGAGGGAAGGCCAUUGCGGCCAAAGACCUCCCUGACCUCCUCACGGACUUUUUCCUGCCAUGUGGGAUUAUCGGCGAGGAGCAUUGUUGUCCAUGUGAGGAGCAAAGCCGUGGUUUCAUGGCCAGCAAAGAAGAAUGUCUUGCAUUCAUCCAUUAUCAACUGAAGAUUGUUGUUGUUAUUGUUAUUGUUCUUGUCAAUAUCCAUUUCGUUCAAGAGAAGCCCGAGAAGGUCGUCACCGUGAGUGCUACUCCUACCCAUUUCAGCGCAGUCUCGCCUGCUUUGUAUGAUCUCAAUCAACAAACGCUCAACUUCUUUUUUCAGAGACUUGAUCUCUCUGUUGUAUUUGCUUGGAAGAAACCUACAUAUACAAAAGAUUUGUUAUUAAGUCAAUGUUAGACCACAGUUAAAGUUUAAUCCUAAAACAAUAUACGUUUUAAAGCUUCACCGAGGAUCACAACAAAUAAAUAGAAAAACUAAAUUUUGUUAUGUAUAACUUAAUGUUUAAGAAUUUGUAUGGUGGCAGCCGCGGUCUGUCUGCUGCCACCAUUACUGAAAAUAUAGAGAUUAAUUACGAUUUCUAGGGUGAGGAAGAAAACCAACCGGCUGCCGGGAAAGCAGAGGUGGCGGGUGGCUUGAGCGCAACGGCGCUGGAGGACAGUGAGGUGGUUGAAAAGCUCUUUGCCUUUCUCAAAGCUGCUUCCGAACUUUGUCCUCGAUAUAAUAUCAGCCGUGAGUUUAUGCAUCUCCUCUCCUAUCUCCACCUCAUUUGCUCCUUCCCCAACUUCCUUCCUCAACCUCUCAACUAGCUUGCUUGUGCACUCCACCAUAUGCCUUGCGUAUCCCUACAUCAUAAGGGUACUUCAGUCAUUCAACGUCAAGUAACUAAGCAUUGUUUUUUGCAUGAGGCUAGUUUAUUGACGUGCCUUGAGUCUUUCUCCGGUAAAUGCCGGUGCAGCAAGGUGGCGUUGGUGGUGCCAAUCUUGGCCAUUAGCCAUUAGGAGACCGCGACCGAUAAAAUUCUUAGUCCCUUGUUGUUGUAGCCACGAUCUUCCACUAACACCGUUGUGUUUCAUCAGCAACUCCUUUAUCAAUUCCGUUUCCGUUAAGCAAAGCCGAGGAUCCGUCCCGUUCCACACAAUAAACCUCUUCCCUGUUUCAUCAAAACGUAAAUUUAUCUAAGGAUUACUCAUUUUAUUACAUGUAACCCUCCUUUAAUCAAAGGCCAAACAUUCUUCAGUAUGUUUUACGGAGAAAAAACAAAAAAUACAUGGAGGGUAUUUCCGUCAUUUUAUCUGGCUCCAUUGAUAGAUGUCACUUACAAUUAACAGACCAACUUAAUAACGAAAUCUAUGUAUAGACUUCACGACCAAGAAAACACAAACUUGUUACAAUUCAAGACCAUACCGUAUUGUUUGGACCAAGCAACGUAAUGCGGGAGAAGGCGGCCGACGAUGUCAUGGUGAAUAGAGUCACAAUCCUUGGAAGCGGAUUGCGAAACCAUGGCCGAGAUUUCAAGGAUAUUUCCGGUUAACGGACGCGGUUUAGGACCCGUUACGCCUUGCUGUUCCAUGAUCUUCUUGAUUCGUCUAGGUGUUAGCCAGUAGCACGAUAUGGUGUCGUAUAAAACUCUCAAUAUCGUAGUCACGAAUAUCACGAGGAGUGAUUUUAAUAUAGUAAGCAACAUUUUUGGGUUUUUUCUUUUCUUCUUCCAGCAACAAAGAUUCGAAAAGAAAAACAAGAGAUAUUAAGAGGGUGAGAUAAAGAGUAAUGGUGUAUUUAUAGUGUCGAGAUACAAUAUAAAUUCAUGUAGGGUACUAAAUCUGGGAGAACUAAUUAUGGUAUAACUUUGUUGCAUAUUCUCACUUAAAGAAAUGGAAGAUAUUGAGACUAAUUAAAUUAGUAAAUCUCGUUAUUUUUUACCUUGCUUGGCUAAACGUUUCCAUUUAAUUCUUAUACUUUUAAGAGAGACACUCCAAAUUAUUAUUACAGAAACAAGUUGUGACAUUUCACAAAUGCCAACUUUGGGAAGUUUCCAGAACUACAAAAAAAAAAACAUUUAUGUUCACGAAGGGUUCCUAAAAGUUUAAGAAAUAAAGUAUCCCUAAAUUUUUAAGAACUCUUCUUAAAUUAUAAGAAAUGUUUCAAUCAUUUAGUAUUACUUCCUGAAUUUUUAAAACAUUUUAUAAGAUUAAAAUUUGUGGCCUUUUCUUAGAAAAUGUUGUAUACCAAAUAUGAUUAAAAAAAAAAAAAAAAAAACUCAUUUCCUGAGAAUCAAAAGAGAACAUCUCAGCUCAAUUAUGAUCGAAUCUUGACCAUAAUUAUGUACUAAAACUUAUAUAGCGUAUUACUGAGAGGGUCGAGAGAGAAAAGGACUUGAAAAUAAAAUUAAGUCUCCUGAAACAGUAAGAACUACCAAGAAUUGUUCUCGUAUUUGUCCCAGUCCCAGUCCCAGUCCCACACAAAGCUGGAUCACAUAAACCAUUCAAAAUCACUGCUUAGGUAUAAGUGUUUGAUUUCUCUUUUAAUUCGCCUAUGAUCCAAUCUUAACCAUAAUUAAUCUAUGAGAUGUAAAGUUUCAAGAAUUUGUUUCUAAAGACAACACAAAAAAAAAAGGUCGUGUUAAAUACAAUGUGCUUGAUAUAUAAAAAGUUCGAUCCUGGCCGUCUCAUUAAGGGGACAACAUAUUAAUCUGAUAGCUAUGACCUGUGUCGCUGUAACAUUCGGGACAUGAUUGCACAACACAAAAUUUCAUUAAAACCUUACGUUUCCUUUCAUAAAGGUAAAAUCUCUACCCCAAUUUUUGAAACCACCCCAAAUUUUGAAACCUACGUCAUCAACAAUUUAUACGCAUUGGAAUAUAGACCAACAUUUAGUAAAACCUGGACCAAAUACAACAAGUCUGAUGUUAAACCACCGUUUCUGUCUAGCUCGAUUCUACUGUGAUGAUCGGAGUUGGUUCGGUAAAGACCCUAAGCUACAUUAAAUCUAUAGGCAAAAAGACAGAGAAAACAAAAAUGGAACCGAGUUAAACAACCUUGCUCUUCAGAUUUGCUUCUUUUCUUUAUCAGAGGAUCCGAAAUGACUUGACAAAGUCCACUGCGUAUAGUUGGUGUAAAAGGCAAACAUUAUAAAGUAUGAGAAACAGAGAAUCAUGAUCAGUGCUUCGAAUAGGAAAGGGUACUUCUGAGGAGGUUUAAUGGUAAGAUAGAGGACAUGAAGAACUACGGAGAUGAAGAAAUGGGUUCGUAGUAAGAAAACAUAACCCGGGAAGUUUUUAAAGGAGAAAAAUGAAACGUCGGUUUUCUGUAUCGCAUGGUGAUUCCCGGGUGAAUGAUAGAUGACGGUGAAGAGAAAAGAUAGUGUUAAGUAAGGGAUCAAGAGUUUGUCACGGCAAAGAAGAGGGAACAUCGAGAAGAGAGCGUAAUAGGUUAAAUGACUGAAAUGGUCAGGUAGUUUGAGAGCUAAUAGUGUUGCGGAGAGAAAAGGCAUCAGGAUUGAUUUCUCAUGCACUGCAGAUUCAAACACAAUGAAAGAAAAAAAGGGACUGUUAGAUAUUAAUUGAUGGCAACCGUGAUCGAAGAUCAAAGUGAAAUAUUUAUACCUUGGAAGGAAAACAAGUAGAAAGCCAUUGAACUGUUGAGCAAGCCAUAUAGGAAACCUUCAUUGCUUGGUGACAAGAUUUGCUGAACCAUUGAAGGAAGAGAAGCCAAUAUAGUUGCAGCUAAGCUGAUAGACUUGAGGGAUUGUGUUGUGAACAGAUUUUUCCAUUUUAUGAGUAUGGAAGUAGUGCACCAGAAAUUUGCCACGUAAUCCUCGUAUAUUCCCCUCUCAAAUGGAGCAAGACGGGAGAGAACCUGCAUCAUCAGCCAUUUACUUCAUAUUAAUGAGCACGAAAACGAAUGAGACCUAUUGGGUGUAUGCAAUUUACAUCAGAGGAGGAAGCAAAGAGUACAAUCUCUUAGUUCUACCAGAGACAAACAAUUAGUUUUCUCGAGAAAUUAUCAAAUACGUAUUUACCAUUAAGAAGUCGUCCAAAGAAUGCACAUAUGGCCACCAAAAAAUAACAAAUGUCACUAUGACUGCAAUUCCAAGCUUAAUCACAGAAAGUAUAGGGCUCUUCCGUCUUAGGCAUUUACCCAGUAGAUGGCUGAAAAAGGCAGGAGCAAAGUAUGCACUCAUCUGCAACAUCGACACAAUGGAAAAAGUGUGACCAGCAUGUUAUAAACGGGAACAGAACAGAAAUGAGGUACAUACAUAAACAAAGGGGUAUAUCAAGCACCACAUAAGAUUAACAAUAUUGUAUGUAUAGAACAUUUUACAUAAAUGCAACGAUGUGAAAUAUGUAUGGCCAUAAACACUACACUACAGUCUCAACAAAUUAGACAUUUUGACAUAACGGUAGUAACUACUCAUAUUUUCCAGGGAACUAAAACCAUCUAGUUUUUCAGUCUAUGAGAUUGAUAAAAGCCAUUACGUGUCAGAUCAUCUACAAGUAUACCAACUUUCUACAAGGGAAACAUAAGAAUACAGAAAUGAAAUCCCAAAGUCACCUGUUUAUGGCUGAGGGCUAGACUGAACAAGACACAAGUGAGAACCUCGCUCUCACAUAGUACCGCAGCAAUAGCACCAACUGUAAGUCCCAAGCUGAUACAAUUGUACUAUAACAAAUAAAAAUUCUAAUGAGAAUCAUCUUACAACCAUAGAAAAAGGAUACAUAAUCACAACACCAAUAGAGGUAACGGUCAAUACAAACCUGAAAAUGACCGUGAUCAAUGAGGAUCAAGCAAGGGUUUAAGAGAAUCAUAGCAAUAUGCCAAGCCACUUCACUCUUACCACCCCUAGUUCGAUUCCUAUGGUACACCAACACGAAAAACAGAGCAGCUGGGAAAAAUAUGAAAGCAUCAGACGAUAAAACUGUCCAUCUCAUCAACAAUUUUCUGCAUAACAAAACUCGAAUUAGUAAACCCUAAUUACACAACAAGCAACCAAUUGAAGAAUCAGAUCAUUUACCCAAGAUAAGAUUCGUGACCACGAGAGCUUAGAAGAGCAACAGAUUCAGGAUUGAAGAAUCGGAGGAAGAUUCCAUGGAUGUAACUUUGAUAAGCAGUUAAAGGAGGAUAAUCUAAUCCCCAGUAAGUGAGAUCGUUGUAAGUGCCAUUUCUAUACCAAUCGAUAACUGGAAGAUUUGUGGUUAUCUCCAUCCAAUGUCUCUGAGCUUCGAAAUCGCCGAAUUUAGGAGGAAUUCCGGCGCCGGAGUAUGGAUACAUUGUUACAGCAGAUCGGAUCAGUAAUGCGAAGAGGGAGAUGCAGAGAAAUGAAGUUGUGGUUCCUUUAUGUGUUAGCCACCACCAAGUAUCAAUCGAAGAUCCGGUUUGUGGUGAUACCGGAAUGGUGAUGUCAUCUUCGCCGGAAUGUUUCGCCGGCUUCUUCUUCGGCAUCCUUUGUUUUGUUUGUCUUCUCCGUUUAGUUUUUUUCUCACCUAAGCUAAGCUGAUGCAAAAUCGAUUUACGGGGAUCGGUCUCAGUUUGGGUUUAGGAAAUAUUAAUAAAAGGCCCUUGUAUUUUUAUGUUUCUAUAAAUUUAUCCUUGAAAAAUACAAAAACACCAUUCGACUCACUUUUUAUUUUAUGUUAACAACUUGGCUAAAGACACAUCACUAACACCAUUCGACUCACUAAAACUAUGAAAUAUAACUUUCACAUUAUAGGUUAUAGACUCGUUUUGAAUAUUUUUAAAAAGACUAUAUGAAUAUUUUUAAAAAGACUAUAAUACAAUAUAUAUUAAAUUUUUGAGAUGAAAAUAGUAAAGAUGGUUGGUUUGAGAUGAAAAUAAUAAGGAUGGUUGCUAUGAGAAAAUGUUAUUCUUCAAAGGGAAAUAUUUUUUCUUAAAACAGGGAUUAGCGAUUCGCAUCCUCUUCUGUCUUUCUUAGUACGUUUGUGUUAUAGCUUCAUUUCGAAUGACUGGAUUGUCCGAAUUACUCAUGUGUAUAGGGAAGCUAAUCGUCUCGCAGAUGAAUUAGCGAAUCAUGCUUUUUUGUUACUUUUGGGGUUUCAUAGUAUUCUUCUUAGGCUUGAUUUUGCUACUUCGAUUAUUUUUGAGGAUGAUAGUGUUGUUACGCGCCCACGGAAUAUUCGUGUGUAAUUUUUUUUUUUUAUUUUUUUUUAAUAAUAUGGGAGACUAAUCUCCCUCAUUCUACCAAAAAAUUAAGGGAAAUAUUUUUUCUUAAAUUUGUUGAUAUGAUAAUUAUGGUCUACAUAAUAUCGUGUUUUAAAUCAAUAUAUAAUAAAUGUUGGUUAAAACAAGAGCAAUAACAUAAUUUUGGUGAAAUUUCUUGGGAAGGUAAGAGGAAAACUUCCUUGAUAGCAUGGAAGUAUGUAAAUUAGGAAAUUUCAACAAAGCCUUACUUGUGAAACAAUUCGGCCGGAUCGUACAUUUAUCGAAGCUAGUUACUUCCUUGUAAAAAGUUUUUUAUGUAGUGAUGGUGGUUGUAGACCUUUGUAUACUUGGAAUAGUGUUCUCUAUUGAUGAGAUCUCUUGAAAAGUGGCAUAAUAAGCAAUAUUGGACAAAUCUACUAGGGUUUGGCUUGAUAAAUGGCUUAUGGAUGAACAACCAAGGAGACCCACUAAGAAAUAAAUUUUAUUUAUUAUUAAACUUAAGGUUGCUAAUUUGUUGAAUGAGAGAGGUGUUAAUUUCUCCCAAAUGAUGUUAAUCAAGUCUUAUUGAUUUAUCUUAAUUCAAACAAGAAAGAUUUUUCGUUUUGGCGAUUCAAUAAAACUGGAGCUGAAAUCAAAAUUCUUUCUAGGGAUAUAAAGAGUUUGUUGGAUUCAUCUCUUGAAAAAUUCUUUAAAAGCAAAUCAGGGAACUAGACGAAGAUUUUAGCGGAAGUAGCUCAAAAAGCAAAAGCAUCCAUGAAAAUUGCUAUGGUAGAUGAAUCACGAAAAGCUGAAAAAGCUCUGAUCGCUAGUAAAUAGUAAUAAUAGAUUGAGUCUAGUUGAUCAGAAGAAACUUGCACAAGUUAUCAAGGUGGUGGUCGAAAUGGAGGAUGAACUCGAGGAGAAGGUUCAAAAAGUCGAGAAGAUAAACAGAAAGGUAGAUGAGAAGAUGAAGAAGAAGGCAAAGAAGAGACAUUUUUCGUUUUUGGUUUGUUGAAUGUUGAUUCGUCUUCAGCUAUCAUAUCAUGUCGGUGUUAGACUUAAAAUAAGUGUUUACCAAUAACUUAUACAAGAGAGGUUCUACACCGUUUACCAAGAGAAUCAAAGAAUGCAAAGUUUGUAACUUUUGUUUGUGGUUUAAAAGAACACCACAAUCAUUGUUGAAUGCAUAACAUAUUUCAACCAGAUAAGGAGUUAAAGAACUUUUAUAUGGAUCUAAUACUUAACCACUAAUACUAAAAAUUGAUCUUGAAGCAACAUAGGAGAUUUGAGUAGUUAGAACAUAUCUAGCAAAUUCUGAUCUAUUGUGAAAAGAAUAACUAGAGACGGAUGACUUAAUUUCUAUAUAGCAUUUGGAGGGUCAUAAUGACUUGUUUUUAUUUACGUGUUUUACGUUAUUUUGUUUUUGUCAAAAGGCUUUCAUAAAUUAGUAAUACUCUAUAAAUAAAUAAACACAAUAAAAUACUCUUUCUUAUCGAUUUAGGUAUGGCCAAUGUAAAAAACUAAAAAUUAACAAAAUUUUGAAACUUCUAUACAUUUUUAUGGUUCUAGUAAUAUUAUAAAUUUAUACAUAUAUAGCUAAGAUAAUAUUCUAAAUAUGACUAUAAUAUUGUUUGUAAUUUGAAUUAUUGUUAGCGUUAUUCUCUAAUGUUACUUAUUAUUCAAAAACUCUUCGGUGUUUUCGAUUUGUAUCCAAAUUUUAUGAUAAAUUCUAAACACGAUAAUUAAUUUACAAAAAUAAAGUACUUAUUUGAGUACCCUUAAAUUUAUGUUUACUUGACUUCCCAGUUCCCAGCCAGUAUAAAUCUUUUUCUUAUAUUUAAAUUAAUUAAUUAACUUUGGAUAUAGAAUUGAAUUAUUAGGAAAAUAUAUACAUAUCAAUCAAAAAUAUAAUAUUUAUAAGCUUAAUACAAACAUAGAAAUAUCUAUAUCUAUAUAUAUCUAGCUUAAUUAAUUGGAUAGUAAAAGCUUAUCUUUGCAUUUUUAUUAUUUUAAUUAAUUACUUGUAUAUAUAUAUUAUUUUAAAUACUUAUUAGCAUAUUGACAUUUAAGAUACAAGGUUUAAAUUUCUUUUGUUAUUUUGAACAGAAGUUUUGUUAAUCAGUAAAAUAAAAUUAUUGUAAAUAAAAGAAAAGAUUUUGUGCAAAACAAACUCCAAAGUCGUUUAUUUUUGUAACUUUAUCUUUCACGUUUAAAAAUACAAAACAAAAUUAUGAAGUAAAAAUAAUACGUAAUGUAGUCGAUUUUACAACUUUACAUCUAUUGUAAACGUUUUCACGAUCACAUAUAUUUGUUUUUAAAAGUUUUAAAGAUAUAGUUGAACUCCUCAUCUCAAGGGCUUUGAUUUGAUAAAUUAUCUAUCUAAAUUUUAAAAUUAUUUAUCAAAAUUUUAAAAUUUGACAAUAGCAAAAAAUUUGACAUAUGUAUAAUUUUUGAUUUAGUAUUAUUAUUCUGCAUUGUUAAGAUGUAAAAUGUAAAGUUGUAAAAAGUAAAUGAUUCCGAGGAUUUUGUGUAAAAAACCUUAAAAUGUUUUAGAGUUUCUUGCACUAAAAGGAUAACUUUUACUUUUUUUCCAAACCCCAAAGUCUGAUUUACCUGUGAGUUAACAACAAUUACUACUCUCUUUGAGUAAAAAUCGCAUGCCAAAAAGAUUAUAGAAAAUAUAAUACCGAAGAAAAUUCCAAAUAUACAAGCAGUAAAUUAAGUUGAUUUUGGGAAUAGUCUACAAUCCCAUGUACACAUCUCCACUACAUUCCAUACACCUUUUUUAAUCUAACGGCUCACAAACAAUAAAACUCUCCGAAUAAGUAAUCACCACGUGAUUUAUCUUGACACACCAAAGUUUGUAUAGACGUGCAUGUAUGUAAUUAAUUAACCUUUUAUGUACUAUGAAUUAACUGUGUUGAUAUAUAAAGGGUGACUCAAUACCCCAAAAGCGGUCUCUCUCUAUACUUUGCUUCUCUCUCUAAACUUCUCUCUUUCUUUUUUUCUCAAAGCUUUUUUCCUUCUCCCUAAACGAUGAAGAUUUUCGUGAAGACUCUCAGUGGUUCGAACUUCGAGAUCGAAGUAAAACCUGCAGAUAAGGUAUAGUGAUUUCUUGAAUUCGAAUCGUCUUCUCUGUUUCUUUAACUGUUUAUUAGGUCUGAUUUGGUUCCGUAAUUCGAUUUUGCCUUGGGGAAAAAUUCCGGUGAAUUAGCGAAUCUCGUAGUAUCUGAUUUAAAAUUCUAGGUUUCGUUUGCAUCGUACUCUUGUUUCGGGUUGGGAAUUGUUUGUGACGAUGCGUGUUUCUGUUUCUGUGAUUGGAUUCGAAUUCGAAUUAGGGUUUUUCGUGAGUAUGUAAGUAUAGUGAUUGUAUGUGUUGGGAAUUUAAUUAUAUACUGUGUAAAUUGUAUAUAGUUAUGGCUUCUUGUUUUCCCAUCAACAUUCGUUGCUUUAGUGAUCAUGCUGGAAUCUGAUUUUGCUUCUUUAAGAUUAUGUUAGAGCUAAUCAUACUUAGAUUCACAAUAUUAGUCAUUAUAUUUGCUAAACCUUGAGGCACCUAUGGAUUAUCAUACGUAAUGAUAUAGUAUUUGUGAAGUUUUCUUUGGUGUGACUUAUUUGUUUCAUUGCUAGUCUUAUAUCUUCUUGAUAGCCUUUAGCUUAAUGAUGUCUGUAUGAUUUGGUAUCUGAGUUUAUUUUUGGCUUUUUCUAGGCUAAGUUAUAUGUGUGAUUGAGAUGCUUAUUAACAUUGUUGUUGAUCGCAGGUUUCUGAUGUUAAAACGGCUAUAGAAACUGUUAAAGGUGCAGAAUACCCUGCUGCUAAGCAGAUGCUGAUCCACCAAGGAAAGGUUCUAAAGGAUGAGACCACAUUGGAAGAGAACAAUGUUGUUGAGAACAGUUUCAUUGUUAUCAUGUUGUCCAAGGUGAUGUACUAGGUCCACAGUUUCGCAUUAGUAUUAGUAACAGGAUUUUAGUAGUUAGUGGAUGCUAACAAGUUUUAACGUUUGUAUAUAGACCAAGGCUUCUCCAAGUGGGGCAUCAACCGCAUCUGCACCAGCACCUAGUGCUACACAGGUGAAUAAAAGUUCUUAUGUAAUAUGGUUAUGGUUUCUAUUUGUAAGUGACAACAAAAUAGUAUAUCUAGAUAACAGUUUUGUCUAAUAGAAUUGCUUGGAUUUUCUGUAACAGCCACAGACAGUAGCUACACCUCAGGUUUCUGCUCCUACUGCCUCAGUGUAAGUUGCCUUCCUCUGGCAUUGAUUUACCUCCUUUUGAAAGAGAAAUUGUCAGCUUCUUAUGUAGUUGCCGGUUUGCUGAUUCUCUGUUCUUUUUACUUGCGUUCUCAGUCCAGUUCCUACAAGUGGAACUGCAACCGCUGCAGCUCCAGCUACUGCUGCUUCGUAAGAACUUUUCAGAAGUAUACUAUAUUCAUUUUCGAAUAUCUGUUCAUUGAUUGUGUAAAUGUUGCCCACUUUCUUGGUUGAAACAGGGUUCAGACAGAUGUGUAUGGUCAAGCAGCAUCAAACCUUGUUGCUGGAACUACUUUAGAGUCCACUGUUCAGCAAAUUCUUGAUAUGGGUGGAGGUAGUUGGGACCGUGACACUGUUGUUCGUGCUCUGAGAGCUGCGUUCAACAAUCCUGAAAGAGCUGUUGAAUACCUGUACUCGGUAUGAUUCAUUCCACUUCUUGAUUUUACGUUUUUCUUUGAUAUAUUGUAUCUACCUUUGAUUUGCGGUUUGCCAGAAUUUAAGCAACAUUUGCUCUUGAACUUUUGGUUGAUACAUUUCAGGGUAUCCCUGCUCAAGCUGAAAUCCCACCAGUUGCUCAAGCCCCAGCUACUGGGGAACAGGCAGCCAAUCCUCUAGCACAGCCCCAACAAGCAGCAGCUCCAGCAGCUGCAACUGGUGGUCCAAACGCAAAUCCAUUAAACCUGUUCCCCCAGGUAGGGUUUUUAAACUGGUGAACCGAUUUCAUUUGCUCGUUUUCCCUUGUGAAUUUGUUUUAUUGACAUCCACUCUUAUCUGUCUCUAUCCAGGGCAUGCCCGCUGCAGAUGCUGGUGCUGGAGCUGGUAAUCUUGAUUUCCUGCGUAACAGUCAACAGGUAUUUUCAAUUUCUUUUCCAUUCGAGAACGGAAAUCUUCAUUUCUCUCCUCUUAUGUCAUUUGCAAUUCUUUUGCCUUUUCAUAGUUCCAAGCCUUGCGAGCUAUGGUACAAGCAAACCCACAAAUUCUACAGGUAAAAUUUUUAACCUCUUAUUCUUUAUUUGGUAGGUUAUAUGAUAUUGAUUUCCCACUUAUACUGUUUCGUUUUGCAGCCUAUGCUUCAGGAGCUCGGUAAACAAAACCCCCAGCUUGUGCGACUAAUUCAAGAGCACCAGGCUGACUUCCUACGCUUGAUAAACGAACCUGUCGAGGGAGAAGAGUGGGUUUAAUAUCAUGAUUCUCCUUUACGUUUUCAUUUUAUUCUUUUUUCUCAAUAAAGCAUGUAAUCUGACAUUUCAUUCGAUGCCACCAGGAAUGUUAUGGAACAGUUGGAAGCAGCAAUGCCACAAGCUGUUACCGUUACACCUGAAGAGCGUGAAGCCAUUGAACGGGUUUGUUCCUAUGAUCUUUACAUUUGUACCUUUACUAGAUGCUCUGGUUCCUCAAAAUAUAUGGCUUGUAUUGAAAUUUGAUUUUGCUGUUGUUUGUUUUGGUUUAGCUUGAAGGGAUGGGGUUUGAUCGUGCGAUGGUCUUGGAAGUGUUCUUUGCGUGUAACAAGAAUGAAGAACUUGCAGCUAAUUACCUUCUAGAUCACAUGCAUGAGUUUGAAGAUCAAUAAACAGAGCAAAUCCAUUCCUCCCUCUAAACUCAGACCAUCUUUCUGUUUCUUUUUCUUCUUCUUUUUAAUAUGAUAAUCUCUUCUCCAAUGCCAUUUGACAGUUUCAUGUUUAUGUUCAUGGGAGUUGAUGUGUUUAUGUUACUAUUAAAACUAUCAUAGUUUAUCUGGUUUGAAGAUGCUCCUCUUUUAUCAUAUUAUUAGCCUUUGAAUCCUUCCUCUCUUUAGGUCUCAGAUGCACCAAUAUUAGCUAAGAUUAAAAGUGGAUAUUUUGGUUCUAUAUGACUCAUCUCGAGUUAGGAAUGGUAUGUCGAAUCUGGUUUAACAGAUCUGGCCUAAAACGAAACCGCUAUUCAGAUCCAAUUAUUGGCGCUUACAUUGUUUUCUCAUAGCCUCAAGCUAUGCAAUAUCAAUUAUUGCACAUUUGAAUUAACACAAACCCAUCAAUUAAUAUAUCAACAAAAACCCAUCAUCAAUUAACACAUCAACACAAACAUAAAGACAUAUAAGUUGCUCAUGAAGAACUUAUAAUGGUGGAACCAGUGAGCCUUUGAGAUCUGUCAUAAUCGUCUCUGAAAUUGUCUCAAAUCGAGAGAGAAAUGAGAAAUCUUAAAAUUUUACCCUAAAUAAUUAAACCCUAGCUUUUAAUUAUUACUGCACAAAUUAUGUCUAAAUAAUUUUGCCCAUUUACUAGCGAGCUUAUAUGGUUUGUAAUCCAUUUUAAACACUUUAAUUUUGGGCUUCACCAAAACCCAACCAUUAUUAUUUGGACGUGGACAUCCCAUGGUCAGAAAACUCAUUCGAUAACCCUACAUUUGAUGAUCAAAGUGGCACGGAAGCUCGUUCGAUCUACAAGUUUUGUGGUGAGGAGACUUCUCAGUUUUUCUUCUAGUGUGGUUGUACUUCAGGUAAAUUCUUUUCAAUACUUAGUGGAAUUUUUCGCUAACUGUUUUGUGUAAAUAAGGACGAGGCCUCCAUAGCGUUCAGUGCUUUAACAAUGCCGUAUCCACUCUGCUAAUCUUGGAUUUCAAGAGGUAUGACAGUUUGUGUUGUGAUAGGAGCCUUCAUUAAAUUAAAUAAUUUCAACAAUUUAUUUAUUUUUAGAACCAAAAGAUUUUUCAAAAAUUUUGAUUAUCAAAAAAAAAUCCAACAGAUUUUCUGUUAAAAUGAAAAUAUAUAUUAGAUUGUUUUUAAAAAAAAUCAUCUGCCGGAAUUUGAAUCUGGACAUGCUUAUUUUCAAAAAAACAUUUUAGCUAAUGUGCUAGUGCAUAUGUUUUUGCUAAGGUAUGAAUUUAAAUUGGAUAUAUAGAUCAAUUUAUUUAUUUUAAAACCAAAAAAAAUUUAAAAAGAAACUUAGCGGGAUAUAAAAUAAAUAUAUAUUAAAUUUAAAAAAAAAAGAUUUUCCGCUACGGGAAUUUGAACCUGAAAAUGCUGAUUUUUAAAGAAAAUUUAGCUAAUGUGCUACAUGAGAUGUUUUUUUUGCUAAAGUAUGAGUUUAAAUUGGAUAUAUACAUCAUUCAAUUUAUUUUUCUAAUCUAGAAUUUGCUUUCCUAGGACAAAUAUAGGUACUGAAUUAUUAAAGAACAUAUUUUUUGGUAAGAUAUAAGUGAGUUUUUAUAUAAUUUUGAUGAUUUUAGGUAAGUUGAUGUGAUUUACUGUAAAGUCUUUUCAAAUUCUAUCUAAAACUAUGAGAUUUAGAUUUCUGUAUUUUUAACUAAAGAAGUCUUUUCAAAUCCUUUCAAAUCCUUCAAAAUUAAUAAGAAUCAAAUCCACUAACUAUUUUCAGUAACAGUAAAAAGGUUGAUUUUUAAAUUUUUAAUUUAAUAACACUCAAUUUCAUUUAAAAAUUUAAAAUCCAUAAUUAAAUAACAUAAAAUUUAUAAAUUUUACAUAAAUUAUUAGAUUGAAUACACCGCUCUAAAUAUACACAAUGUAAAAAGUCUGUUUAAGAUCAAUUAUAGAUUUAACUUAAAUCUAAAGGCCCAUAAUACCGUCCUGUACAUCAUAUAGUUAUCUCAAGUUGUAAUACUGUAAUACCCGUUGGGCCCAGUGGCCCAUUUAUCAGAUUUCAAAUAACAGAUCUCAACACUAGCAUGGCUACACACGUGUCAGAUUCAAUGCAUCAGUCAUAUCUUCAGCAUCCAACACUUGUCAACCUUCCAUUGGAUCUCUUAACUCUACGCCUCGAAAACAGUUUUUAUUUAUUUAUCAUUCCAUUUCUCAUUGUAUCUUCAUCAGUCUCUUCUUAUUCCAUUUUUUCAAACCACUUGCAAAAUUCGAAUCAGAUCUUCUCUUCAAUCGAAAAAAAAGAAAGGUAAAUCUCUCUCUCUCUAAUCAUCGUUCGUUUCGUAGUUUCUUCUUCUACGUGUAGAUCUGAUCUUUGAUUGUAUGUUUCUGGAGAUCUCGAUCUCAUCGAUUCUCUGUUCUUAUCACUGAUUCAGUGUGUUUGAUAUCUAAAUCCGAUUUGUGUGUAGGAUGUUAAAAUUUAGGUUUCGGUUUUGUUUCUGCUUUUGAACGAUUUUGCUCUAGAUUCGUUAUCCGUGAAGAACAUAGACGAGUAUGUAGAUCUUACUUCGGAUUCGCGUUGAAGAAUUUUCUCUAGAUUCGUCACCUAUGAAGAAGAUUCAUUGUGUUCUUAAUCUAGAUGAUUAGGUUAUUGUUUCGACUCAUUUGUUUAUGCCUAUUUUCUCUAUGUUCUUAAUCGGUGAAGAAAUGUAUCAAUGUGUGUAUGUUUUGGGUUCUGAUUUUGUAGGAUUUGCUCUAGAUUGUUGAAUCGAAGAUGUCGACAAGGGAAGAGAAUGUUUACAUGGCGAAAUUAGCCGAACAAGCUGAACGUUACGAAGAAAUGGUUGAAUUCAUGGAGAAAGUUGCGAAAACUGUUGAUGUUGAGGAACUUUCAGUUGAAGAGAGGAAUCUUCUCUCUGUUGCUUACAAGAACGUGAUUGGAGCGAGAAGAGCUUCGUGGAGAAUCAUUUCUUCGAUUGAGCAGAAAGAAGAGAGCAAAGGGAACGAAGAUCAUGUUGCUAUUAUCAAGGAUUACAGAGGAAAGAUUGAAUCCGAGCUUAGCAAAAUCUGUGAUGGGAUUUUGAAUGUUCUUGAAGCUCAUCUUAUUCCUUCUGCUUCACCAGCUGAAUCUAAAGUGUUUUAUCUUAAGAUGAAGGGUGAUUAUCAUAGGUAUCUUGCUGAGUUUAAGGCUGGUGCUGAAAGGAAAGAAGCUGCUGAAAGCACUUUGGUUGCUUACAAGUCUGCUUCCGUAAGUCAUUCUUUACAACGUUUUUGAAUGUUGUUUUCUUUUGUGGGUAUGAUUGAUUUUGUUGUUGUGAUAAUGCAGGACAUUGCCACUGCUGAGUUAGCUCCUACUCACCCGAUAAGGCUUGGUCUUGCACUCAACUUCUCUGUGUUUUACUAUGAAAUCCUCAACUCGCCUGAUCGUGCUUGCAGCCUCGCAAAGCAGGUUUGUGUAGUACACCUGAUUUUCACUUUUUGCUUCGUGUGUUAUUAUUAUCUCAGUGAAUGAAACAGCUAUUUUGGGUUUGUGCAGGCGUUUGAUGAUGCAAUCGCUGAGUUAGAUACAUUGGGUGAGGAAUCAUACAAGGACAGUACACUGAUUAUGCAGCUUCUUAGAGACAAUCUCACUCUCUGGACUUCAGAUAUGACUGUAAGUAUUAACAACACAAUAUACGUUGAUCACUAAGUUAUGUUGUUGACAUGAUGGUUUCUUUUUUGGUGAAUAGGACGAAGCAGGAGAUGAGAUUAAGGAGGCAUCAAAGCCCGAUGGUGCCGAGUAAACCCGAAGAAGAGGAAGAGUCAUUUUAUAAUGGUAGAAAACUUUCAUGUGAUAAUCUGAGUGAGGGAUAGCUCAGGAUUCUUAUAAGAGACACAGUUUUAUUGUUGUUUGUUUGUUUUGAAACUACUUGCGAUUUAUCAUUCCUCCUUUAGCUUCCUCAAUAUUUCCUAUUCUCCUUUCUAAUGAAAUCAAAACUUGGUUAUUUCUGAUAUGGUAGUUGUCUUUAUUUUCUAUUUUUUUGGUUAUUGAUUUGAUCAACUAAAAAAGUGUGAUAACUUUCUCAAAUUGAUUAAUUAAUGUACGAAAACACUUGCUGCAAAUGGAUCACUUCCAUGACAUUAUACUUUGAUAUAAUAUAUUACAAGAAAUAAAAGGUAACUAAAGUAGAGAAAACAAGAAACCAUAUUUAUAACAAAAUAUUUCAUUUCAAACAAUGGUAAAAGAUCUCAGAUAACAUAGGAGACAGACAAGUUACUACUAAUAAAGGAGAGAACCACACCAAAAUCCUAAUCUUGUUAAUUAACACUUCCAAUAAGUUACUGAAACUCAAAAUCACUGAAUAAGCUAGUGAACAAGUGAAGAGCUACUCUGUGUCAAGUGCAAAGCAGAGGACUCCACGGCACCUGAAAGUCCAAAGGCUGAUCUUGUCGCCGACUUUUAAGCUGCUACUUUUGACGACAUCAUUCCAACCCCAAUUCAAAGUGUAAUUCAAUGUUCCAUGUCCAGAGUCCUUCUCCAUCGCCCAUAUCUUGAAACGCAAACCCCACUUUUGAAAUCUUUGGUUCACAAGAACCGUUCCCACACCAAUAUUCUCGUCGUCUUCUUCAUCAUUGUCUUCGUCUUUCUGCAUAGCUCUACACUCCGCAGGAGUCAGGAAAUCGUUUCUGAUUAGCUUCUGGAAAGGCAUUAAGAGACGACUAAGGUUUGAGUUGACAUCACUCUUAAACAGAGUCCUCUCAAAUAUCAGCCUCGGGGUUUCAGCAUCAGCGUUCAUGUAUCUCAUCACUUGGAAAAUCCACUCAGGCAUCUCUGUACACAACCUUGGCAAAGGAGAAACCUUAACUUUCUUGACUUUACCACUCUUCCUCUGCUCCACGGCACGCCUCUUGCGGUUUGUCUUCCCUGUUAGGCAUGAAGACGGAGACGAAGAUUGGUAAUUAGGGUUUGGUACGUCUUUUGUCUCUGUCGAAGGUUCAAGACAAGGAAGGUUCAGGAGCGAUGAAGAAGAAGUAGAAGCUCCAUUAAGAUUAUCAAAGAGUUUCUUUUCACUCUCGUCAUCAUAAUCUUCAUCGUAGACAAUCUUGGAUUUACCUUUCUUUAAACGUUGUUCUUCAUCACACACCAUAGGUUCAUCAAAACAAGGGUUUUGUAGGUUGUCUGUCUCAAAAUCAGUAGGGAUUAGGUUAAGAUCGGGAAGCGAUGACGAACAAGUAGAAGCCCCAUUAGGGUUUUGUUGUGUGUAUCUUCUCUUCGCCAAAGACGAUUUGAUUUUCCUCGGGAAAAGAUAGAAGAAACUCAUCUUGCACUUGGAUUCUUCUCGUUUCUCUGCAAGAAGACGACUACGUUGUUCUUCUUCCUCCGCAACCAUAACCGUCACAUACGCCAGUAAACUUAAACCCGACGACAUAUUCUUCCCCGAAUCCGUGAGAUGAUUAUCGUGAUACAUAAUACUACUCAUCGUGAUUGAAUCGAAAGACUGGAAAGUUUCUGAGAGCGACGACGUGAGGAACAAGAAACUUGUAUAUAGAGAGACGAGAAACUGAUCGACGAUUAGAAAAGAAGUACCUUCUCUUGCCUUAUAUAUACUUUACAAUAGGGUUUCAGGUUUCUUUGUUUUCCUAUUUCUCCAUUGAGUUUAGUUGUUUAAUUACUGUCAUUAGUAACUAAUUAUAGCCGUUGUGAUCAAGUGUUUCCUUUUUCACAAGUGUGAGAGAUAGUGAAUUUUUAGGAAGUUUCCUUUCCUUUCAAAUUUCAAUAGCUUUGCUUCACUUUUUUGUAUUUGAUGUAUUAUUAUAUUUUUUGGGCACUUGCCGACUUUGAUAUAAAUUAAAUAAAAUGCAGAAAACAGUGGAGUCUCAAAAAAAUUCAGAUCUUUAGAAAAACAAAACCAAUAUUGUUGUCGAUUGAAUCGAAAAUAGUUUCGAGUAUCCAUUUAUCAUCAAAAAAAAAAAAAAAACAAUUCCUUGAAUAAUUUUUAUGUUUUUUGAAUUUUAUUGGAUGUACGUACAUAAUCAUUUCAACAAAAUUGCAUAAAAAUAGUUGAUGCAAAACCAAAUAUGGGGAGAAAAUUCAAAUAGUUUUCUCAAUUUGAGGUAACUACGAAAUUGCCCCACAUCCUUUAGUAAUUACGAAUUGGACCUAAAACUAUAGAUAAUUACGAUUUUUUCCCUCGAAUAAUAACGAAAUUGCCUCAGUUAUUUCGUUAUUUGUUAAUGCACCCCACAUCUCUCGGUAAUUACAAAAUUUCUGCAAAUCUUCCAAAAUGAAAUUUCUGGUAAUUUCUUAUUUGGUAAACUACGAAUGAACAACAAAGAACAAUGAAUUGGUAAAAUACACAUUUUGGAAUACUCAAUCUCUCAUAUUAUUGCUUAUCCACAAUCAAAUCACACAAUUGUAACAAUGAACAACAAAGAACAAUGAAUCAACAAGAACAAAUGAAAUUAGAAUCUUCGCUCACAUCCCUCAGAUUAUAAUCGCACCCUUCACAGUCUCAUAGCGAAUGAAUCAACAUGCCUUGCUCUGUAACCGCUCCUCAUAUUUAUAGAUGCCUCUGAUACUUGCUUAUUUCACAAGCUUCCCUCUGUUUCCUCACGUGCCUUGCACACACACUCUUAUCAUGCAUUCGCAGUCAUUAAACAGUGUCAUAGUUAUUCUUUAUGGUUACAAGUGUGGGGUUGGUGACUGAUGAAGACAACUGAUCUUAUUCAUCUACUUCUUGGAGCUGGAGUUGGAGAAAUUCGAGAAGAAUGAACAAAUUACGACAAGGUACAUUGAGAAAAUCUCCGGUGAAGCAUAAAAGCACAACUUAUACGUAAUAUUUCUAUAUUUGCUUUUGGAGACAGAACAUGUGUCAGUAAUCGUUGGUUUAGACUUCUAGGUCUGGUUUGGGGUUUGGUACAGAUGGUUUUAUGGCUGCAAAUGUCUUAUGUUGUUGAACGCCCACAAGAUGCUCGAUGAAAUGCCGAAGAGAGUGGCUUGUUUGUAAAAUUGCAGUUUUUUGGUGGUAUAUGGAUGAGAAGCAGAUGAUAGUGAGUAGAGUUUUGUUACUUGGGGGUAGAAAAUUCUCUUCGCCAUGAGAUAGACUAUUAGAGUUAAGCGGGUAAAAACCCGGACUCGUUUUGUGAGACAAAAGAACCUGAAAAAGUUCUCACUUUGACUAUUCUUGCUUCUAUCAAGCCAUUGCAAUUGUUCUUGGAAAAGUGAAACACACACUCUCGUUGUCUCAUCUUGCUGUGAAUUAUCAUUCUUAUCUGCUGAGUUCAAGACUGGAUUAAGCAUGAUUCUUGAAGAUAGGAGUGUGACUGAGAUAAUAUGCAUUCACUGGAAACCAUGGUCUACUUUUCAAAGGUAAUGUCUCUGUUCUUUCAAUUUGAGACAGAACAAAAGGAAAGAAGUAGAUAUUAAGUUAAGUGUGGUAGCUUGAGAAAUGGGAACAAAUGGUUAGAUUUGUAGGACUGGAAAUCUUUAUGCUAGAAAGAAAUAGGGGUAGUAUUGGACAUAACUCUCAAAAGGAAAGGAGAAGGGACAUUGUGUUUGAUUCAAAGCUAAGACAAGGCUGCAUUUGUGUCACUCAAAGGAGAAUAGGAAUUACCUCUGACAGAGUUUGAAAGAAAAACUCUACAAGUAUCAGAAUGUUUAAGAUCGUUCCUGGAGUACAUUCAGUCAUUCAGAUGAAAAGACGGAGAAACGGAGCUGUGGCGGGAAUGUAACUAGUAAAGUACUUUCUUGAGGAUUCGGCAGUGCUCAAGAAGUUUAUGCUGCGUUUGGGUUGUGAGAGAAUGAACAAAGAGUCUAUCAUUUUAAUGGAACUAUUGAGGUUAAGGAGAUAUACUAUGCUUAUUGUAUAGUCAUUGUUGAACUUGCUGAGACUGAUAAUGAUACAUAGGUGUUUCUACACUUAAAUGUGCAAUUUCCAUUUAGGAAAGUUUAGUAUUGGGAUUUGAUGUAUAUAUUCUUACCAGAACCAGUUCUCCAACUUAGGAAAUUUAUUUGUAAUAAUCUGAGUGACGCUCAGUAUUCUUCCAAGGACAAUUUGACAACUACUUGCUAUGGAUUCCUCCUUUAGGUUCCUCAAAAGUUCAUGUUCUCCAUGUAAUGAAAUCAAAACUUGCUUUUUCUCUGACAUUUUUGAUUGUUUUGGUUCUAAAUUUGAUCAAACUGACUGCAUCGAGCAUUUCGGAGGAAUAGUACACAAAACAUUAGCAGGAAUAGAUCAUUUCCAUCAUUACAACAGGUUUAGAGGAGAGAUCUGAGACAACACAAAGGUAUAUUGAACAAUGCAGUAAGUAAAGUAGACAAAACAAGAAACCAUAUUUAUGACCAAAUGUGUUCAUUUCAAACAAUGGUAAAGGUCUGAAACAACAGAGGAGACGGACAAGUUAAUACUACUACUACUAAUCCUAACAAUAGAGGAGAGAACCAGUUACUAUACUAAAAAGCCAAAAACCUCAAGAAUCACUUGAAAUUUGUUAAAUGAGACCUCAAGAGACAAAUGAAACAUAUCAGAGAGCUACCUACCAUGUGUCAAGAGCAAAGCAGAGGACUCCACGGCACCUGAAAGUCCAAAGACCGAUAUUGUCGCCGGCUUUUAAGCUGUUACCUUUGACGACAUCAUUCCAGUCCCAAUUCAAAAUGUAAUUCAAGGUUCCAUGUCCAGAGUCCUUCUCCAUCCCCCAUAUCUUGAAACGCAAACCCCACAUUUUAAAUCUUUGGUUCACAAGAAUCGUUCCCGCACCAAUAUCUUCGUCGUCUUUGUCUUCGUCUUCCUGCUUGGCUUGACACACAAGAAUCGUUCCCACACUAAUAUCUUCGUCGUCUUUGUCUUUGUCUUCCUGCAUGGCUCGACACUCCUCUGGCGUCAAGAAGUCGUUUCUGAUUAGCUUCUGGAAUGGGAUUAAGAGACGGCUGAGGUUAGAGUUGACAUCACUCUUGAACAGAGUCCUUUCAAAGAUCAGCUUCGGGGUUUCAGCAUCAGCGUUCAUGUGUCCCAUCGCUUGGAAAACCCACUCAGGCGUCUCUGUAGACAACCUUGGCAAAGGAGAAACCUUUACUUUCUUGACUUUACCACUCUUCCUCUGUUCCACGGCACGCCUCUUGCGACUUGUGUCGUUCUCCGUUAGGCAUGAAGACGGAGAAGAAGAUUGGUAAUUAGGGUUUGGUAGAACUUUCGUCUCUGUCUUCUCUGACUCAACCGUGUUGUAAUCCAAGAAUAACGAAGCCUCAUAACAACGAAGGUUUAAGAACGAUGA